UUGAGCACCAGGUUACCUUCUCGGAACACACAAGGCUUGACCUUCUUAUCAAAGACUUUCUUCAUCCUAUGCUGAUAUAACUGACCAUGGCACUUGGUAAUUAAUCUCUUCUCUUUUAUCGAAUUCAGUUGGUCAUAACGACUCUGAACCCAUUCAGCAUCAGUCAACUUGGCUUCCAUCAAGACUCUCAUUGAUGGAAUCUCCACCUCUACUGGGAGCACAACCUCCAUGCCAUAUACAAGAGAGAAAGGGGUUGCCAAUGUUGAAGUGCGGACAAAUGUACAAUAACCAUGUGUAGCACCUCAAAUUUGCCCUCCCCAUUCAUGCAUUCAUUCAUUUUUUUUGGUUCAUUUAUCAUUCCAUGUUGCAUUCCAUCCUGUUAACCAGAAUUGGCAUCAAGAGAAUUCUUCGUGCAAAACAGCAAGUCUUUCCUUGAGAUGAAGGCCCAAUUUCAUCAGUGCAUUUUCAGGUCAUCUGAGGACCAUAAAAGUCAACUGUGCAGUCAACUGAGGGCUAUGAGUUGGGGAAAUGAUUUGAGACAUCCCAAUCAUGUUCAUUUAAGGCCUAUUCAUCAUGUCAAACAUCUAUCUUGAAGAUUUUGAAGUCAAAUCAAAAGUUUCCAAAAAUGGAAAAUGACUUGUAAUUCAAAGUUUCCAAAAAUGGCAAGUUUUUGGUCCACAUUUAACUUGAUUUUCCAACAUCAAAGAAGCUUCAAAUGGAUUUUUGGUGAACAUGGAAGUUGAAGAUCUUUCUCUCCUAUUUUCAAAAAGUCCUAUAUCAUGUCCAUAUGAUAAUUAGUUGGGAAGUUAUGGCCAAAUGAUCACAAAGUGUACAUGAAGUUCAAAGUGACAUAAGUUUUGAUCCAAAACUCCAAAUUGGUCCACUCUUUUUGCAAAAUACUUGUCAUGACCAAUACUUUUCAAAUCAACCAUUGCAUUGCAUGAAAAAAGCUCAUAUGAUCACUUGCCCAUACAUGUGCAUUUUGGAGGGAAAAUUGAUAAUUCAAAUUUGGUGGAUUAUACAAGCAAUUUGAUCAUUCCAUGUUGAUUAUUGGAUGAUUUGAAGUGAGAUUUAAGCAUUUUCUUCACAUUUCAUUAAUCAAGAUUAACCAAGCCUAAUUGUGAUUAGCAUGAUGAUUAGCACCUCAUAUAAAUAGAAAACCAUUACUGUUUUUGCUAAGAACAACAAUUUCAGAUCUCAAAUUCACACUUUCCUCCAUUUUUUCUCUCUCUUCAAAACUCCAAAUUUCUUCACACAAGUCCUCAAUUUCUUUGCAUAUUCUGGUUAAGCAUGGAAUUUUGAGUAAGGAUCCACGCCUGGUUUGAAGAAUUGAGCGAGAUUUGAGCUGGUUCAUGAACAUUCAUACAUUGAUGGAAGAUUGAAAUUGAACAAGAUCUAGUGGAUUUCAUGUGCUUCUUUAUACACAAAGCUUCAAGAUACAAGUAGAGGAGAAGAUCUGGAGAAUUUGAGCACCUGAGGACGCGUAUAAAGCUGCUGCCAUUUCCAAGUAAGUUGAAUUCGGUCCUCACCUUUUGAUGUUUCAUGUACAUGAUUGUGUAGAUCUCACUGUGCUGAACAUGCUGAUAUGCUUAGAAUUGAUUUUGGUUAGAAAUUGAGUUAGUUAUGAUGAUUUAAAGUUUGGAUGUGAAAAAUGUUUCUCUUCGAUUCGUGCGUAUUAGUGAGAGUUAGAUUGAAUGAACAUGAUAUUCGUGAUCUACAUUGAAAGACCUUUCCAACCAUAUGCAUUUCGUGCGAUUCUGGAAAAAAAAAUUUGAGCUCCGCCGCGUACACGGUUGGAAAAGAUGGUUGAAACCACCGUGUGCCACCGCCUGGUUUUGGCCUAGGGUUUCUGUCUCCAAACGCUGCGUUUUGGAUUUUCGCUUUGAUCCUAGCUUGCACGGGUUCGAAUCCUGGCGUGCGUUUGCUUUGGAUUUAAUUGUUGAAUAUUCGCUUGAUCCGUCCACACUUGAGUUCGAACCUAGCGCAUGCAUUUUUCUGAUUUUCCAAUUGAUUUUUCAUUAAGCGCUUCUUGGACCGUGUGUACCUGUGUUUGAAACCUAGCGCAUGUUUUUUGUGAUUUCCAAUUGAUUUUUCACUUGAGCGCUCUUUGUCCCUUGGAGCGUGUGUUCGAUACUGGCCUGGUGCAUUAUGUUGAUAUUUUUUGAACUUUGUUUUCCCUCCAUUGCCAUUUUUGUUCAUAAUAUUCAUUCAACUUUAAAAAAUCAUAAAAAAUAGUAGGAAUGUCCAAAUUGAUCCAAAAAAUUUUCACAUGUUUGUUUUAAUGUCUAGAUGUUUAUAGGAUUUAUUUCCUGAUUUAUGUGCAUCUGGAUUUUUAAUUGGGAAUUGUUGUUUGAACAUGAUGCCAUAUUGACAUGUUGCAUUCAUUUCCUUGUGAAAUGCUCAUGGUUAAUCCAAUUGAUUUGAAAUUUGACAUGCUUGAUCCUAAUAUGUGAUGUAACUUUUUGGCUUUAGUUUGAGAUUUUUAUCAUAUUCUAUCACUGUUUUGGACACAUGAACAUAUGGUGUGACAAUUUGUGUCACAUAUUUGAUGUUGCAUUUGUGCAUUUUCAUUUACAUAUCAUUUGAGCUCUUCUGGACUUAAUGUUUUGCAUGAUGUUCAUUCCUAACAUGAUAAGCUCACAUAAAAAAUUUCAUGAUCAUUGGAUGCUUUUCUGUUUUGAUUUUGAUUUUCUAUUUUUGAUGUCCAACUUUGAUCACAUUGCUUGCCUUUGCUUUACCUUAAUCAUUUGAUGGAUUUGCCUUAUGGAUUGGUUUUGGUCCAUUUUGGUCCUUAUGGAUUGCCGUACACAGUCGUAGAAAUGUGAACAGAGGACAAUACCGUCAGGUUGCUGCUAUAACUAUCCCAACACCUCAACCACGACAACAGCAACAACAAAGAGGACCACCACCACCACAACAACAAAAACAACAACAACGCCCAUUUCAGCCAAGACAGAGAAUGCCGGAUCGUCGUUUCGACCCGUUACCUAUGACAUAUGCUGAGUUGCUUCCUGAAUUGCUCAGGUUGGGGUUUGUUGAAUUACGCACUAUGGCUCCUUUGACAAAGAUACUUGCUAGGUAUGAUGCCAACGUUCGUUGUGACUUUCACUCUGGGGCACCGGGGCACCAUAUUGAUAACUGUCGGGCUUUUCAUCAUAAAGUCCAGGAUUUGAUUGACGCCAAAACAAUCAAUUUUGCUCCUGUUCCGAAUGUUGUGAACAACCCUAUGCCUCAACAUGGUGGGCCUAGGGUGAAUAAUGUGGAAGGUGAUGAGGCCUUAGACUUGGUAGUCAAUUUUGAUGAGGUUCAGACAUCGCUGUUUGUUGUGAAAGAGCGUCUGUUGAAAGGGGGAGUGUUCCCGGGCUGUGAUGAGGGCUGUUCAGACUGUGAGGAUUCAGAGAAUGGUUGUUUGCAGCUGAGGAAUGGUAUCCAGGGUUUGAUGGAUGAUGGUUGCCUCCAGUUUAGUAGGGCUGUGAAAGAUCGUGGAAUGGUGUCAACUGUCACCAUUUAUUUCAAACCGUCCGAGCGCCCUGGACGUGGCCAGAGAACUAUUAAUGCACCCACAACCGUUGGCACUCCUGUUACCAUAUCUGCUCCUGUAACUGUUGGUGCUCCCACUACUAUUGUUGUUUCUGGUAGAAGACCGGUUGAGAAUAGAAGGGCAGUUCCGUGGAAGUAUGAUAAUGUUUACCACAAUAACAGAAGGCCAGAGAAUCGAGUCAGACCAGUGAAUCAGGUUCCAGUGACCAUUGAUGUGCCAGUAAAAAAUCCUGUAACUGUUGGUCCGGUUUUGGACAAUGUAGGAGGACCUGGAGGUUUCACUAGAAGUGGUUGUCUGUUCGCACCGCAGACUUUAAGAGAUAACAAUGCUGAGGCUCUCGCCAAAGCAAAGGGUAAGCAGGAUGGGGUGGAAGAAGAACCUGUACAGAAGGAAGCGCCUGAGGGGUCCUUUGAGAAAGAUGUGGAGGAGUUUAUGAAGAUCAUUAAGAAGAGUGACUACAAGAUUGUAGAUCAGCUGAAUCAAACUCCGUCCAAAAUAUCUAUCCUUUCUCUGUUACUGUGCUCUAAGGCACACCGUAACGCCUUGCUGAAAGUGUUGAAUCUGUCUUACGUGCCUCAAGAGAUUUCUGUUAACCAGUUGGAGGGUUUUAUUGCGAAUGUCAGUACAACACACGGUUUGGGGUUCACAGACUUGGAUCUGACGCCUGAGGGUCGUAAUCAGAACAAAGCCCUGCAUAUCAGCAUGGAGUGUAAAGGCGCAGUGUUGUCACAUGUGUUAGUGGAUACUGGCUCGUCUUUGAACGUGUUGCCCAAGAAGAUUCUGAGCAAGAUUGAUGUUGAAGGGGUUGUCCUCACUCCGAGUGAUCUCAUUGUUAUGUCACAUGUGUUAGUGGAUACUGGCUCGUCUUUGAACGUGUUGCCCAAGAAGAUUCUGAGCAAGAUUGAUGUUGAAGGGGUUGUCCUCACUCCGAGUGAUCUCAUUGUUCGUGCUUUUGACGGAUCCAAACGGUCUGUUUUUGGUGAAGUCACGUUGCUAGUGAAGAUUGGCCCGGAGGUUUUUGAUAUUAUCUUCUAUGUGAUGGAUAUUCAAACAGUAUAUAGUUGUUUAUGUGGGCGUCCCUGGAUACAUGGGGCUGGAGCAGUGUCGUCAACUCUCCAUCAGAAGCUGAAGUAUGUAUGGAAUGGUCAGAUUGUGACUGUGUGCGGCGAGGAGGACAUUCUGGUGAGUCACUUAUCCUCUUUCAAGUAUGUGGAGGUGGAUGGCGAGAUCCAUGAAACUCUGUGCCAAGCAUUCGAGACCAUUGACGUUGAGAGGGUGGCUUUUGCUGAGCAGAAGAAGCCAAGUGCCUCAAUUGCAUCAUACAAGCAGGCUAUGGAGGUUGUCAACUCGGGCAAUGCAGAAGGUUGGGGCAAGAUGGUUGACCUGCCCGUUAAAGAAGACAAAUUUGGUAUUGGCUAUCUGUAGGAGAAUUGCCAUCCAAGGCGCAGCGGAAUUUAAAAAUUUCUCCAUUUAGUGAUCCUUACGAAUGGGCAUGAUCAGUGAUAGAAUCGUUACCUCUUGUGGCGAUUCAAACCUUUGCGUGAGAUCUCUGAUAAUGGUCAAAACCUUUGAUACAGAUCCACGGCGGCGAUCAACGAACAUUGAACGAUUGACAACGUCUUACUCAAGUCCACCCGAACGGAUUCCUUCAAUCGCAGUGCUAGCUGUUUGUGAUAAUGAAGGCUUUGAGUGAGAUAAAGAGAGAUACGAAAUUCCAACUCUUCAGUGUGUUGUAUUCCCAUACAAAGCUUCUGCACAAGAGCUCUAUUUAUAGAACCACUUGUGUGUGGGGGCUUCAAGCCAAAAAGGCCACUUAAGUGCAUUUUGGCCUAUACUCUCAUAAUAUGCCAAAUCACUUAAGUAUUUCUGGUACCUUACCAUAUUUCGUAUUCUACUUAAGUACACCGUACCUUACGAUGCUUCCUUAAUUAUUCUAUCUCUCAUCAAUCCGUCCUUGUGUGUCACCCUAUAGGUUUUUCGCGGCGUUUGGCAAUUAUAUUAAAUCACGCAUUUAACAUUAAUAAACAGUGAGCGGUAUCUAGCAACACAUCACUGCUACCAAUUCACGAAAAUGUCAUGUGAUCUGACAAAACCUCCUGUUGAUAAUAAAUUAUGUGUAUAAUUACCCCUUUGCCCUUUAUGUCUAUAUUGAACACAAAGGUAUUAGAACGUGUCACCUUGUCCAGUUCAAUAUUGGGCCCAUAGACAUUUAUCCUGUUACGCAGGAUUGGCAAAAUUCCAUUGCGGGACACUCAUGUCCCUCAGCAUGCUUCGUGGAGUACCCAUCAACUGUCUUAUGGUUAUGCAGUUACGGAACAACAUUGGAUCAACAAUAAAGCACUCGACUCUACAUCUAGGAUCCAUAGUUGGUUUCAGGUCGAAGAGUGGUAUACACUUUUUCACCAUGAGAAUAACUUAUGACACUUUGCAUAACUUUCUAUAUAGUAUUCGCAUAGCGCGGUCAAUCCGGUAUAAAUAUUACUCCUAAUAUUCAUAUCUAUGUUUAAGACUGAUAACUUCUUAUCCAGAUCCAUGAGAUGUGAUCAUCAGUCUACAAGCAUAAUAGUCUUAAUGCUUUUAUGUUAUCCCACUUCACAUUAAAGCCGACUACAGAUACUUUAAGAAUAGUGUCCUUUAUGUUUAAUGUGUUCUCAUGAUUAAGUCACACUUAAUACAUUAAACGGACUAUCUAUUCCAGGGACUUUAUUAAUCAACCAUAAUAAAGGAAAAUGCCUUUAAAUAAUUUGAUACAAGUACCAAAAGUAUUGGCCUCUAGGGCUUACACCAACAAUCUCCCACUAGCACUAGAGCCAAUCAGGCAUACCCCGUAUUCCCAUUGAUCUAGUAUGACCAUCAUGCUUCUGCUGCGCAAGAGGCUUUGUCAGUGGCGUCAACAACAUUGUCAAGUGUAGGUACUUUAAUAUUUUUCGCCACAACGCCUAAGUAUGUUGGGAUCGUUGGUGAGAUCAAGGCUCCUUAGCUUGUGCGAUAACACCAUUGUUAUCAUAAUAGAGACCAAUGGGAUCCACAAUGCUAUGGACUAUGCCAAGUUUAUUGAUCCAAACAGCUUCCUUUGCUGCACUUAAGGCAACAAUAUACUCGGCCUCAGUUGUAGAAUCAUGCAAACUGCAUCUUCGCGUUGAACUUUUCAAGCUCCAGUGCCACCAUUUAAGCAAAACACAUAACCAGAUUGGAGUCAUUCAUAUUAAAGCGUUUUCAGCACUUUGUCUAUGUACUCUACUAGGCCAAGCAUUCAUGAUCUAUCUCUAUAGAUUCUGAUAGGCUGCUUCAACCCAGAUCCUAUAGAAAAGCAUUUCCCCAACCAAGACUUUACUUGUUGCAGGGUAGGGAUAUCGAUUUCCAAUGAGUAAUAUGUCAUCUACAUAUAAUAUCAGGAAUACGAUCAUGCUCCCACUAACCUUCUUGUAGACACAAGGCUUAUCUUUUCGUUCUUGAUGAAUCCAUGACAGCUUUAUGUUCAUCAAGGCGAAGAUUCCAUGAGUAGGUCAUAGGCUCAUCUUGAUCCAUGAGUAAUACAUCACCUUGACUAGAUAUCCAUAUAUCUCAGGUAGGUGACGUAUCCUGCCUGACCUACGCUGGUCUGUUCUAUUUGAGCAGGUUGCUCUUACACAACUACUUGUGUUUCCUGCUCUAAUUCUCCAUAGGUGUAUCGAUACUUUGUGAUUCUUGAAUUUCUUCAAGUUCUACUUUCCUCCCACUGAUUCCUUUGGAAAUAAAAUCCUUUCUAGGGAAAACUCAAGUUCGAGCGACAAACACUAUGCCCUCAGAAGGAUUGUAAAAUAAUAUCCUCUUGUUUCUUUAGGAUACCCCACAAAUAAGCAUUUGUCAGAUUUGGGCUCAAGCUUAGUUAAAAUUUGUCGUUUCACAUAAAAUCUCGCAACCCCAAAUCUUCAUGUAAGACAUAUGUGGUCUCUUACCACUCCAUAUCUCAAUGGUGUCUUUUCAACCUUUUGGAUGGAACACGGUUAAGUGUGUAAGCUGAUGUCAAUGGUGUAUGUCCUCAAAGGAGUUUGGAAGAUUGGUGUGACUCAUCAUGGAUCGCGACCAUGUCCAACAGGGUUCGAUUUUUCUCUCAGAUACACCCUUCCAUUGGAUGUCCAGGAGGAGUAAGUUGGGAUAGGAUCCCACACUCUUUCAGAUGGUCAUCAAAACUCUAGGAUUAAAUACUCAUCACUUCGAUCUGAUCAAGAGUUUAAUAUUUAUUACUAGUUGGUUUUAACUCGUUAGGUUUCACCCUUUUGUAUUAAUUUAUUAAAGGCAUUUCAAGAUCAAGGACAUACAGUCUAUUGUUCAUUUGUUGCAGUAGCAUAGAAUAUAUCAUUCAAAUAAAUUGAGCAAACAUUGUUCUUUAUUAUAAUGAAAAACCAAAACUUGUCCAAAACAAGCAAUGGAAAUAAUAUUCCUGCUUAAUUGCAGGUAUAUAAAACAGUUUCUCUAACUGAAUUAUUUAAACCACUAGGUAAAGUUCAAUACAAAAGUUCCUUACGGCUAAAGCAGCAACCUUUGCUCCAUAGCCAAACUCGUAGUCGACUUCACCUUUUGCCAAAUCUCUACUCCUUUUUAGUUCCUGCACAUUGUUAAAUGUGAGAAACCGCAUCCAGUAUCUAAUACUUCAUGAUAUAGAAGUAGAUAAAUUAAUAAACAAUAAAUACCUGAAGUUGAAGUCUCUACUCCAUUCUUCUUAUCUUCCAGUACUUUGGGCAGUUCCUCUUUCCAGUGUCGGUCUUACCGCAAAUGGAAGCAGGUGCCUUCUUUUGCUAUGCCUCCACUAGGGCUUUCAAAGCAGCAGUGGUCUGGAUUGGCAACUUCCUUGCCCUUCCCCUUAUCACUAUGCUUAGUGGGCCUUUGUUCUGUCUCUUUCCAUUUCCGAUCAUCAAAUGGACUCCUUUUGACUUCAGAUUCUGCUCGGCAGUUCUUAACAUGGCGAGCAGUUCAGAAGAGAUUUGUCCAUAUCAAUCAUAUUGAAUUAGGACAAAUUGACUGAAAACUAUCUGGCAACGAUUGCAAGAUCAAAUCAGUUGCAAGUUCCUUUUCGAGGGAAAACCCAAUCUCUCAGGUUUUCCACAUACCAAUCAUUCUUUGGUACAUGGGGACCUACAGGGGCUCCCUCAGCUAACUUGCUUUGAAAAAGGGAUUUUUGAAACUUCUAAACCUCUUUAUGCCUUGCUUGCUCUUGAUAGAGAAACUUCAGGUGUUCGAUCAUAUCGAACGCUGACAUGUUCUCAUGUGCUUUGCAAUUCUGAGUUCAUGGUAGCCAGCAUGAGACAAGUAGUUUUCAUUGGGCAUCAUCGACAUGCUUCUUAUAAGCAUCUCUUUUCUGCUUAAGGUUCAGAACUAGGAGGUUUCUCUUAGGAACAGGUGUCUCCAAGACAUACAAACUUUUUAUCAUGUUUGAGGAUAAUCUCAGGUUUUCGGUGCCAAUCCAUUAAAAAUUUGUUCCCAUACAAUUUUCCUUAUCAAGGAUUGGAUGCAGGAUGUUGUUAGAGGUUGUUUGCUGUUCAUGGUAAUCUACAUAAGGAUUAAUUGAAAAUAUAAGUAUCAUUACAUAUUCAAUUAGGCCUUUAAUUAAAUAUUGCUCCCGCUAUUUUACUCAAACCAAAAUACCCUCAUCAUCUGAUUCGGAAAAUUCCCGUUGGAAGAUUUUUCUGUGGGUCGAGAUCCAUUUAUUUCACUUCGUUUCUAAGUCCACUAGGCGGAUUACAAAAACUAGGUUAUUUAGUAGGAACUCCUCCAUUGUUAUCUCAUUACAACUCUCGAAAAUUUUCGUUGGUGAAAUAACUCCUUUAUUCCAAUCCAUCAUAUGGUCAUUCCCAAACUUUUGCUUCUAAAACAUUAUAUAUCUUAUUAUUUAAAUUUGGUUUAUUUAAGUUUUGAACCCAUUGUUUUACAGUUGGAUAUUACAUUAUUCCAUCGCCCACCUACUAUAUAGAACAUGCACCUCGCGUAGGCGAGACCUACAUUAUUCGAAUACUAGUCUGAUGAGUGUUUUAAAACUUUGGAAAGCUAAAACUUUUAAUAUUUUAGUUUUGAGGGAUUGUAAUUUUUCUGAUCUCACGGCUUUUAUAUAUAAACCGUCUCUCACAGCAUCAACAUACAUUUCAAAUGCAUCAUCAUACAUUUACAAAUAAAAAUGAACAGUUAUGCCCCUAGCGCAAUUGUUCUCCAAGCAAUGAGGGAACCUAAGCUAACUAAACGGAUUAAGCUUCUCCAAGCAAGAUCUUCAAGGUUGUCCUCCUUGCACUGACUUCUUUUGCUUUCUUUCAUACUUACAUUACAUGAAAGAAACUCGUCUUUACAUACGAGGGAGUGAGAUGAGAAAAGAAGUUACAUUGGAGAUUAAGAGAGAGGCACGACACGCAGGUCGUAUUUAAAACCAAAACAAAACAAAGGAAAACCUAAAGGCCAUAACGAUUCACACAGGACAAUAAUAAACACUUUAUUUUAUUAUUUAUAUUAAUUCUUUAAUUAAUUAAAAUCAAAUAAAUUUCGACAACGAUUCAUCACAUUUUAAUGACAGUCAAUUUAAAAUCGUAUGUCGCUUUUCGUAUCAACACUUGACACUUUUUAAAGCACUGAGUUAGCCGAAUGGGUGAAAAUUUCCUUGCGUUAACCGGUUAACCAUAUGCGUUAACCGGUUAACACUGUUUUGAAAUCUGAAAAAAAUUGUUUUCUGCCUUGCGUUAACCGGUUAAUCAAAUGUGUUAACCGGUUAACACUGUUUGAAAAUGUCUUGGAAAACUGUUUUCCGCUUUGCGUUAACCGGUUAACCAUAUGCGUUAACCGGUUAACACUGUUAAAAAAUCUCAAAAAUUUUAUUUCGCAUUCCGUUAACCGGUUAACCAUACGCGUUAACCGGUUAACACUAUUCCAAAAAGUGUUUAGGAAGCACAACUCUUGUGCGUUCAAACCCCAAUCGCAUAACUCUCUGACGACACAACCCUUGUGCCGUCACUAACCCUAAUGCACCAAUUUCAGAUCGUCAAACACGUCUCGAUUGUUAAUUCAGUAUGAUUGAUCAACACGUCAUUGCUUCACCAUACAAUUGUCGGAUCAAGAAGCAAACGACCAUUGAUCGCUCAAAGGAAAACAAUCAUCGAGGUUUUGAAUGAACGAAACAAGAACAUUAUAUCAUAUAUAAUGUAUUUUGCAUCAGGGUUACAUAUAUUCACAUAUAUGCUAACUUUGAUCGAUUCUCAAUUUAACCGUUUGAUUCAUUCUAUUUAAUCAUAUUAAUUACAUAACAAAAACAGAUAUCAGAUUCAUGGUUUCGUAAGUGGCUCUUGAUACCACUGUAGGAGAAUGCCAUCCAAGGCGCAGCGGAAUUUAAAAAUUUCUCCAUUUUGUGAUUCCUUACGAAUGCCCGGCAUGCAUCUAAGUUGAUAGAAUCGCUUACCUCUGUGUGGCGGUUCAAACCUUUGGUGCAUCGAUCUCUGAAAUGGCUCAAAACCUUGAAUCUAAGAUCCACGGGGCGAUCCAACGAACAUUGAACGCAUGACAAACGUCUCUAACUACAAGUCCCGAGCGAGCGAAGCGGAUUCCGUCUCCAAUCGCAGUGCUAGCUAUUUUGUGAAUGCAAGGCUUUGAGUGAAGAUUAAGAGAGAUACGAAAUUCCAACUCUUCAGUUGUGUUGUUAUUCCCAUACAAAGCUUCUGCACAAGAGCUCUAUUGUAUAGAACCACUUGUGGGCUUUCAAGCAAAAAAGCCCACUUAAGUGCAUUUUGGCCGUAUAUACUCAUAAUAUGCAAAAUCACUUAAGUAUUUGGUACCUUUACCAUAUUUCGUAUUCUGCCUUAAGGUACACCGUACCUUACGAUGUUCCUUUAAAUGUAUUCUAUCUCUCAUCAAUCCGUCCUUUGUGUGUGACCCUAUAGGUUUUCGCGGCGGUUGCAAUUAUAUUAAAUCACGCAUUUAAACAUAAUAAACAGUGAGCCGGUAUCUAGCAACACAUCACUGCUACCCAAGUCACGAAUGUCAUGUGAUCUGACCAAAACCUCCUGUUGAUAAUAAUUUAUUUGUAUAAUUACCCUUUGCCCUUAUGUCUAUAUUGAACACAAGCGUAUAGACCGUUGUCACCCUUGUCCAGGUCAAUAUUGGGCCCAUAGACAUUAUCCUGUUACGCAGGAUUGGCAAAUUCCAUCUAGACACUCAUGUUCCCUCAGCAUGCCUUUCGUGACAUACCCGAUCAACUGUUCUUUUAUGGUUAUCCAGUUACGGACAACGUAUGGAUCAGCAAAUAAAGGGCACUACGACUUCUACAUCUAGGCAUCCAUAGUGGUUUCAGGUCGAAAGAGUGGAUACACUAGUUAUCACAUGAGAUACUUAUUAUGCACUUUGCAUAACUUUCUAUAUAGUAUUUCUCAUAGCGGUCAAUCCGGUAUAAAAUAUUACUCUAAUAUUUCAUAUCUAUGUUAAGACUUUGAUAAACUCUUGAUCCAUGAUCAUGAGCAUGUGAUCAUCAGUCUACAAAGCAUAAUAGUCUUAUGCUUUAAUGUAAUCCCAAACUUCACAUUAAAGCUCGACUACGGAUACUUUAAGAAAUAGUGUCCUUAUGUUUAAUGUGUUGCAUGAUUCAAGUCACCACUUAAUACAUUAAACGGACUAUCUAUUCCAGGGACUUUAUUAAUCAACCAUAAUAAAGAAAAUGCCUUUAAAUAAUUCGAUACAAGUACCAAAAGUAUUGGCCUCUAGGGCUUACACCAACACUAUCAACCUCUGCAGGCAGAGCAGGGUGUUCAAGAGCAGAAGGGGCCGAGUACCUUCACCAGCGCUGGGUUGAUGAACCAUGGUGACGUCUUUGCAGCCAGUAGUGAAGACGGUGACAGUGAUUAUGAUGUGGACAACUGGGUGCGCCCGUGUGCUCCAGGCGAGAGGGUGAACAAUUGGACAGCCGAAGAAGUGGUCCAAGUUACUCUUCAAAUAGAGUAAUUUUCUUUUGUUUUCAUUUUGCACAAAACCCUACGUUCUGCCCAAGGCGUAGUGGUUCAUUGUAGGGCCUCAUCAUGUUUUCAAUGAUUAUCAUUAAUAAAGGACGUUUUGCAAACAAUUUUGUGAUCCCUGUCUUUUUGUUUUAUUUCCAUCUUUCAAAACAAUAAAAAUGGCAAUGUUUUUGUUUUUGUGACUUUCUUGAACUCUUUUUUCUAAAAUAAAGCAUUAAACAUGCAGAAUCGAUCUUACGGACUCCACUAUAAAUAGUUCUGUUAUGGCUCAAUAUGAUUUCAAUAAUCCCAUCUACCAAGCUGAAGAGGAGGGUGAGGAAGAUUGUGAACUCCCUAAAGAACUGGUCAGAUUAUUGAAGCAGGAGGAAAGGGUCAUCCAACCUCAUCAGGAGGAGUUGGAGAUUAUUAAUCUUGGUACUGAGGACGCCAGAAGAGAGAUAUUGUGAACUCCCUAAAGAACUGGUCAGAUUAUUGAAGCAGGAGGAAAGGGUCAUCCAACCUCAUCAGGAGGAGUUGGAGAUUAUUAAUCUUGGUACUGAGGACGCCAGAAGAGAGAUCAAGAUCGGGGUUGCUUUGAAGGAAGAUGUCGAGAGAGGGCUGAUUGAAAUGCUGAGAGAAUAUGUGGAGAUAUUCGCCUGGUCGUAUCAAGAUAUGCCUGGGUUGGAUACGUAUAUUGUGGUGCAUAGGCUACCUCUCAGAGAAGAUUGUCCUUCAGUAAAGCAGAAGCUUCGCAGAACUAGUCCUGAUAUGGCUGUCAAGAUCAAGGAAGAGGUUCAGAAGUAGUUGAAUGCGGGUUUUCUGGCAGUUACUAAUUAUCCCCCUUGGGUGGCCAACAUCGUUCCCGUGCCGAAGAAGGACGGUAAAGUCAGGAUGUGUGUCGAUUACCGGGAUUUAAACAGAGCCAGUCCAAAAGAUGACUUCCCAUUACCUCACAUUGAUGUAUUGGUUGAUAAUACUGCUCAAUCUUCGGUUUUCUCUUUCAUGGAUGGUUUUUCUGGCUAUAAUCAGGGAAAAGACGACAUUCAUUUACACCUUGGGGCACGCUCUCUGCUAUAAGGUGAUGCCAUUUGGGCUGAAGAAAUGCGGUGUACCUAUCCAGAGGCUAUGACGACUCUCUUUCAUGACAUGAUGCACAAAGAGAUUGAAGUGUAUGUGGAUGAUAUGAUUGCGAAGUCGCAGACAGAAGAGGAGCACCUGGUAAACUUGCAGAAGUUGUUUGAAAGGCUGAGAAAGUUCAAACUGAGGCUGAGUCCAAACAAGUGUACGUUUGGAGUGAGAUCCGGUAAGUUGUUGGGUUUCAUUGUCAGUGAGAAAGGGAUUGAGGUUGAUCCAGCAAAAGUAAAAGCUAUACAAGAAAUUCCUGAACCGAGAACAGAAAAAGAGGUUCGUGGUUUCUUAGGUAGAUUGAACUACAUCUCACGGUUCAUAUCUCAUCUAACGGCCACGUGUGAAUCGAUUUUCAAAUUGCUAAGGAAAAAUCAAGCAUUCAGGUGGAAUGAUGAUUGUCAAAAAGCUUUUGAUAAAAUAAAAGAGUAUUUGCAGAAACCUCCAAUCCUUAUACCUCCAGUGCCUAGGAGGCCUCUGAUAAUGUACCUGUCAGUGACUGAGAAUUCGAUGGGGUGUGUAUUGGGAUAGCAUGACGAGUCUGGUCGAAAAGAGCAUGUUAUAUACUACCUUAGCAAAAAGUUUACCGACUGUGAAAUAAAAUAUUCACAGCUUGAGAAAACAUGUUGUGCUUUGGCCUGUGCUGCUCGCCGACUGAGACAGUAUAUGUUGAACCAUACUACCUUAUUGAUUUCUAAGAUGGAUCCAGUGAAGUACAUUUUUGAGAAGCCGACUCUCACCGGGCGGGUUACUCGUUAGCAGAUGAUUCUAACUGAAUAUGAUAUCCAGUAUACGUCGCAAAAGGCCAUCAAAGGUAGUAUUCUGUCAGACUACCUUGCCGAGCAACCAAUCGAUGAUUAUCAACCGAUGAUGUUUGAAUUCCCUGAUGAAGACAUCAUGUAUCUAAAGAUGAAAGACUAUGAAGAGCCUGUUGUCGAGGAAGGACCGGAUCCUGAUGACAAGUGGACAUUGAUGUUUGAUGGGGCCGUGAAUGUGAAUGGUAAUGGUGUUGCGGCAGUACUUAUCAAUCCCAAAGGUGCUCAUAUACCUUUUUCUGCCAGAUUAACUUUUGACGUAACAAACAACGAAGCUGAGUAUGAGGCUUGUAUCAUGGGGAUCGAAGAAGCCAUCGAUCUAAGGAUCAAAACACUGAACAUUUAUGGAGAUUCCGCUCUAGUGAUUAACCAAGUCAAUGGAGUUUGGAAUACUCACCAGCCGCAUUUGAUUCCUUAUCGAGAUUACACCAGAAGGAUACUGACUUUCUUCAAGAUAGUGAAGCUAUAUCAUGUCCCCCGAGAUGAAAAUCAGAUGGCUGAUGCCUUGGCUACUUUGUCUUCUAUGAUCAAAGUCCAUUGGUGGAAUCAUGUGCCACAUGUUGCGGUGAAUCGAUUCGAGAGGCCUGCGUAUGUGUUUGCAGCCGAGUCUGUUGUUGAUAAGAAGCCGUGGUACUAUGAUAUCAAGAAUUUCCUCAAGAGUCAGGAAUAUCCUGAAGGAGCGUCAAAGAAUGAUAAUAAAACCCUAAGAAGGCUAGCUGGAAGCUUUUAUUUGAAUCAGGAUGGUGUGCUGUACAAGAGGAACUUUGACAUGGUUCUACUCAGAUGCGUGGAUAGACAUGAAGCAGACAUGUUGAUGCAGGAAGUGCAUGAGGGAUCUUUCGGUACCCAUGCUGGUGGUCAUGCAAUGUCCAAGAAAUUGUUGAGAGCCGGUUAUUACUGGAUGACUAUGGAAUUCGACUGUUUCAAAUACGCUCGGAAGUGCCAUAAAUGUCAGAUCUAUGCUGAUAAGGUGCAUGUACCACCUAGCCCUCUGAAUGUCAUGAUUUCGCCUUGGCCGUUCGCGAUGUGGGGCAUUGAUAUGAUAGGGAAGAUUGAGCCUACUGCUUCUAAUGGACAUCGCUUCAUCCUGGUCGCGAUUGAUUAAUUCACUAAGUGGGUGGAAGUAGUUUCCUAUGCCAAUGUCACCAAGCAAGUGGUUGCCCGAUUCAUUAAGAAGGAAAUUAUUUGUCGUUAUGGAGUUCCUGAGAGAAUCAUUACUGAUAAUGGUUUGAAUCUCAAUAACAAGAUGAUGAAAGAGCUUUGCAAAGAUUUUAAGAUCGAACAUCACAAUUCUUCUCCUUACAGACCGAAGAUGAAUGGUGCUGUAGAGGCGGCAAACAAGAACAUUAAGAAGAUUGUGCAGAAGAUGGUCGUGACGUACAAGGAUUGGCAUGAGAUGUUGCCUUACUCCUUACAGACCGAAGAUGAAUGGUGCUGUAGAGGCGGCAAACAAGAACAUUAAGAAGAUUGUGCAGAAGAUGGUCGUGACGUACAAGGAUUGGCAUGAGAUGUUGCCUUUCGCUUUGCAUGGGUAUCGUACCUCAGUACGUACGUCGACCAGGGCAACCCCUUACUCCCUUGUGUAUGGUAUGGAAGCAGUCCUACCUGUUGAAGUGGAGAUUCCUUCUCUAAGAGUCUUGUUGGAUGUCAAGCUUGAGGAAGCUGAGUGGAUUCGAAUAAGGUUUAACGAGUUGAGCCUUAUCGAAGAGAGGCGGUUAGCAGCGGUGUGCCAUGGGCAGUUGUAUCAGAGAAGGAUGAAGAGAGCCUUUGAUCAGAAAGUGCAUCCUCGAAGCUAUCAAACAUGUGAUUUGGUUUUGAAGAGGAUCCUUCCUCCCGGUACAGAUAACAGGGGCAAAUGGACUCCUAAUUAUGAAGGUCCAUAUGUUGUUAAAAAGGUUUUCUCUGGUGGAGCCUUGAUGCUUACAACUAUGGACUGGUGAAAGAUUUUCCGUCCCCUGUUAACUCGGAUGUAGUCAAAAAUACUUCGCAUAAAUUGACCCCGCUGGAAAGAAAAGAUAAAAGAGUCCAGGCAAAAAGGGCAUCCCGGCGAACAAAAAAAAAUGAAAAGGUUCGGGCAAAAAGUUAGGGAUAAAGAAUGAAAAGAAUAAGGUACACCGGUAAGUCGAAAACCCGCAAGGGCGGCUAAGGCAAAAAUGGGUAUCCCGGUGGAUUGAAAACCCGAAAGGGCGAUCCAGGCAAAAGAGGGAUUAAAGCGAAGACUACAGUCUGAGUUAUCUGUACUUCAUCGCGCUUCAUCGUCUACCAUCUCCAAGGAUAUGAUCGGUCCAAUCAUUCUUCUCAGAAAGCAAGGAAUUUGGGAGAAAAUUGAGGAUCUGUGAGUCAUAACAGUAUUGGGAAAUAGUGGAUGCCGUGUUCACGUUGCCAUUAGGAUAGUUUAUUUUCCUUUUGUGCGCAAUUACCUCUUCCCAGGAAUUGCUUCCUGAUGUAUUUGCCUUUUCAGACCCAUUUUCAAUCAAUAAAAGUCGUUAUUCAGAUAAAUUGCUCCCUUGUUUUUAUUUUACUGUUUUGUUUGCAAAAACGUCCGAAUUUUUGAUGAACAUUGCAUCGAAAAACAUGAAUGCUAGACGAUAACGUGCAGAAAGAUAAAACAUUCGAAAAUCAUUUUGAAUGUUGAAUACACUUGGGUGUAUCUUGUCCAUACAAUCCCCUGGGGCAUGUAUGUCUUGCUGUUUUGCAGGUUAUUACCUUUGAUUCUUGGCAGAAGCAGAUAAGCCACGAUUUGUUCAGAGACGUUUCAGCAUUGUCCAGUAGUGUGAGAAGUUGGGUUGUCUAAAGAAAAUUUAGGACUUGUCUCCCCAGCAUAGUCAAGAUCAGGGAUUCCUCAGCAGGGUUGAGGAUGUUUCCCCAGCAGGCUUGAAAGUGGCUAUUUCCCCAAGCAAGUCUGAAAGCUAUUAGAAUUGUUCUUCCCCAGCAGUCGGGUAUGAAAUACUGUAAUCCCUAGUGGAGGUGUCUUUGAGUAGUCUGUUCCUCAGCAGUCAGGUCUGAAGUACUGUAAUCCCCAGCAGGGUCGAGUUUGCAAUUUCCCCGGCAGGGUUGUGAUUGUUUUCCCCAGCAAUUUUGGAAUGGGUAGUCUUCCCAGCGGAGGUUUGCGUUGAUGGUUUUCCCCAACGAAGUCCCCAAGUGGAUCAGGUUCGGUGAAAAUUAUCCCCAGUAGAGUUAAUCCUGCUCAUGGGUUGGAAAUUAUCCCCAGUAGAGGUGAGCAUUGGUUGUUUCCCCUAGUGAAGUCCCCAAGUGGAUUGGAUUCAGUGAAGGUUGUCCCCGGUGGGAUUUAUCCUUUCUCCAGUAGCAGUGCUAUUCCCCAGCACGGUUGAGAGGUUGGUGUGUUUCCCAGCCAGAGACUCCCCGGUUGACUUGGUUUCUCUGCCGUCCCUAGAGUAUCAGAUCAGCAAAGCACCCCCAGCAAUCCGUCUCCCCACAGAGUUGGAGGAUCAAAUCAGAAUUGUGUGCUCAGCAAAGCGAUCAUUUGCUCCCCGGCAGGAGUUUUCAUCAUUUUUGCAUCUUGCAUGUAGUAAUCAUUGCAUCCUCAAAUCGCGUAGCAUUUCCAUUCAAUAUGGAGCAUUACGCCAUAAAAACUCAAACAUAUGCAUACAUGUGUUACAACAGAUUGGAUGGUAUCCCCAGCAGAGACGGAUCAUAUUUCAACAUCUGUGGCACAUUUGCAGCAGUUGCUCCUGACAGCAUUCGAGAUUGAUAAUCCCCAGAGAGAUUUAUUUCCUCACCCGUCCGUGAAAGGAAAGCGUGACUCCCCAGCGUAGUCCCCGGCAAGUGUCUGGCCUCGUCUUGACACAUGUAGACGUCAUCCUUGUGACACCGGAAAGUGUCAUGUCAACACCCGUGUGUUUUUUUUCUUCGGUGUCGGUAAACAUCAUCUUUCGAUGUCGGUAAACAUCGAGUCCCAUCCCAGUCAUCGGUAAAUGUCUGGUCGUUUUUUGAUGUCGGUAAACAUCAUCUUUCGAUGUCGGUAAACAUCGAGUCCCAUCCCAGUCAUCGGUAAAUGUCUGGUCGUUUUUUGAUGUCGGUAAACAUCAUCUUUCGAUGUCGGUAAACAUCGAGUCUCAUCCCAGUCAUCGGUAAAUGUCUGGUCCUGUAUCUUUUCAUCAAUAAAUAUCAAAUCCUCAGUAGAGUCGUCGGUAAACGUCUUGUCUGGUUCCAGUUGUAAAUAUCUCUUUUCCUUCCCAGUUGGAGCUGCCAUCGGUAAAUGGCCCCGCUUUCCUUGGUAUCAGUGUAUAUAAAGUCGACUAUUCCAGACUGCCAUCGGUAAAUGGCCUCAUUUUCUUCGAUAUCGGUAAAUAUUGAAUGCCCAACUUAGUUGCCAUCGGUAAAUGGCCUUGAUUUCUGUGACAUCUAUUUCCCAACAGCCAUCGGUAAAUGAUCUUGCUGACGUUGAUAUCAGUAAAUAUCAAGUUGUUUUGAAGCCACCAUCGGUAAAUGGUCUUGCUUCCUUUUAAUAUCAAAUUCCCAGUUGAAGCCACCAUCGGUAAAUGGUCCCGCUUCCUUUGGAUGUUGUUUCCCAGCCUCCAUCCGUAAAUGGCCUCGCUUUCCUGAGUUUUUAUUGUGCAGCCGCCAUCGGUAAAUGGCCUCACAUUUCUUUGAUGCAUCCCCCGCAGAGUGCAAAUUUCUAUGGUUCUUUGGUAUUCAAUCCCUGUUUACCUUGAAGGUCUGACAGUCGUUGCUCUCAUCCGUUCAGGUUCCCAGUUGAUUGAAUAGGGGCAGCUGUAGCACCUCAAAAUCCCUGUUUACCUUGAAGGUCUGACAGUCGUUGCUCUCAUCCGUUCAGGUUCCCAGUUGAUUGAAUAGGGGCAGCUGUAGCACCUCAAAUUUGCACCCCCCAUUUGUACAUUCAUUUCAUUUUUAUGUCAUUAACAUUACAUUAACAUUGCAUAGUACAUUGCAUCUCAUCAGUCAAGACUGGCAUCAAGAGGAUUCAUCUGUGCAAGAGAUCAAGCAUUUACUUGAGAUGAAGGCCCUAUGGUUGUUCUAGAGAGCUCAUGUGAAUCAAGGAUCAUUUUUAAGCAACUUGACCAAAGGCUAGAGGCUCAAAAGUCAUCAGUGCAUGUCCAAGUCAUCUGAGGCCCAUAAAAGUCAACUGCAAGUCAACUGAGGGCUAGGAGAUGGAGAAAUGGUUUGAGACACUUCAUUCAUGUCCCAAAUAGGUUUAAUCAACAUAUCAAACUCAUACUUUGAAGAUUUUGAAGCCAGAUUAAAAGUUUCCAAAAAUGGAAAUGACCUGUAAUUUGAAAGUUUACAAAAAUGGCAAGUUUUUGGACCAACUUCAACUCAACUUUCCAACAUCAAAGAAGCUUAAAAUGAAAUUUUGUCCAACAUGAAAGCUGAAGAUCUUUCUCUCCCAUUUCCAAAAAGUCCAAGAUCAUGAGCAUCUGAUGAAUGGUUGAGCAGAUGUGAGCAAAUCAUUGCCACGUGUGCAUGGAACUUCAAAUGGCCAUAUCUUUUGAACCAAAACUCCAAAUUUGGUGCCUCUUUUUCUAAAAUGCUUCUCAUGUCAUGAAGUUUCCAAAUCAAUCAUCACAUUGCAUAAAAUGUUAUCACAUGAUCAUAAAUGGCCAUAUCUUUUGAACCAAAACUCCAAAUUUGGUGCCUCUUUUUCUAAAAUGCUUCUCAUGUCAUGAAGUUUCCAAAUCAAUCAUCACAUUGCAUAAAAUGUUAUCACAUGAUCAUUUGCAUACUCAUGCCCAUUUUGGAGGGAAAUUGCAAAAUUUAAAAAUGGUGCAUUACAUGAACUUUUUACCAUUGCCAAUGUGUUUUAAAAAUGAUUUUAAGUGCAUUUGAGCUGGUAAGGGUUAUUGUUCACGUGUGCAUGCUUCACACACCCUCCAAUUUGUCAUUUUUUGUCAUGCACCUUAUUUUGAUUAAUUUUAACUAAACCAUGCCUAAUUUGGAUUAAGAGUGGAUUAGUGAAGCAUAUAUAUUUAUAAUCAUAACAGAAUUGGAGGGAAUUCUAGAUCUAGAUCUCAAAUUUUUCUCUCCCUCCAAAAUUUUCUCAUAAUCAAAUUUCAAAUUUCUUUAACAUAGCAACUGCUUUUUAUUGAAGAUUCAUGAUCAGUGAGUGUGAUUGAGUGGGAAUCCAGCAUUUGUUGAAGAAUUGGAGCCAUAAUCGAGCAGUUGAAGUUCAAGAACAUUUCCAUGGAAGUUGAUUGGUGAGCUAGAUCUACAUGUUUCCAAGCUUCAAAUUGUUCAUCAAUCAUCAUAACAAGUAUUUUGGAGCUGAUUUGGACCAUUACAAGUGUUGAAUCGUGUGAAUCCAGAACCUGCUCUUCAAGAGGUGAAUUUUUCGACCUUCAUAAUCCUCAAAUUUAUGUACAUAUUUGUGUAGAUCUUUUAACACUGAUGAAUCUGGUGGAAAUUUCACAUGAAAUAAUGCAUUAUUGACUGAGAUAUGUGUGAUUCAAGUUUUGUGCACGAAUCCUCUUUUCAUCGAUUCUCAUUGAUCUUGUUGAAUUAAGCUUAGUUAUUACUUGAUCUGUGAUCUCCAUGGAAAGAUCUUUGAAAUGAUGUAGAAAUUUUGGAAAUCUGGAAAAUUUUCUUAACCUUGCCACUGUUCAUCUUCGUCUACAUGAAGAAGAUGAAGUAGCGUCCGUUCUAGCGUCCAUUUUGCCACCGUCUGGUUAUUGCUUAGGUGGCUAGGGUUUUGUCUUAUCUAUAUGUCCACGCGAGCGUCCAUUAGGCAAGUUGAUUGGUUCAAAUUGUUUGACCUUGUUUGACUGCGCUUUGACUGUUGACUGGCACGCCCAGUCAUAAAUGAAACGCAGCGUUUCACUUAGUGUGGCGCGCACUCAUUUGAAUUUGAACGCGGUUCGAUUCUUGCCUGUGCCAAUAUUUCAAAAGUUUCAGCAUUUUAAUUCUUCCCUCCAUAUUUCACAUGCCAUGUUCAUUUUGAUUUUAUUUUUUUAGCCAAUUUAAAAAAUUCAUAACUCAUUGAAUAUUAAUCCAAAUGAUCCCCAAUUUGUUGCCAAAUGAUCCUUGUAAUGUCUAGUUUUUUUUGGUGUGAUGUCCUGAUUUUUACCAUGCCUGGAUUUUUGACUUGUGUUAGAACGAUUGAAUAUGUGUACAUUUGUGACAUUGCCUUGCUCUUCCUAUCAUAAAAUGCUAAAAAAUAAUCCAAUGGCCAUGACAUUUUGUGUGUAGGCUCUUAACAUGUUGAUUGACAUUUUAGGCUUGGUUUUACAUUUUUCUCAUGCUCCUUCCCUGUUUUAUGUACAUGUUAAUAUGGUGUGACAAUGCAUGUCACACAAUUUGGAUGUCCUAUUUCAUCAUUUCCAUUGAUAGGCCAAUUGAUCUUUGAUGCUCCUGAUUUUUGGUAUGUUGAUUCUAUUGGACAUGUUGUAUGCUCAUGAUUUUUUCCAUAAUUGUUUGGUGCAUUUCUGAUUUAAUGUGCAUUUUCACACUUGAAUGCCCAAUUGAUGAUCAUGUUGUGUGUCUUUGCCAUAUUUUGUUCACCACAUGACCUUGCUUGAUGAUUUUGGUUUGGUCCUUUUUAGGAAUUGAACUUGAUUGAAUAAACAUGCUUUGUGUUGAAUAUCAAGUUCUGUUUUGGCUUUUUGAUCCACUUUUGACCCUAGGCUUUGACCUAGUGGUUUGGACUUACCAUUUGGGUUGUGAAUUUCAGGUUCAAGUAUGCAUCCAUGAUUGAUGUUGCUCCUUCAUUUGAGCUUGGUCAUUUGUUGUUGUUGGCUAACAUUUUGUUUGUUUUGUAGGCUUUGAUGAUAAUUCACUUGAGUGUUUGCCUUAUGGCUUACUCAUUGUUCAUAAUGGAUUUGUCUGUCUGUUGAGAUCCAUUGACUGUUGUCUGUUUGUCUGAGUAUUGUACGGAUUGUGUUUAGUUGUUUACACAGGUACCUAAGUUGCUUUAAGUUCAUUUGAACUUUGCUUUGCUUGCAUGUGGUUGGCAUACCACUUAGGUAAUGACCUCUGACUUCAUGUAGUCUGGAAGACUUGUCAUGUACUUUGGCAGGCACCUGUCUGAAGCCCUCCUUAAGAGGCAAUGUUUGUGCUUGUUUAUCUUUGUGCCUUGUACAUUCAAAGGACCUCCUAAGUGAAGAGGCAUUGCAGAUAGAAGGGAUGUGCAAUCCUUCCCCUGCUAUCAUUUGUGUCAUUCAUCCUGCUCAUACCAUGUGUUGAUGCACUUUGAAUAAAAACCCAAGAUCUUGUUUGUCAGUCAUGUGGAGUAGAGUCCCACAUUCUGAACUCCACACUUUCAUUGAUUGAAGCUCUCCCAGGCCAGGGAUAAGAGCUGUGAGGUCUUACCCUCACUUCCCAUUUCAUCUGCUUCACCCUAACUCUCAAUGUUAGGGUUAAGAGCUAACAACACCCUUUUCCAGUUGGCUUGUUUGUCGAGGUUGAUAUGACCCCUUGACUAAAGCCCAGCCUUGUGUGAGCCAAUUGUUUGCAUAUAGUGUGUGAUACUUGUGCUUGUGUUUGCUUAUCUACUGUUUAGGCUAGCUUGCUCACUGUGCAAGUUAGGUUAGGAUUGGAGACCUCAACAUAGGGAUCGUAUGCAUGACAACUUCUAGGCUCGAGUCGUAGUCUCCCUAGUAGCUUGUUAUCUCCCUAGUCUCUUGUUAGGAUAGAAGUUCUUUCCCUGAUAAGGGGAACUACGUCGCCCUGAUCCUCAUACCAGAUGAGGUACAUGGGCAGGAGAUUGAGCUGAUCUCUCCGGGCAACCUUUUGUUUUUUCAACCUCUUUUUGUGUGUUGUUGGUCUGGAGUCUGACAUAAGUCCAUCGAUUGGCAGUCGGUUUCCUGUGUGUGUUUGUUUGUCUGGAGUCUGACAUAAGUCCAGCGAUUGGCAGUCGAUUUCCUGUGUGUGUUUGUUGGUUCGGAGUCUGAUGUAAGUCCAGUGAUUGGCAUUCGGUUUCCAUGUUUGCCUGUGUGUCUGGAGUUGGAUGUAAGACCAGCGAUUGACAUUCUGUUUCCAGUUGUGUGUUUGUUUGGCUGUGUGUCUAGAGAAGAUACGUAUGCAUAGGAUGCGACAUCCUAGCGAGCACGUUUCCCUUGUCCCCGAACUACGUCGACUCUGAUGUCUGUGUCUGACAAACUACGUAGGCCCAGGAUGCGAUAUCCUGCCGAGUCACCUUCUUCCUUCUUUCAUCUGUGUUUGUUUCCAGUGUGUGCGCAUUCUUUGAACAGUUAUCCAUCAACCUUUCUUCUAUUCUUUUGAGCGUGGAUCCCGUCGAGUACGACGGAUGCGUAGGGGUGCUAAUACCUUCCCUUCGCAUAACCGACUCCCGAUCCUUGCAUCUCUGGUCGUGAGACCAUUCCUUUCCAGGUUUACUUCGAGCAUACCUUCCCUUCGCAUAACCGACUCCCGAUCCUUGCAUCUCUGGUCGUGAGACCAUUCCUUUCCAGGUUUACUUCGAGCGUUUCCUUUCCCUCCUUUGGGAUAAAUAACGCACGGUGGCGGCUCUGUUUCUUCUUUUUCCCUUUGGUUUUUCGUGUAAUGCGACAUGAUGCCUUGGCCACAUUGUCUUCCAUGAUUAAAGUUCAUUGGCAGAAUCAUGUGCCACACGUUGCUGUGAAUCGACUCGAGAGGCCUGCGUAUGUGUUUGCUGCCGAGUCUGUUAUUGAUGAAAAGCCGUGGUUCUAUGAUAUUAAGAAUUUCCUAAAUGCCAAGAGUAUCCUGAAGGAGCGUCAAAGAAUGACAAGAAGACAUUGAGAAGGCUAGCUAGAAGCAGACAUGUUAAUUUAGGAGUACACGAGGGAUCUUUCGGUACCCAAGUUGGUGGUCAUGCAAUGUCCAAGAAGUUGUUAAGAGCCGGUUAUUACUGGAUAACCAUGGAAUCCGAUUAUUUCAAAUUCGCUCGGAAGUGCCAUAAAUGUCAGAUCUAUGCAGAUAAAGUGCAUGUACACCCAAACCCUCUGAAUAUCAUGAAUUCUCCUUCGCCAUUCGCGAUGUGGGGCAUCGAUAUGAUUGGGAAGAUUGAACCUAUUGCUUCUAAUGGGCAUCGCUUCAUCCUAGUCGCGAUUGAUUACUUCACCAAGUGGGUGGAAGCAGCUUCCUAUGCCAAUGUUACCAGACAAGUGGUUGCCCGAUUCAUUAAGAAGGAAAUUAUCUGUCGCUGUGGGGUUCCUGAGAGAAUCAUCACUGAUAAUGGUUCGAAUCUCAAUAACAAGAUGAUGAAAGAGCUAUGCAAAGACUUUAAAAUCGAACACCACAAUUCUUCUCCUUACAGACCAAAUAUGAAUGGUACUAUAGAGGCGGCAAUCAAGAACAUUAAGAAGAUUGUGCAAAAGAUGGUUGUGACGUACAAGGAUUGGCAUGAGAUGUUGCCUUUCGCUUUGCAUGGGUACCGUACUUCAGUACGUACGUCGACCGGGGCAACCCCCUACUCCCUUGUGUAUGGUAUGGAAGCAGUCCUACCUGUUGAAGUGGAGAUUCCUUCUCUAAGAGUCCUGUUGGAUGUCAAGUUAGACGAAGCUGAAUGGGUUCGAACAAGGUUCAAUGAGUUGAGUCUUAUCGAAGAAAAGCGUUUAGUAGUUGUGUGCCAUGGGCAACUAUAUCAGAGAAGGAUGAAGAAGGCCUUUGAUCAGAAGGUGCGUCCUCGAAGCUAUGAGAUAUGUGACUUGGUUUUGAAGAGGAUCUUGCCUCCCGAUACAGAUAACAGGGGCAAGUGGACUCCGAAUUAUGAAGGUCCGUAUGUUGUUAAAAAGGUCUUUUCUGGUGGAGCCUUGAUGCUUACAACUAUGGAUGGUGAAGAUUUUUCGUCCCUUGUGAAUUCAGAUGUAGUCAAAAAAUACUUCGCAUAAAUUGACUCGCUGGACAAAAAAAAAAGGAGUCCAGGCAAAAAAGGGCAUCCCGGCGAACCCAGAGAAAAAGAAAAAGGUCCGGGCAAAAGUUAGGGAUAAAGAAUAAAAAUAAUAUGUACACCUGGUAAGUCGAAAACCUGCAAAGGUGGCUUAGGCAAAAAUGGGUAUCCCGGUGGAUUGAAAACCUGAAAAGGCGGUCCAGGCAAAAGAGGGAUUAAAGCGAAGACUACAGUCUGAGUUAUCUGUACUUAAAAAAUGGGUAUCCCGGUGGAUUGAAAACCUGAAAAGGCGGUCCAGGCAAAAGAGGGAUUAAAGCGAAGACUACAGUCUGAGUUAUCUGUACUUCAUCGCGUUUCAGUGUCUACCAUCUUGAAGGAUGUGACCGGUCCAAUCAUUCUUCUCAGGAGGCGAAGAAUUUGGGGGAAAUUGAGGAUCUAUGAGUCAUAACAGAAUUGGAAAAUGGUGGAAUGUCGUGUUCACAUUGCCAAUAGGAUAGUUUAUUUCCUCUUUUGACGCAAUUACCUCUUCCUAGGAAUUGCUUCCUGAUGUAUUUGCCUUUAUAUUCCAUUUUCAAUCAAUAAAAGUCGUUAUUCAGUCAAAUUGCUCUCUUGUUUUUUAUUUUACUGUUUUGUUUGCAAAAAACAUCCGAAUUUUUGAUAAACAUUGCAUCUAAAAACAUGAAGGCUAGACAAUGACGUGCGGAAAGAUAAAACAUUUGAAAAUCAUUUUGAAUGUUGAGUACACUUGAGUGUAUUUUGUCCCUGUGACCCCCUAGGGCAUGUAUGUCGUGCUGUUUUGUAGGUUACUAUCAAGGAUUGCUGGCUAAAGCAGAUGAGCCGAAGUUUGUUCAAAGGUGUUUCAACACUGUCCAGUAUUGUGAGAAGUUGGGUCGUCUAAGUCAAGUUCAGAACUUGUCUCCCCAGCGGGUUUCGAGGUCGGUGUUUCCUCAGCAGCCAGGCCUAAAGUUUGUUGUUUCCCCUACCAGGGUUAAGAGUGUGUCCCCAGCAAGUUUGGAGGUUGUUGUUUCCCCAACGGAGGUAUGCGUUGGUAGUUUUUCCCCAGUGAAAUCCCCAAGCAGAUCGGGUUCAGUGGAAGUUGUCCCCAGUGAGGGUUAUCCUUUCCCCAGCAGCAGUGAUAUUCCCCAGCAUGAUCGAGAGGUUGGUGUUUUCCCAACAAGUGACUCCCCAGUUGAGUUGGUUUCUCUGUCGUUCCGAGAAUGUCAGAUCAGUAAGUAUCCGCUGCAGAAUUUUUGUGUGUCCCCACAGAGUUGGAAGAUCGAAUCAGAAUUGUGUGCUCAGCAAAGUGAUCAUUUGCUUUCCUAGCAGGAGUUUUCCUCCCUUUGCAUCUUGUAUAUAGUAAUCAUCAUUUGCAUUCGCAUUCUCAAAUCGCGUAGCAUUUCCAUAGAAAACUCAAACAUAUGCAUACAUGUGUUAAACCAGAUUAGAUCAUAUCCCCAGCAGAGGCGGAUCUUUUUUCAACAUCUGUAUGGCACAUUUGCAGCAGUUGCUCUUGGCAGCAUUCAGAAUCGGUAAUCCCCAGAGAGAUUUAUUUCUUCACCUGUCCGUGAAAGGAAAGCUUGAUUCUCUCCCCAAUUUAGUCCCCGGCAAGUGUCUGCCUUGUUUUGACAUAUGUAGAUGUCAUCCUUGCGAUACCGGUAAGUGUCGUGUUGAUCCCCGUAAUGUCUGUUUUUUGGUGUCGGUAAACAUCAUCUUUCGGUAUCGGUAAACGUCGGAUUCCAAUCGUUGGCCAUCAGUAAAUGGAAUACCUCUCAUGGUGUCUACAAAGAAUUGUUCUGUUAACACCCGUGUGUGUCCUUUCUUUUUGAUGUCGGUAAACAUCAUCGUUCUAUGUUGGUAAACAUCGGUCGCUUGUUAACCAUCGGUAAAUGGUUUUGUCGUUUUAGAUUCCCCGAAAAAUUCACUAUCCGUAAAUAUCAACCAUCGAUAAAUGGUUUCGUUCAUAAGUAUUUCCUUUGUUCGAUGUCGGUAAACAUCGAGUUCUUUCCCAGUCAUCGGUAAAUGUUUGGUCGUGUAUCCUUUCUUCCCAGUCAUCGGUAAAUGUCUGGUCGUGUACCCUUUGUUCGAUGUCGAUAAACAUCGAGUUCCUUCCCAGUCAUCGGUAAAUGUCUGGUCGUGCAUCAUUGUUCGGUGUCGGUAAAAAUCGAGUUCUUUCCCAGUCAUCGGUAAAUGUCUGGUCGUGAAGUGUUUUCGUUGAUAUUGGUAAAUGCCAAUUCCUCAGUAGAGUCGUCGGUAAGCGUCUGGUCUUGUUCCAGUUCUAAACAUCUUUUUCCUCCCCAGUGGAAGCCGCCAUCGGUAAAUGGCCUCGCUUUCCUUAAUAUCGGUAAAAAUCAAUUCUUGUUUUGAAGCCGCCAUUGGUAAAUGGCCUCGCUUUCCUUGAUAUCGGUAAAUAUCAAACCUUGUUUGGAAGCCGCCAUCGGUAAAUGGUCUCGCUUUCUUUGAUAUCGGUAAAUAUCGAUCCUGUUUUGAAGCCGCCAUCGGUAAAUGGCCUCGCUUUCUUUGAUUCGUCACUUACGGAGUGCAAAUUCUCCGGUUCUUUUGGUAUUCAAUCCCUGUUUACCUUGAAAUUAUGAUAGUCGUUGCUUUCAUCCGUACAGGUUCUUAGUUGAUUGAAUAGGGGAAGUUGUAGCACCUCAAAUUUGCCCUCCCCAUUCAUGCAUUCAUUCAUUUUUUUUAGGUCAUUUAUCAUUCCAUGUUGCAUUCCAUCCUGUUAACCAGAAUUGGCAUCAAGAGAAUUCUUUGUGCAAAAGAGCAAGUCUUUCCUUGAGAUGAAGGCCACAUGAUUAUUCUAAAGAGCUUAUAUGAGCUAGGGUUCUUUUUGAAGCAAUUUUACCAAGUGGUAGAGGCCCAAUUUCAUCAGUGCAUUUUCAGGUCAUUUGAGGACCAUAAAAGUCAACUGUGCAAUCAACUGAGGGCUAUGAGUUGGGGAAAUGAUUUGAUACAUCCCAAUCAUGUUCAUUUAAGGCCUAUUCAUCAUGUCAAACAUCUAUCUUGAAGAUUUUGAAGUCAAAUCAAAAGUUUCCAAAAAUGGAAAAUGACCUGUAAUUCAAAGUUUCCAAAAAUGGCAAGUUUUUGGUCCAUAUUCAACUUGAUUUUCCAACAUCAAAGAAUCUUCAAAAGGAUUUUUGGUGAACAUGGAAGUUGAGGAUCUUUCUCUCCUCUUUUCAAAAAGUCCUAUAUCAUGUCUAUAUGAUAAUUGGUUGGGAAGUUAUGGCCAAAUGAUCACAAAGUGUACAUGGAAGUUUAAAGUGACAUAACUUUUGAUCCAAAACUCCAAAUUUGUCCACUCUUUUUGCAAAAUGCUUGUCAUGACCAAUACUUUUCAAAUCAACCAUUGCAUUGCAUGAAAAAAGCUCAUAUGAUCACUUGCCCAUACAUGUGCAUUUUGGAGGGAAAAUUGAUAAUUCAAAUUUGGUGGAUGAUACAACCAAUUUGAUCAUUCCAUGUUGAUUAUUGGAUGAUUUGAAGUGAGAUUUAAGCUAUUGCAUGAACUGUUCACGUGCACAUGUCCAUGCAUAACCUCAUUUGCAUGUUUUUGCACUUUGCUUUACAUUUCAUUAAUCAAGAUUAACCAAGCCUAAUUGUGAUUAGCAUGAUGAUUAGCACCUCAUAUAAAUAGAAAAUCAUAACUGUUUUUGCUGAGAACAACAAUUUCAGAUCUCAAAUUCACACUUCCCUCCAUUUUUUCUCUCUCUUCAAAACUCCAAAUUUCUUCACACAAGUCCUCAAUUUCUUUGCAUAUUCUGGUUAAGCAUGGAAUUUUGAGUAAGAAUCCACGCCUGGUUUGAAGAAUUGAGCGAGAUUUGAGCUGGUUCAUGAACAUUCAUACAUUGAUGGAAGAUUGAAAUUGAACAAGAUCUAGUGGAUUUCAAGUGCUUCUUUAUACACAAAGCUUCAAGUUACAAGUAGAGGAGAAGAUCUGGAGAAUUUGAGCACCUGAGGAUGCGUAUAAAGUUGUUGCCAUUUCCAAGUAGGUUGAAUUUGAUCCUCACUUUUUGAUGUUUCAUGUACAUGAUUGUGUAGAUCUCACUGUGUUGAACAUGCUGAUAUGCUUAGAAUUGAUUUUGGUUAGAAAUUGAGUUAAUUAUGAUGAUUAAAAGUUUGGAUGUGAAAAAUGUUUCUCUUCGAUCUGUGCGUAUUAGUGAGAGUUAGAUUGAAUGAACAUGAUAUUCGUGAUCUACAUUGAAAGACCUUUCCAACCAUAUGCAUUUCAUGCGAUUCUGGAAAAAAAAAUUUGAGCUCCGCCGCGUACACGGUCGGAGAAGAUGGUUUAAACCACCGUGUGCCACCGCCUGGUUUUGGCAUAGGGUUUGUGUCUCCAAACACUGCGUUUUGGAUUUUCUCUUUGAUCCUAGCUUGCACGGGUUCGAAUCCUGGCGUGCGUUUGCUUUGGAUUUAAUUGUUGAAAAUUCGCUUGAUCCGUCCACACCUGAGUUCGAACCUAGCGCAUGCAUUUUUCUGAUUUUCCAAUUGAUUUUUCAUUAAGCGCUUCUUGGACCGUGUGUACCUGUGUUCGAAACCUAGCGCAUGUUGUUUGUGAUUUCCAAUUGAUUUUUCACUUGAGCGCUCUUUGUCCCUUGGAGCGUGUGUUCGAUACUGGCCUGGUGCAUUAUGUUGAUAUUAUUUGAAUUUUGUUUUCCCUCCAUUGCCAUUUUUGUUCAUAAUAUUCAUUCAAAUUUAAAAAAUCAUAAAAAAUAGUAGGAAUGUCCAAAUUGAUCCAAACUCUUUUUCACAUGUUUGUUUUAAUGUCUAGAUUUUUAUAGGAUUUAUUUCCUGAUUUAUGUGCAUCUGGAUUUUUAAUUGGGAAUUGUUGUUUGAACAUGAUGCCAUAUUGACAUGUUGCAUUCAUUUGCUUGUGAAAUGCUCAUGGUUAAUCCAAUUGAUUUGAAAUUUGACAUGCUUGAUCCUAACAUGUGAUGUGAUUUUUUGGAUUUGGUUUGAGAUUUUUAUCAUAUACUAUCACUGUUUUGGACACAUGAACAUAUGGUGUGACAAUUUGUGUCACACAUUUGAUGUUGCAUUUGUGCAUUUUCAUUUACAUAUCAUUUGAGCUCUUCUGGACUUAAUGUUUUGCAUGAUGUUCAUUCCUAACAUGUUAAUCUCACAUAAAAAAUUUCAUGAUCAUUGGAUGCUUUUCUGUUUUGAUUUGGAUUUUCUAUUUUUGAUGUCCAACUUUGAUCACAUUGCUUGCCUUUGCUUUACCUUGAUCAUUUGAUGGCUUUGCCUUAUGGAUUGGUUUUGGUCCUUUUGAGGACUCUUUAUUGUUUGGUUGAAUGUGCUUCAUGUGAAAUAUUGACUUCUGUUUUGGUCAUUUGACUUGCCUUUGACCCUAGUCUUUGUACUAGGGGUUUGUACUCACCAAUUGUGUUUUGUGUUUCAGGCAUUGAGCAUUUAGCACUAAGGUUUGGUUUGGUCUCAUUACUUGAGAUGCAAGUUACUUUGAUUACUAACUCUUGUUGUGUUGUAGGUCCAUUGAUGUGAUGAACUCACUUGAGUGCUUGCACUUAUGACUUGCAUUGUGUAGAUAUUGGAAAGUUCCACUGUUGUUGUCUGUUUGGUUUUCUGAAUACAAUAUUAUUUGUUUGGCUUUUGUACAGGUACAUUAGUUGCUUUUAGCUCUUGAUUGAGCUUUGCUUUGGAGUGUGGUUGAUACACCACUUAGGUAGCCACUCUUAUACUCCAUGUAGUCUGGAAGUCCUGCCACCUUUUUGGCAGGCAUUUGGCUGAAGUCCUCCUUAAGAGGCCAUGAUUGUGAAUUUUUACAUUUGUGCUAAAGACCUCCAAGUGAGGCAUGUUACUUGAUAAGUCCUCCUAAGUGAAGAGGAAAUUGACAGAUAAAAGGGAUUAGCAAUCAAUCCCCUGUUAUUCAAUGAGUCAUUCAUUAUGCUCGCACUACGUGCUGAUGCUCUUGAACCUAACCCAAGAUCUUUGUAUAGAGUCAGUCAAGUGGAAUAGGGUCCCUCUUUCUGGAUCCCCACACUUUCUUUGAUUUGAGCUCACCCAGGCCAGGGUUAAGAGCAUGAGGUCUCAUCCUCAUUACCACAUUUCAUCAGCUUCACCCUAACUCUCAAUGUUAGUGGUUAAGAGCUUCAGCAUACCCCUACAGUUUGGCUUGUUUGUCGAGGUUGAUAUGACCCCUCUUGACUAAAGCCCAACCAUUUGUAUGAGCCUCUUGUUUGUAUAUUGAGUGUGAUGCAUGUUCACUUGUGAUUGAUGUUUAUUUGCCGUUUGAGCUGACUUACUUCCUCAUGUGAGUUAGAUUCUGAUUAGAGACCUCAACGUAGGGAUCGUUUUGCAUGACACUUUUAGGCUCGGUCUUAGUCUCCUAUUAGUUUGUUGUCUCCCUGGUCUCUGGUUAGGAGAGAGUUUCUCCCCUGUUAAGGGGAACUACGUCGCCCUGAUUCUCAUACCAGAUGAGAUACGUAGGCAGGAGAUUGAGCGAGAUCUCUCCGGGCACCCUUUUGUUUUUUUUUUUGUGUGUGUGCACCCUUUCACCUUUUUUUUCUUUUUUGUGUGUGUUUGUUAGGAGUUAGAUGUAAGUCCAUGGAUUGGCAUUCUGUUUCCUCGUUUGUGUUUGUUUGUUAGGAGUUGGAUGUAAGUCCAUGUAUUGGCAUUCUGUUUCCUGUUUGUUGUUUGGAGUCGGAUGUAAGUCCAGGUAUUGGCAUUCUGUUUCCUUUUGAGUGUUUGCUUUGACGUCUCAGCGUCUCUUUUGGUGUUUUUUUUCGGCGUGCGUUAGCCGAGCUACGAGUGUUCUGAUUCUUUCUCUUGUUAGAGAAGAUACGUAGGCAUAGGAUGCGAUGUCCUAGCGAUCAUGUUCCCCAUUUACCCGAACUACGUUGACUCUGAUGCUUGUUUCUGACAAACUACGUAGGCCCAGGAUGCAACAUCCUGCCGAGUCCGCUUCCCCCUUCCUCUUCUUUCACCUGUGUUUUAUCCCAGUUUGUGCAGAUUCUUUGAGCAGUUUUACUAGCAACCUUAUCCUAUUCUUUUGAGCGUGGAUCUCGUCGAGUACGACGAACGUGAGGGGGUGCUAAUACCUUCCCCUUGCGUAACCGACUCCCGUACCUUGCAAUCUCUGGUCGUAAGACCGUUCCUUUCCCUUCCUUAGGUUAGUCCUGCGCUCCCUUUCCGUCAGAGGAUGAAUAGCGUCGGUGGCGGCUCUGUGUUUUUCCCGCCGGUUGUUUUUCGCGUUGUGAUAUCAUGCAAAGCAAAUUGCAACAUCUUGUGCCAAUCUUUGUAAGUAACAACCAUCUUCUGGACGAUCUUCUUGAUAUUCUUAUUAGCAACUUCAACAGCCCCAUUCAUCUUGGGUCUAUAAGGAGAAGAAUUAUGAUGUGCAAUCUUGAACUCGCUACACAGCUCUUUCAUCAUUUUGUUGUUCAAGUUAGAUCCAUUAUCAGUAAUGAUCUUGUCGGGCACACCAUAAUGGCAUAUGAGUUGAUUCUUGAUAAACUUCAAAACCACCUUCCUGGUCAUGUUUGCAUAUGACGCCGCUUCAACCCACUUGGUGAAGUAAUCAAUUUCUACGAGAAUAAACAUGUGCACGUUGGACGCUUUCGGCUCUAUCAUGCCAAUCAUGUCAAUUCCCCACAUAGAGAAAGGCCAUGGUGAUGAAAUCACAUUCAGAAGUGUCGGGGGAAUAUGAAUCUUAUCCGCAUAAAUCUGACACUUAGUCAGACUCCAUUGUCAACCAAUAGUAGCUUACUCUCAAUAUCUUUCUAGCCAUGGCAUGCAUUGGAAUGAGUACCAAAUGAACCCUCAUGGACUUCAGUCAUCAACAGGUCUGCUUCGUGUCUAUCCACGCAUCUGAGCAGAACCAUGUCAAAAUUCCUUUUAUAAAGCACAUCGCCAUUGAGGAAGAAACUGCCUAAUAAUCUCCUCAAAGUUUUCCUAUCUUUCACAGAUGCCCCAGGCGAGUAAAUCUGACUUUGGAGAAAACACUUGAUAUCAUAAUACCAUGGCUUAUCAUCCUUCACUUCUUCAACUGCAAAUACAUGAGCUGGUUUGUCCAAGCGCAUCACAGUGAUAUUGGGAACCUCAUUCCAGAGUCUUACCACGAUCGUCGAAGCAAGUGUAGCAAGUGCAUCUGCCAUCCGAUUCUCAUCUCGAGGAAUAUGAUGGAAGUCAACCUCAGUAAAAAAUGUUGAAAUCCUCCUCGCAUAAUCUCUAUAUGGGAUGAGGCCGAGCUGAUUCGUCUCCCAUUCACCCUUAAUCUGAUUAACAACAAGGGCCGAAUCACCAUAAACAUCAAGAUGCUUGAUCCUAUGAUCAAUACACUCUUCCAAUCCCAUGAUACAGGCCUCAUAUUCCACCAUAUUAUUCGUGCAUUUGAAAGUUAAUCUUGCUGUAAAAGGAAAAUGUGUGCCCUGAGGAGUAAUAAUUACUGCCCCAAUACCAUUUCCAUACUGAUUUAUAACGCCAUCAAACACCAUGCUCCAUCGGGAACCAGACUCUGGCCCUUCAUCGAGCGUAGGCUCAUCACAAUCUUUCAUUUUCAAAUACAGAAUCUCUUCGUCUGGGAAGUCAUAUUGAACUGACUGAUAAUCCUCGAUUGGUUGAUGUGUCAAGUGGUCAGCCAAGAUACUACCUUUAAUAGCUUUCUGAGCUCGAUACUCAAUAUCAUACUCAUAUAAUAACAUCUGCCAACGGGAAAUCCUCCUAGUUAAAGCAGGCUUCUCAAAGAUAUACUUGAUUGGAUCCAUUUUGGAUAUCAGCCAAGUCGUAUGAUUCAACAUAUACUGGCGUAAGCGCUUAGCAGCCCAACCCAAAGCACAACAUGUUUUCUCAAGCAUUGAGUAUCGAGACUCACAAUCAGUGAACUUCUUACUAAGGUAGUAUAUAGCAUAUUCUUUCUUCCCGGAUUCGUCUUGCUGACCAAGGACACAACCCAUUGAGUCUUCAAGAACUGUCAGAUACAUAAUCAAUGGUCUCCCUUCCACAGGCGGAGACAAAAUCGGAGGCUCGGACAGAUACUCUUUGAUACUGUCAAAGGCUUUUUGGCAAUCCUCGGUCCAAUAAUUACGCUGAUCUUUCCGGAGGAGCUUGAAUAUCGGCGCACAUGUGGCAGUCAUGUGGGAUAUAAAUCUGGAAAUAUAAUUCAAGCGGCCAAGAAAACCUCGGACUUGCUUCUCAGUUUUAGGCGCAGGCAUCUCUUGUAUUACUUUGACCUUGGACGGAUCAAGCUCAAUACCUCUCUCGUUGACAAUAAAACCCAAUAACUUGCCGAAACAGACUCCAAAUGUACACUUGUUAGGAUUCAGACGAAGCUUAUACUUCCUCAAACGCUGAAAAAGCUUCAACAAGUGCUCUACAUGUUCAACUUCCAUUCUUAACUUUGCAAUCAUAUCAUCAACAUACACUUCGAUCUCCUUGUGCAUCAUAUCAUGAAACAAGGUAGUCAUAGCUCGUUGAUACGUGGCUCCGGCGUUCUUCAAACCGAAGGGUAUCACUUGAUAACAGAAUGUUCCCCAAGGUGUGAUGAAUGUUGUCUUCUCCAUAUCCUCGGGUGCCAUUUUAAACUGGUUAUAUCCGGAAAAUCCGUCCAUAAACGAGAAGACAUUGAAUUUAGCUGUAUUAUCUACCAAAAUAUCAAUGUGUGGUAGAGGAAAAUCAUCUUUCGGACUAGCUUUAUUCAAGUCUCUAUAGUCCACACACAUUUGUAAGGGCAAACUGUCAUACAACAUACGAUCAUAGGUUUCGAUGAUGACAAAUUACCACCAUGGAUGAAUCGGCUAACAGCUAAGGUGGAGAUGUUUUGUUUACGUUGUAUAGUGGAAUCAUAUCCUUUUUUAUGUUCAUCUAAACUGUUAUAUUUCAUACAACAUAUGUGGAUAAAAUGUGGUCAUGACAAAAUGCAUGAAAACCACAAAAAUCAGAAUUUUUGCAGAUUUGCAGGGUUUGAGUCGACCGCAGGGUCGGCGCAUAACAUAGUGCAUUUCCUCACGGGUCAGCGCACGAAGGCUUGAGUCGACCGCAGGGUCGGCGCAUGAAGGUUUCACUUUUCCACGGGUCAGCGCAUGCCGACCUAUGGUCGACGCAUACUGAUGUGUUUUUCAGAUUGUCCAAAACUGCAGGCUAUGGUCGACCGUUCGUGCGCAAAUACAGCUUUUAAGUAAUUCCCACUUUGUUUGAAAAGUUGUUAAGUGGGUUGGUUGGUUUGUUACUAUAAAUAGAAGUUCAGUUACUUGUAUCAACCAACAUUUGAAAAAUUGAUUCAAGUGUACAAAGAACAAGAAAAAGUGAAAUAGGUGUCCAAGAUUCUUCAUCUUCAUCUUCAACAUCUCACAACACAUCAAUUAAACACAACCAUUUUUGAAGUGCUUUGUGAUUGGUUAAAGGUGAUAACAUUCCAAGCCGAGAUUGGGCAAUCCGGUUCGGGUUUGAAGCUUUGCGACAGGUUUUAUUUCUUCGAAUAUAAACCUUUAGCGUUUUGUCUCCUUUUAACACAUGACCCCUUGGUUGAUUUGCGGGUUAUUGGGACGAUUUCUUCAAUCAAUUUUCAGUUGAGGUGAAGUGGUUAAGAAGAGGAAAGCUCUUCAUAUCAUACAGUAGCACGGAUAUCUAGUAGAUAUUGAACGGCGAGAUUUCGGGUACGAUUUGUUCGUUGUUGAGCAUCAUCCGGGCCGAUGGGUUUUGAAGAACUGCGAUUAUUCAACAAAGGGGCUGGAAUCGGAGGUCUAUCAACAACAAUCGAAGGACUUGAUUCACCUUGAAUCAAGGAACAAGGAGUGGAAGCAACAUUCAACGUCUUGAGAAUUCUGUUGUAUUUUUGCUCUUCAAUCCUUGUAUAAACUGUAAUACUCAACAGGUGAUAUCUAUUAAAGCAAUCUCAAUUCUAGUUUUAGAAUUGAGGGCAGACGUACCCCGAAGCGAGGACGACGGGGGAACUGCCUCAUCAAAUCUUGUCUUCUCUAGUUUUUCAGCAUAUUUGUAUUUAGCUUAAAAAUAAGUGAUUUUUAUAUACGCACUUUUAUCAAACCUUGAUAUUAAUUGAGUAAGAAAUUAAAACUCUGUUUUUGAAUUCAAACUAUAAUAAGAUAUUGUACUAGACUAAUUGGAAUCACUUACUCAACAUAAAUAUCACUUGGAGUGUUUUUGCACACCAAGUGUUUGAUAAUUUGCCUAAACCAAAAUUAUCUUAGUUGUGUAUCUAGUGCCAAAUAAUGUUGUCAAGCAGAGUAUGGUAAGAUCAUUUCUUCUGUCUGAUGACGGUGCACUUUCGGCUGCCAUCCCUGUUAAUACAGUCGUCAAAAAUCUUAUUAUUACAACGACAUGGAAUGAACUCGGCCCUACUAAUGAAUGUAAUCGUUGAUGAGAAUGACGUGAAUCUCUUUGCGAUGUCGUCAAUGGUUUCGCUUGCUUGCCAUGAAAAAGAGAUCAAACUCUUGUGUUGUAGUGUUGAUUCUUGUCCAACUUAACUAAUCGUUCGGGUCCUCAGGCGAUUUGUUUAGUGAAUCCCACAUGGCCGUUAGCAGUUGGACAGUGGAUCAACGAUAGUUCAUCUACACUAGAUGAGGAGAUUAGGAUAUUUUUGGCUUCCACAAUAAAUGUGUAAUUUCUUGCUUCAUCGAUUCAUCGGUCCAUUGUGCUUCGGCUUUUGGCACUAAUUCAAUAUUCUCAUUGGCAUGGUAUGUUCAAAUUGUGACCAUAUCAAAUAAGGUUCCGAGUUUUUCUAUCUAUGGAAUUUAGUGCGAGCAGCCGUAAUACAGUCUUUCCAAUAACUUAUAAUUUCGAACCCGUUGAAACGAGUCUUAUUAUAAGCCCCUUUAGUGUUCGUUAGUCCCAUUUUCUAUCAAAUAGUUAUAUUUUGAAGCAGGAUGAACCGUUGCUCCUGAUACCACUUGUUAAGACAUUGGCACGCGAUCUAGAGGGGGGGGGGUGGGUUGAAUAGAUCCCAAUUAAAAUUUGAGUGGCGCUACCAAUAAGAUUGGUUUUUGAAAAAUUGUUUUAAGUCUCGAAGAGCGGCCAAGAAGAUGAAAAUAUAGUCUAAAAACGACGGUUCAUUGGAAACCGGCAUAAUGCGUCUACCUAUGGAUUAAUUGAUAAUGCUAGAAUAAGAAUCACUAACUUCACACGUACUCAAAUGAUUUAUUCACUGUUCGCAGAUUCCUAGUUCCAAUGAUGCAAAGAGUAUCGAAAAGCUUAGAUACAGCAAACGUAAGAUAAUCUUUUGGUUUAGGCAAAAUUAUCAAACACUUGUGUCAAAACACUCCGCCAAGUGAUUAUUUAUGUUGAGUAAUGUGAUCAAUAGUCUAGUACCAAUAUCUUAUUAUAGUUUGAGUUUCAAUAAACAGUAGUUUUUAAUUUCUUACUCAAUAAUAUGAUCAAGGUUUUGAUAAAGUUGGUUAUUAAAAUACACUUAUUUAAGCGUAAGAUACAAAUAUGCUCUGAAAAACUAGAGCAAGAACAGAGAUUAGAUGAGCAGAUUCCCCCGUCGUCUCUCAGGCUUCGGGGUACGUCGCGCCUCAAUUCUAAAACUAAAUUUGGAUGUCUGCUUUAAUAGAUUAUCACUCUGGUUGAGUUAUUGAGUUUAUACAGAUGAUGAAGAGCAUAAAUAACAACGAAUUCUCAAGACGUUUGAAUGAAUUGUCUCCACUUCCUUGUUCCUUGAUUCAAGGCUGGAAUCAAGUCUGUCAGAUAUGUUGUUGCGAUAAUCUCCGAUUCCAGCCCCUUUGUUGAAUAACGCUCAGUCUCUUUCAAAACCAUCGGCCGGAUGAUGCCAACAAAUCAACAAAUCGACCCGAAAUCGUCGCCGCUUUCAAUAUCACUAGAUGAUCCUGCUAUGUAUGAUAUUGAAUGACUUUCCUCUUCUUAACCACUUCACCGUCAGCUGAAAAUUGAUGAAGAAAUCGUCCCAAAACCCGCAAAAUCAACCAAGGGGUCUGUGUUCAGGAGGACAAAACUAAGGUUUAUAUUGCAGAAAAAACCUGUCGCCAAGCUUCAAACCCGAACCGAUUCGCCACAAUCUCGCGCUAUGGAAUGUUAUUCGACCUUUAACGUCAAUGCACUAAAGCACUUCAAAAUGGUUGUGUUUAAUUGAUGAUGUUGUGAGAUGUUGAAAUGAGAAGAUGAAGAAGUUGCGUGACAGCCUAUUCACGUUUUCUUUGUUCUUUUGCUACACGUUGAAUCCAAUUUUUCAAAUGUUGGUUGAUAACGAAGUAACUGAUACUUCUAUCGUAUAGGUAACAAACCAACCAAGACCCACUUAAAACGUUUCAACAAAGUGGCGAAUUACUAAAAGCUAGUAUUUGCGCACGACACUCGACCAUGAGCCCUGCAGUUUGACAAUCUGAAAAACACAUCAGUCAUUGCGUCGACCAUAGAGUCGCAUGCGCUGACGUGAAAAGUGACAACGCUUCUGCGCCGACCUGCUCCGCGACCAAGCAUUCGUGCGCGUGACCGUUGAGGAAAUGACUAGUUUAUGCCGCCGACCCUCGCGGUUUCGACUCAACCCUGUACGCAAAUCUCGCAAAACAUUGCUGAUUUUUGUGUUUUGCAGUGCCAUUUUGUUCAGACCACUAUUUUAUCCACCAUAUGUUGAAUGAAAGUUAAACAGUUUAGAGAUACAUUAUAAAAAGGAUAUGAAUAGGGUGAUCGAUGUUGCAUUUGUUUGUAGAGGUGGAAUCGACAUGCCGAUCGAUCCAUCAUGGUGGUAAGUUUGGUCAUCAUCGAACCUAUGAUCGUAUGUUGUUGACAGUUGCCCUAUACAAAUGUGUGUGGACUAUAGUAGACUUAAUAAAGCUAAGUCCGAAAGAUGAUUUUCCUCUACCACACAUUGAUAUAUUUGGUAGAUAAAUACAGCUAAAUUCAAUGCUUCUCGUUUAUGGGACUGGACUUUUCCGGAUAUAACGUUUUAAAAUGGCACCGAGGAUAUGACGAACACGACAUUCAUCACACCUUUGGGAACAUGGUCUGGUUAAUCUAAGCUGAUACCCGUUCGGUUGUAAGAACGCCUGGAGCCACGUAUCAACGGAGCUAUGACACCUGUUGUUCAUGAUAUGAUGCACCAAGGAGAUCGAGAGUCGUAUGUUGUUGAUGAUGGAUUGCUGAAACGUUAGAGAUGGAAGUUGCAACAUGUAAGCACUGUAUGAAGCUUGUUCAGCGUUUGAGAAGGUAUAGAGCUUCGUCUUGAAUCCGAACAAGUUACAGUUUGGAGUCUGUUGUCGGCAAGUUAUUGGGUUUUAUUGUCAAAACGAGAGACGGUAUUGAGCUUUGAUCCGUCCAAGUCAAAGUAAUACAAGAGAUGGCCUGCGCCAAAACUGAAGAGAGCAAGCUCCGAGUGCUUGUUCUUGCCGCUUGAAUUAUAUUUCCAGAUUAUAUACCGCACAUGACUGCCACAUCGUGCGCUCGAAUUUGCAAGCUCCUCCGGAAAGAUCAGGCGCUAAUUAUGCACCACGAGAUUGCCAAAAAGCCUUGACUUUCCUACGUUGUAAACCGAGGGCUGAUCUGAAGAGUUGUUCGCGAGCUGCCGAUUUGUCAUCCGCCUGUGGAAGGCGGAGACCAUGAUUAUGUGGUCUGACAGUUCGUGAAGACCAAUGUGGUUGUGUCGCUGGUCAGCGACGAAGUCGCGGGAAGAAAGAAUUGCUAUAUACUACCUUGUAGAGAGUUCACUGAUUAGUGGAGUUCUCGAUACUCACAUGCUUGAGAAAAACAUGUUGCUCUUGGUUGGCUGCUCAAGCGCUUACUGCCAUAUAUGUUGAAUCAUAACGACUUGGCUGAUAUCCAAAUGGAUCCGAAUCAAGGUAAUAUUCUUUGAGAAGCCUGCUUAACCUAGGAGGAUUUCCCGUUGCGCAGAUGUUAUUAUAUGAAUGAUAUUGAGUAUCGAGCUCAGAAAGCCUAUUAAAGGGUAUAUCUUGGCUGACCACUUGACACACUCAACCAUACGGGAUUAUCUAGUGUCGAGUUCAUAUGACUUCCCAGCGAAGAGAUUCGUAUUUGAAAGAUGAAAGAUUGUGAGGAGACCUACGCUCGAUGAAGGGCCAAGUCUGGUUCCCUGGAUGGAGCAUGGUGUGUUGAUGGCGUAUAAAUCAGUAGGAAAUGGUAUUGUGGGUGCAGUAAUUAUUACUCCUCAGGCACACAUUUUCUCUUUUAGCAGCAAGCUAACUGUUCAUGCACGAAAAUGAUGGAAUAUGAGGCCUGUCAUGGGAUUGGAAGAGUUAUUGGAUCAUAGAUCACGGAUCUGAUGUUUAUGGUGAUUCGGGCCCUUGUUGAUUAAUCAGUAUUAAGGCACGGUGAAUGGGGACAAUAGCUCGGCCUCAUCCCAUAUAGAGAUUUCAUGCGGGAGGAUUUCAACAUUUUUUACUGAGGUGACUAUCCCAUCAAUUCCGUCCGAGAUGAGAAAUCGGCUAUGGCAGAUUGCACUUGGUACACUUGCUUCGACGAUUGGUAAGACUCUGGAAUGAGCGGUUCCCAGGAAUAUACUUGUGAAUGCGCUGGACAAAUCCAGCUCAUGCUAUUGCAGUGUUGAAGAAUGAAGGAUGAUAAGCCAUGUAUUAUGAUAUUCAAGUGUUUCUCCAAAGUUCAGAUUUACUCGCACUGGGGCAUCUUGUGAAAGGAUAGGAAAACAUUUGAGGAGAUUAUUACAGUUCUUCCUCAAUGCGAGUCUUUAAUAAAAAUUUUGACUAUGGUUCUGCUCAGAUGCGUGAAUAACUACGAAGCCAACGACCUUUUGAUGACUGAAGUCCAUGAGCGUUCUUUUUGGUACCAUUCCAAUGAGCAUGCCAUGUGCUAGAAAGAUAUUGAUAGUAACUGACUAGGUUGACAAUGGACUCUGACUCGCCAAGUAUUGAAUAAAUUUUCCAUAAGUGUCAGAUUGCGGAUAAAUUCAUAUCCCGCCGCACGUCUGAAUGUGAUUUUCUCAUCACAUGCCUUUCUCUAUGUGGAAUUGACAAUGAUGGCAUAAAUAGAGCCGAAAGGCGUCGCAAGCGUGCAGCAUGUUAUUCUCGUGAAAUUGAUUAUACUCUGCACCAAGUGGUUGAAAGCGCGUCAUAGUGCAAACAUGACCAGGUAAGGGUGUUUUGAAGUUUAUCAAGAAUCAACCAGUAUGCCAUUAUGGUGUCCCGACAAGAUCAUACUGAAAUGAGUUAACUUGAACAACAAAAGAGUAAAGUACUGUGUAGGCGAGUUCAAGAUUGCACAUCAUAACUUCUUCUCCUUAUAAGACCCAGAGUGAAUGGGGGCCUGUGAACGUUGCUAAUAAAAUACAAGAAGAUCGGUCGCAGAAGAUGGUUGUUACUUACACCAAGAUUGGCAAGCAGAGAUUUGCAAUUUGCUUUGCAUGAUAAUCACACAACCGAAAAACAACCGCGGGGAAAAACACGAGCCGCCACCGACCGCUAUUCAUCCUGACUGAAAGGGAGAAGCGCAGGAGCUAACCUAAGGAAGGGAAGAGGAACGGUCUACGACGCAGAGAAGAUGCAGAGCUACGGGUAGUCGGUUACCCAAGGGAAGGUAUUAUGCACCCGCCUCACUGUUCGUCGUACUCGAGCGGAGAUCCACGAUCAAAAGAUAGGAUAAUAGGGUGCUAGUAAAACUCUCAAAAGAAUUGCCAAACUGGAUAAAAACAUGUGAAAGAAGAGGAGGGAGGGGAAGCGGCACUCGGCAGGAUUGCAUCCGUGGGCUCUGACGAGUUGUGCAGAAACAAAGCAUCAGAAGUCAACGUAGUUCGGGUAAAUGGAACAUAUCGCUAGGGACGAAUCGCAUCCUACGAUACGUAUCUUCUCUAACAAGAAGAAAGACUAGAUACUACCUCGAGCUUCGUCUAACGCACGGCCCGAAAAAAAAGCACCAAAAGAAACGCUGAGACGUCAAAGCAAACACUCGUGCAAAAGGAAACAGAAUGCCAAUACCAUGACUUGUACAUCCGGACUCCAAUAACAACAAAGCAACAGGAGGGAAUGGCCAAUAUCAUGGAUCUUACAUCCAACUCCUAACACAACAAACACACAAAAUGCGAGGAACCACAUGAAUGCCAGGCUCAGACUUUACAUCAACUCCCUAACAAAGCACAGUCUACAAAAAAGAAAAAAAAGGUGAAAGGGUUGCAACACAGUGGCGGCAAAAAAAAACAAAGGGGACCGACAGAUCUGGUCGCUCAUCUCCUGGGACCCCCCCGGCCGAUUACGUAUCGCUCAUCUGGUAUGGAACAGCGAGCGGUAGUUCCCUUUAACAGGAGAACCUCCCCUAACGCAGUAGGACCAGGAGCAGACACGACAAACUAAUAAGGAGAGCUAAGACCGGAGCGCUAAAAGUUCCAUGGCCAAAACGGAUCCCUACUUGAGGUCCUCUAAUCAGAACUACUCACAUGGGAACGUAAUCAGCCAACGGCGAAUAAACAUACAAUGCACAGAAGGUGAGAGAGCAAUGCAUUCACACCGAAUAGUCAGAACAAGAGGCUCAUAACAAUGGUUGGGCCGUUUAGUCAAGAGGGGUCAUAUUCAACCCGACAACAUAAGCCAAAACUGUAGGUACUGCUAAGCUCUAACCACUAUGACGAUUGGAAGUUUAGGUUGAAGCUGAUGAGAUGGGUAAUGGAGAUAAGACGCUCAUCUCUUGAAACCGCUGGCCGGGCUGAGCUCAAAUCAAGAAAGUGUUGGGGAUCCAGAGAAGAGGGACCGCCCUAUUCCACCUUGACUGACUCAUACAAAGAUCGUGGGUUAGUUCAGAGCUCAGCACGGUAUAGUCAGCUAUAAUGAAUGACCAUGUGAAUAACAGGGAUUGAAUUGCUAAUACCUUUUAUAACGUGCAGUCAAUUUCCCUUGACUUAGGAGGACUUAUCAAGUAAACAUUCCCUCACUUGAGGUCUGUUAGCAGCAAAUUAAAAUUCACACACAUGCCUCUUAAGAGGACUUCAGCCAAAUGCCUGCCAAAAGUGGCAGGACUUCCAGGACUAGCAUGGAGUAUGAAGAGUGGCGUACCUAAGUGGUGGUAUCGAACCACACUCUCAAAGCAAAGGCUCAUCAAGAGCUAAAAGCAACUAAGUGUACGCUGUACAAAGAGCAAACAAAGUAAUAUGUAAGAAAACCAAACAGACAAACAACAGUGGAACUUUCCAAUUAUUCUUACACAAUGCAAGCUAAGUGCAACAGCUCAAGUGAGUUCAUCACAUCAAGGACCUAAACACAAACAAGAGUUACGAACAAAGUAACUGCAUCUCAAGGUAAUGAGACCAAACCCAAACCUUAGUGCUAAAUGCUCAAUGCCUGAAACAGCAAAAAACAAUGGAGUACAAACCCGCCUAGACAAAGAAACUUAGUGUCAAGCAAGUCAACAUGACGCAAACACAGAAGGUCAAUUAUUUCACAUGAAGCACAUCAACCAAAACAAUGAAGAGUCUCUCAAAAGACCAUAAACCAACCAAAGGCAGCCAUCAAUGAUCAGUAACAAGGCAAGCAAUGUGAUAAGUUGACAUCAAAAAUCAGAGAAAUCCAAAUCAAACAGAAAAGCUCCAAUAUCAUAAAUUUUUAUGUAGAUUAACAUGUAGGAAUGAAACAUCUGCAACAUUAAUCCAGAAAGAGCUCAAUGAAUGUAAAUGAAAAUGCACAAAUGCAGACAUCAAUGUGGAUGACACAAAUGUCCAACACCAUAUGUUCAUCGUGUCCAAAANAUUAGACUUGACAACAUUAUUUGGCAAACUACAAGAGCACGAACAAGUACUCUUGAGCCUAGAACAACAUGAAAAGAAAGAAAAGAAGGACAAAACAAAGGUGAGUGAAAAGAAAUCUAUAGCUCUUAAGACUUCCUCCUCGAAGUCUCAAGCAAAAGAACAAAGUGAUUAUUCCUCGAGCGACGAAGAAGAAGAGGACAAGAGCGAAGAUAUGGGGUUGUUCGUUAAACGUUACAAUCGUUACGUGAGAAAGAACGGCAUCCAACAUUCCGAGAAGAACUUGGUAAGCUUCCGGAAACAAUCGAGGUACUCUAAAAAUGAUGACUCAAAAGGUAAAAAGACUAGAGGGUCGUGCUACAAUUUUGGGAACCCCGGUCAUUACAAACUGGACUGUCCGAUGAACAAGAAGACAAAGGAAAAGGAAUCAUCCAAAUCACACAAGAAAUCAUCAAAGCCAAGGAGAACAUACAUAGCUUAGGAAAGCGAUAGAGACUCCUCCGAUGAUGAAAGUUCUAGUGAUGAAGAUGAAGCUGCAAACCUAUGCCUCUCUGCUCAUCAAAAGAACAAAAAGAAACAGGUACGACAUGCUAAAUAUGAAAAAUCCUCUAGUAUGUCUCAUCAUGAAUUACAAGCUGCAUUUGAUACUUUACACUGUGAAGCUAAAGAGGCCUUUAAAAGGCUUGCCUCAAAUAACCAAAUAUUUAUCCAUUUGGAACAAAAAAUUCGAGAAUCCGAAAGGAAACUUGAGGCACUCAAAGCUUCUAUGGUAGAAAGCACAAAAGCAGGUUGUGAGGACCUUAGAAAUACUAUAAUCAACUAUGGGUGUGAUACUUGUUAUAUUUGGCAAGGUGAAGUAAGAAACUUAAAGACCAAACUCGACAAGGCUCUUGAGCCCAAGAUUACCUUUGCAAUCGAUAAAUCAAACUUUCGAAAAAGUAUGGUUAAUCCAUAUCAAAAAUAUAAAUAUAUUAUAAAGGAUGAAGAUAGCAAAGGCAAUCAAAAUGCUAAUUUCUCUUGUCUUUAUUGUUGCAAGAAAGGCCACUCCAUUGCUAAAUGCAGGUUUAGGAGAUUCUUAGUUCCUAAAGGCAUUUAUCAAUGGCUGCCCAAAUGCAACCAUCUCGUUACUAACUAUUCAGGACCCAAUAAGCCAUUGGGUACCUUCUCGUGUUAAUUGCAUUUCCAUAGGUACAAUGCCUCGAGACCACCGAGAGAAGAUGGGUUCUCGACAGUGGAUGCUCAAGGCACAUGUCAGGAGACAUAUCACUCUUCAUUGACUUCGUGGCUAAGAAGAAAGGAUAUGUAACCUAUGGUGACAACAACCGUGGAGCAAUACUAGGUAAAGGUAGUGUAGGUAACCCUUCUUCCACUACUAUUUCUGAUGUAUUGCUUGUCGAAGGUCUUAAACACAAUCUACUUAGCAUCAGUCAAUUAUGUGACAAAGGAUACAAUGUAUCUUUUUCAAAAGAUUGUUGCAAAAUUGUACAUAAUGAUGAUAAGAAGAGUAUGUUUAAUGGCCUGCGAGUGAAUAAUGUCUAUAUGUUAGACUUGAACGAAGUAUCGUUAACAAGUGACAAAUGCCUUGUAACAAUGAGUGAAGAUUCAUGGUUAUGGCAUAGGCGUUUAGCACAUGUUAACUUUGACUUACUAAAUAAAGUAGUCUCAAAAGAUCUAGUCUUAGGUCUCCCCAAAAUAAAGUUCACCAAGGAUCACCUUUGUGAUGCUUGUCAAAAAGGGAAGCAAACGAGGAUCUCAUUUAAAUCCAAAAAUAUCGUUUCAACAACGAGACCUCUCGAACUUCUUCAUAUGGACUUAUUUGGGCCGUCUAGGAUUAAAAGUCUAGGAGGAAAUUAUUACGGUUUCGUAAUAGUGGACGAUUUUUCUAGAUUUUGUUGGACUAUCUUUUUAGUAAGCAAGAGCGAUACGUUCGCCGCCUUUGAAAGGUUUGCUAAGCUUUCCCAAAAUAAAUUAAAUACAAACAUUGUUUCAAUUAGAAGCGACCAUGGGGGUGAGUUCGAAAACCAUUUAUUUGAAGAAUAUUGCGGUAACCAUGGUAUCGAUCAUAACUUCUCCGCUCCACGUACUCCUCAACAAAAUGGGGUUGUGGAGCGUAAAAAUCGAAUUUUGGAAGAAUUGGGAAGAACAAUGAUUAACGAAAGUGGUUUACCGAAAUAUUUUUGGGCCGACGCCAUUAGUACGGCGUGUUAUGUUUUGAAUAGGGUGCUCAUUCGCCCCAUUCUAAAUAAAACACCGUAUGAGCUUUUAAAAGGGCGAAAGCCAAAUGUUUCUCACUUACAUGUUUUCGGUUGCAAAUGUUUUGUAUUAAAUAAUGGAAAGGAAAACUUGGGCAAAUUCGAUUCCAAGGCCGACGAAGGUAUCUUCCUCGGAUACUCUCAAUCGAGUAAAGCAUAUAGAAUAUAUAAUAAACGAUUACUUGCUGUGGAAGAGUCUGUACAUGUCACUUUUGACGAAUCCUAUCCGAGAAACGUCGGAAAGGGUAGUGUUGUUCAUGGUGCAGGUACAUCUACGGAAGACAUACUCAAGGGUGGCGAGCCGGGGAUUGAUCAACCCGACAAAGUCAAAGUUGAGGAGGAUAAAGAUGUACACCAUGAGGAAACCGAGGUAGCUCAUCCGCCUUCAAACGAUGAUCUCCCUCAAGCUUGGAAGUCUCCCAAAGACCAUCCAAUUGACAACAUUCUCGGAGAUAUCUCAAAGGGUGUUACAACUCGAUCGAAGCUAAGUAAUUUCUGUUAUCACUUCGCUUUCGUUUCACAAAUGGAACCUAAAAACCCUAAAGAAGCCCUACUCGAUGAACACUGGUUUUUGUCAAUGCAGGAGGAACUAAAUCAGUUCACUAGAAAUGAGGUUUGGGACCUUGUCCCUCCUCCGUGAGGUCAUCGAGUAAUCGGCACCCGAUGGGUGUUUAGGAACAAGUUGGACAAAAACGGGGUAAUAACCCGUAACAAGGCGCGUUUAGUCGCGCAAGGGUAUAACCAAGAGGAAGGCAUCGACUAUGGGGAAACUUAUGUGUCGGUUGCCCGACUCGAGGCUAUACACCUUCUCCUUGCCUUCGCUUCUGCGAAAGACUUUAAACUAUUCCAAAUGUAUGUUAAGAGUGCAUUCCUUAACGGUUACAUAAAUGAAGAGGUCUACGUCGCACAACCUCCGGGUUUUUAAUCUCAUGAGUAUCCCGAUCAUGUUUAGAAACUAAAAAGGGCUUUAUAUGGUCUCAAACAAGCUCCUAGAGCUUGGUAUGAGCGACUAAGUAAAUUUUUACUUGAUCGAGGUUACUCAAGAGGAAAGGUUGACACAACUCUCUUUAUUAAACAUCAAGGAAAGCACUUGAUAUUAGUACAAAUUUAUGUUAACGAUAUUAUAUUUGGGUCUACUAACAUGAAUCUCGUGAGAGAGUUUUCGGAUCUUAUGCAGGGUGAAUUCGAGAUGAGUAUGAUGGGGGAGCUCGCAUACUUUCUCGAUUUGCAAAUUAAACAACUCAAAGAAGGAACAUUCGUGAGUCAAACAAAGUAUUGUUUGGACCUUAUCAAGUGAUUUGACAUGGCAAAAGCCAAGGCCAUUGACACCCCAAGCCAACAUGUGCAAACUUGAAUAAAGAUGAAAACGGUAAGGACGUAGAGGUGAAAAGGUAUAGAGGUAUGAUUGGAUCACUUCUCUAUCUUACUGCUUCUCGUCCCGACAUUAUGUUUAGAGUGUGUAUGUGUGCAAGAUACCAAUCAUGUCCCAAGGAAUCCCAUCUAAAAGCUGUCAAACGAAUACUUCGAUACAUAUCCAGUACUCCGAAGUAUGGACUAUGGUAUUCCAAAGGUAAUGAUUGCUCAUUGGCAGGUUUCUCCGAUUCCGAUUUUGCCGGUUGCAAAUCGGAUAGGAAAAGCACUAGUGGUACUUGUCACUUAUUUUCAAAUUCCUUGGUCAGUUGGCAUAGCAAGAAACAAGUUUCAGUUGCUUUGUCAACCGCCGAAGCGGAAUACGUUGUCGCCGGUAGUUGUUGUGCUCAAAUCCUAUGGGUUAAGCAACAAUUAUUGGAAUUUAAUCUCAAACUCGAACGUAUUCCCAUUUUCUGUGACAAUACAAGUGCCAUUAAUCUUACCAAACAUAUCCUGUGUUGCAUUCUCGUACCAAACAUAUCGAAAUUCGACACCAUUUUCUUCGGGAUCAUGUAGAGAAAGGUGAUGUUGUAUUUGAACAUGUUAACACUAAAAAUCAACUAGCGGACAUUUUCACAAAGCAGCUAGCUACUGAGCCUUUCUUUCAUAUUUGCCGAGAACUUGGUAUUCUCGACAUUUCAGAAUGGGCGUCAUAAAUUGCUUGCUUUAUCUUAUUUAAUUUAAAAACUAUAGUCUUGUACUUCUAACAAGUUGAUGUUGUUGGAAGCACAAGUAUAUUGUUCAUCAAGUUAUUCCGUCAUCGAGGUGAUAUUGUUCCUUUACCCUUCUCUCUCUCCCAACCUUCAUGGUUAAAUAGUUGGGUUACAUGAUAAUAUUGUAUAUAUAUGACUUGUUUCUUAUACCAUAUCUGUUUGGAUGUUUAAUGUUGUGUGGCAUUCUAUUUAUGCAUCAAACAUGUGAGCAUAUGUGCAUAACAGUGAAAUUCUGCAAAAUUUGCCUGUAUGAGUCGACCAUAACAGGGCAAUGGUCGACGCACACCUUAAAAACUUUCCUUUUUAAAAAAAAUUCAUACAGUAUGUGUCGACGCACGCAGAGGGUAUGGUCGACGCAUCGCGCGAAAAAUCAGUUUUUCUGCAUAAAACUUUCAAACUUCCUAUGCAUUUACAUUUUAAAUUCUCAUUAAGUGUGCAUUCAAUCCACUACAUUGUGAGUUGCAUCUACCUAGUGCCUAUUGUCUCUUGGCCUCUCCUCUUCCCAAAACCAUAAAUCUUCAUCUAUAAAAAGGGCAAACCUCCUUCUUGCAAAUCACUCUCAAAAUCUUACACCAAGCUUCACUCUCUACCCUCACAAAAAGCUUCAGAAUCAUUACUCAUGGCUUCCUUAUCCCGCAGACCUACUGGUAAGAGAUCAAGGGGAUCAUCCUCUGCCUCCAUACCCAUUACCGCUGUCUCAUUAGUUCCACCAGCUCUUGUCGACACCUUCAACAAAGACAUUGGUCAAAGAGAAGUUGUGAGGCAACAUGCCUUCUACAAACUCACAGCAGAACGCAUGCAUCUCGUAGACAUCAUGACUCAGCUACAGUAUCACGGUAUUGUUAAAUUCCUGGAAUGCAAUGCCAAAUAUAGCGAAGACCUAGUCCGUGUGUUCUACACUUGCCUUCAUGACAAAUUUCAUGGUCAAAAGUUUCACUCUAGGAUCGGCACAAGAAAGGUAUCUUUCAAGUCUGAUGUUUGGAAUAAAUAUUUUGAUCUGACAUUGGCUGCUGAUGAAAAUCCUCCUUCUGAGGUAACUGAUUCUCACACAAUAAGAAGGAUAUGAGUUUAAGAGCGCUUUGAACGCUAUGCUGAAACGACCCUACCCAGACCACAUUGUGAACAGUGAUGCGUUCCCACGAACUGUCACUGCCGGUAGCUGAAAAAGUGAGAGCGCAUUCUCCAGUGGAUUGUGGGCGCAUCCUGGGCCUAAGAAGGGUGGCCUUUCCCGAGUUGAACAGGCUGAGGUUCAUCUCAUUAUAAUCCUGAAAAAUCAGCGCAAAAUAAACUGGCCCUACUACAUUGCUAGUAGGAUGUUCAGUUUACGAGACUCCGGACGAGGCACUGCUCUUGCCUAUGGAUCUCUUAUUCAAGAGGUUCUUACUGCAGCCGACGUUGAUUACCCGUCCUUUCCUUAUACCUCCAUUUCCUCAGAUAAAGAAUUCAGCCCAAAAACUUUCUCUAUGAUGGGAUACUUUUGGUGUGAUGAGCAGAAAACAUACAAAUUUGUUCGCAGGGGGUAUAUUCCUAGGAUUGUUGAAGAAUAUGAUGAAAGUGAUGAAAAUGAAGAAGAAGACCAGGAGGAAAACGAAGAAGAAGGAGCAGGACAAGCAUUUGAGCAACAUGAAAGUCCUCCACAAGCAGACACACACGACUACACAAACACCGGUUGGGUUCAGAAUACCUAUUCGACAAAAGAAGAUGCCCCUAACCAUGGUGGCUGGGGUGAAUGGCAUCAUAUGGGCUGGUCAACACAACGCCAAUUCUAUCAUCCGUAUCAAUAUGGUGCUGAAGAAUCUCCACCGUCUCCUCCACAACAAGAAAAUUCCUCUGAACUUUUAGAUAUGAUGCGAGAUAUGCAGUUGGCUCAGCAAUCAUUCAUGCAAACUCAGGAUGAGCGCUAUGCUCAUAUAAGCAGCCAGCUUCAAGCACAAAAUGAGAGGCUCGAGUAUCUAAGUAGUGUUGUUGACCAAAUGACUUCUUACGGUCGAGGACGAGGCUAUUAGGGCAUAAAACUACAUGUGCAUUUGUACUUUUGUUGUUUGACUGAACUCAUUAUCUGUUAUGCUUGUUUAUUAAUCUAGUUUAAUGUUAUCUCCUUUUCAAUUUGUUCAGUAAUAAUAUUUGGUGUGGUAUCGUUAUAUGAUUCGCUAUGUCCUGUUGAAUAUCAUGUUAUGUUGAAUAAUAGUUCUCUUUCUCUUUUUGAUGUUGUCAAAGGGGGAGAAGAGCAUGUACCAAAGCCAAACCAAGAUAUUCACAACAAUUAACAGUUUGUUUUGCAGCCAGCCUUAGAUUACAAAAGAAAGGGGGAGUGCGUGUAAAUAUUGCAUGUUGUUUUUCUUUGGUUUCACACAUGUUGUCAUCAUCAAAAAGGGGGAGUAUGUAAGGUGUAACUGUCAUACAACAUACGAUCAUAGGUUUCGAUGAUGACAAAUUACCACCAUGGGUGAAUCGGCAUUGUCGAUUCCACCUCUACAAAACAAAUGCAACAUAUCACCUAUCAUAUCCUUUUCUAUGUUCAUCUAAAUUGUUAUAUUUCAUACAACAUAUGUGGAUAAAAUAUGGUCAUGACAAAAUGCAUGAAAACCACAAAAAUCUGAAUUAAAUUGUUAUAUUUCAUACAACAUAUGUGGAUAAAAUAUGGUCAUGACAAAAUGCAUGAAAACCACAAAAAUCUGAAUUUUUGCAGAUUUGCAGGGUUUGAGUCGACCGCAGGGUCGGCGCAUAACAUCGUGCAUUUCCUCACGGGUCAGCGCACAAAGGUAUGAGUCGACCGCAGGGUCGGCGCAUAACAUAGUGCAUUUCCUCACGGGUCAGCGCACGAAGGCUUGAGUCGACCGCAGGGUCGGCGCAUGAAGGUUUCACUUUCCCACGAGUCAGCGCACGCCGACCUAUGGUCGACGCAUACUGAUGUGUUUUUCAGAUUGUCCAAAACUGCAGGCUAUGCGUCGACGCAUAGACCUGCUAUGGUCGAUCGUUUGUGCGCAAAUACAAAUUUAAGUAAUUCCCACUUUGUUUGAAAAGCUGUUAAGUGGGUUGGUUGGUUUGUUACUAUAAAUAGAAGUUCAGUUACUUGUAUCAACCAACAUUUGACAAAUUGAUUCAAGUGUACAAAGAACAAGAAAAAGUGAAAUAGGUGUCCAAGAUUCUUCAUCUUCAUCUUCAACAUCUCACAACACAUCAAUUAAACACAACCAUUUUUGAAGUGCUUUGUGAUUGGUUAAAGGUGAUAACGUUCCAAGCCGAGAUUGGGGAAUCCGGUUCGGGUUGAAGCUUGCGAUAGGUUUUUUUCUUGAAUAAAACCUUUAGGGUUUUGUCCUCCAAGAUUGGUUUGAUUUUGGGGGUUUUUGGACGGUUUCUUCAUCAAUUUUCAGCUGAGCGAAGGUGAUUAAGAAGAGGAAGUCUUCAUCAAUCUAGUAGCGGAUUCAGUGAUAUUGAAAGGAAGAUUUCGGGUUCGAUUUGUUGUAGUUGAGAUCAGUCGGGCCGAGGGUUUGAAGAACAGAGAGUUAUUCAACAAAGGGGCUGGAAUCGGAGGUCUAUUAAUAAUAAUUGAAGGACUUGAUUCACCUUGAAUCAAGGAACAAGGAGUGGAAGCAACAUUCAACGUCUUGAGAAUUCUGUUGUAUUUUUUCUCUUCAAUCCUUGUAUAAAUUGUUAUACUCAACAUGUGAUAUCUAUUAAAGCAAUCUCAAUUCUAGUUUUAGAAUUGAGGGAAGACGUACCCCGAAGCGAGGACGACGGGGGAACUGCCUCAUCAAAUCUUUGUCUUCUCUAGUUUUUCAGCAUAUUUGUUUUUAACUUAAAAAUAAGUGAUUUUUGUAUAAGCACUUUUAUCAAACCUUGAUAUUAAUUGAGUAAGAAGUUAAAACUCUAUUUUUGAAUUCAAAGUACAAUAAGAUAUUAUACUAGACUAAUUGGAAUCACUUACUCAACAUAAAUAUCACUUGGAGUGUUUUUGCACACCAAGUGUUUGAUAAUUUUCCUAAACCAAAAUUAUCUUAGUUGUGUAUCUAGUUUGGUGUACUCUUUGAAUCAUCGGAACUAGGAAUCCUAGCAAGUGAAAUAAAUCAUUGAUAGUGUGACUAGUGUAGUGAUUCUUAUUCUACAUUAUCAUUAAUCUAUAGGCUAGACGCAUAUCCGGUUUUCCAAUAACCGUUCGUUUUAGACUAUAUUUUCCUCGGCCGCUUCCGCACUUAAAACAAUUUUCAAAACCAAUUUUUAAUUGGUAGCGCCGACUCAAAUUUUAAUUGGGAUCUAUUCAACCCGCCCCCCCUUCUAGAUCCGUGCCAUAGUCUAACAACAUUCAUACUUUUCCAUCUUUCUUAGGCACAAGCACAAUAUUGGCCACCCAUUGAGGAUAUGUAGAAGUCACCAGAAACCUCGCAUCAAUUUGCUUCUGAACUUCUUCUUUAAUCCUCACUGCCAUAUCAGGAUGAGUUUUUCUGAGCUUCUGCUUCACAGACACACACUCAGGUUUCAAAGGCAGGAAAUGUUGCACGAUAUUGGUAUCCAGACCAGGCAUGUCUUCAUAUGACCAGGAAAAGACGUCGACGUAUUCUCGUAGCAAGUCAAUCAACCCCUUCUUAACAGAUUCUUCCAGGAGUGCCCCAAUCUUCACUUCUUGCACACAAUCCUCAGACCCCAAGUUGACUGUUUCCAAAUUCUCAAGAUGCGGCUGAAUGAUCUUCUCUUCGUGCUCAAGUAGACGGGUAAUCUCGUCAGGAAUCUCUUCAACAUCAUCUUCUUCGCCCUCAAAUACAGGGAACUCAAAGUUGGGAGAUGGUGUUGGAUCAUUAUGUUCAAUGGGUUUGAUCAACCUGCAUAAUGGUUUUGGAGAUAAAAGAGAUUUUAGAAUUCAAGCAAAGCAAAUCAUUAUGCAGAUGAAAAGAUUGAUUUUAUUCUAUUUUUAAGGUUUUAUAUGAUCACCAAUUUCAUGCCAAAAGCAAAAGGUGAAAAUAAUUGGAAAAACAAACAUUUAACAUGAAUUUAUUGAAUGAAAUAUCAUUGUAUUUAUGAGCCAACAAUGUCAUCACUCCUCCUUUUGGCAUGAGAGAAGGGUUUUUAAACAAAAUGAACAUUACGUUGACUUAUGGACAACUGUUGGAACAUCAACAAUGACUCAAUUAUUGCAGACCCCUCCAGGGAUGACAAAGUUGCCAUAAUCUUCCUCUGCAUCCUCUUCCAUAAUAGCAGCAGCUUCCUCGUCUUCGACGGUGUGGAUGAACCCACCACUCUGAAACAACCCAUGCUUGUUGAAAGCGCCAGAAGAAUACCCUAUGCCAGCUCGGGAUUUGUUGUCUUCCAGCUUGAUCAUUUGUCCUAAACCGGUAGUUGUUCCAUGCUCAAUGGCCAACUUAGCAUCAUUGUAGGACGAAAAUGAAGAAGUUCCUUUCUUAGUAGGCUCAGUAAUAGAUAAAGCUUGGAACGGUGUUCCGACUUCAUCCUCAACAUCUAUGUAAGAAAAGGAAGACAGAUGGCUACCCAGGAGAGCCUUCUCUCCCACUACCACCACCAGCUUUUUGUUCUUGACAAAUUUCAAUUUUUGGUGUAGGGUGGAUGUCAUGGCGCCUGCCUCGUGAAUCCAUGGUCUGCCCAACAGACAACUAUAUGAUGGGUGGAUAUCCAUGACCAGAAAAGUGAUCUGGAAAUCACUUGGUCCAAUCUUGACUGGGAGUUCAACCUCUCCAAUCACCGUUUUGCAGGAUCCAUCAAAAGCUUUUACCACUACUCCACUCUGCCUCGUAGGAGGCCCCUGGUAUGACAAUCUAGCCAGAGUGGACUUUGGCAACACAUUCAGUGAUGAUCCAGUGUCUACCAGCACACUAGACAUGGCAUCAUCCUUGCAGCUCAUAGGUAUGUGAAGCGCCAAAUUGUGGUCUCUUCCCUCCUCGGGGAGAUCAGCAUCACAAAAACUCAGAUUGUUACAAGCGGUGAUGUUUGCAACAAUACUAUCGAAUUAUUCUAUUGUGACGCCAUGGUCUACAUACGCCACAUCCAAUACCUUUUGUAGAGCUUCACGGUGUGGUUCUGAAUUCAUCAAUAAAGAUAGCACAGAGAUCUUUGAUGGCGUUUAUAGAAGCUGAUCUACAACGUUGUAUUCACUCCUCUUGAUGAGUCUCAGCAUCUCAUCACAGUCUUCUUUCAUGGUGCCAUUCUGGCCAGCAGAGACAGGAGUUCUAACAACAGUGGCAGGUUUACUAGCAACAAGUGUCAGAUUCAGAGCAAUAACAACAUUCCCAACCGGGCGCACAACAAAAUCAGCAACAUCAGCCCUUCGGACGUCAGCCUGGGGUUUCGGCGGAGCCGAGAUAACACGACCGCUAUGGGUCAGGCCACUGACAUCGGCAAUAUUAACAACAGAACUAGAGGGCAGGGGCAACUCCUUCCCAUCUUCCAAUGCCACAACAUUGUAACGAUAGGGGAUAACUUUAUCGGAAGAAUAUGGCAUAGGGCCAGCUGGUUUAAUAAUCAAAGAGGGAAAAGCCUUCUAUUUGCUGCCAUCAUAUCAGAUGACAACAUGCUCUGGAUCCGAAAUACUGGUGAUAUCACAUUGACUUCAUCAUCAUCAACAUUGCGAUUCUGAAGUAUUUCAAUUACACCUUCAUCCAUCAUUUCUUGGAUGUCUUUACGGACUUGGCGACAUCGUCUCUGAUUGACAGUGCAGACACGACAUCUAUCAUGGUUGUGCUCAUAAUGACUGUAUUCACCCAAUAGUCUGUGCAUCACGACCAAAGAUUGUCGAAUAUGGUUGACAUAUUUGACCUUAUAUUUACUAGGGCAGCCCUGGACCAUGUUGACAGCAGAUUUCCGAUGCUCGGGAAAUGGGUUCUUCUUAACGUUGGGACCUACGUCCUCGAAACACAAGAUACCACUUCUCACAAGGUCUUGAACCUUGGUCUUCAGCGGGUAGUUUUCCACGUCAUGUCCGGGGGCAGCGGAAUGAUAAACACAAUGUAGCUCGGGCUUAUACCACCACUGAGGGUUGGUAGGUAUAGCCGGUGGGUCGCGUGGAGAAAUUAGUUUCCUCUCUAUCAAAUAGGGAUAUAGCUCUGCGUAGGUCAUAGGAAUAGGAUUAAAGGUGACCCUCUUCCUCUCAUAGUUGGUACUAGUCUGAUUGUUGUUUCGAGGCUAGUAGGCCUGCUGUUGAGGACGGUGCUGUUGUUGUCGAUAUUGUUGAUGUUGCUGUUGAUGGUUAUUAUUGUGCUGAUAGUGCUAAUUUUCCCUGAAAAUAGGUGCUAUGUGAGCCACCUGAUGCUGAUUACCGGCGGGACGCACGGUCUUCCUCCUGUUGAGGGUCUUCUUGGUUUAACAUGGGAGGUCACAACAUGUGCCUCACCAUCUUUCUUCUUUCCAAAUGCCCCCAUAUCGUUUGGCAGAAGAGCCUCCUUCUCUAGUCAGGUGCCCUUCCCUGACUCCUUCCUCCAAACGCAUCCCCAUGUUCACCAUCUCGGUGAAAUCAGAAGGAACGUUGGCAAUCAUCUGCUCAUAAUAGAAUGAGCUCAAGUUCUUCAGGAAGAUCUUGGUCAUUUCUUUCUCCUCCAGCGGAGGCACAAUCUGUGCUGCUAGCUCUCGCAACCUCUGGGCGUACUCUUUGAAAGUUUCCUUGUCCUUCUGGGACAUGGAUCUCAAUUGAUCCCUAUCGGGAGCCAUAUCCAUGAUAUGCUUGUAUUGCUUGACGAAGGCCUCGCCAAGGUCAUUGAAGGAUCGGAUAUUCGCGCUGUCCAAACCCAUAUACCAUCUUAGCACGGCACCGAACAGACUGUCCUGGAAAUAAUGAAUAAGGAGUUGAUCCUUGUCGGUCUGAGUCGACAUCUUCCUUGCAUACAUAUCCAGGUGGCUGAGAGGGCAAGUAUUUCCCUUGUACUUUUAAAAGUUAGGUACUUUGAACUUUACAGGGAUUUUGACGUUCGGAACCAGACAGAGUUCAACAGCAGACUUGCUAAAGAGGUCAUUUCCUCUGAGAGUUUUGAGUUCCUUGCGGAGCUCAAGAAACUUAUCAUUCAUUGCAUCCAUCUUUUCAUAGACAUCAGGGCCCUCAGACGGCUCAGAGUGGUAGAUGGUGUCGUCUACUUUAGGCAUAGUAUGCACGACAGGAGGCGGAACAGCGAGGAUCGGGCUAGAUGCCGGCAGAGAAGCAAACAUGGGGGCAAGACCCUUAGGAACAAAGUUGGCGGGCAUCCCCCAGGGAAACCUGGUUGGCAUAUCAGUUGGUGCAAAGUGGGCGCUGGCUGCAGGCACUAUUGAAGAGGCAAUCUCAGUGAUGACUGUCCUUUGGGGAGGAGUUGAAGGUCUCGGAGAUGACUGGCUCUGGGUGGCCAUGAAAGACUCCAUCAGGGCAGUCAAUCUGGCCACUUCCUCCUUGAGUUCACAGUUCUCUUGCUCUAAAUGAUCCAUCAGUCUUGAAGUAUUGGCUCGAGUGUAGUACCGGUGAGUCAGCUUGUCUUCAAAAUAAAUGAAGAACACAGAGUUAGACCAUUGAACAAGAAGCCUGGAGCAAAACCUGCUUAUGCACAUGAUGCAUGCAAUGCUUGUGCAGUACCGGUGAGUCAGCUUGUCUUCAAAAUAAAUGAAGAACACAGAGUUAGACCAUUGAACAAGAAGCCUGGAGCAAAACCUGCUUAUGCACAUGAUGCAUGCAAUGCUUGUGCAUAUGAUUUAUUUUCUUUAUCAGAGGAACUUUAAAGUUCUAUUUGCAAAUAAUUGAAAAUAUUAAUCAUUUAGACAUAUAUGGAAAUAACAUAUCAAUAAUAUCUGGAAAAUAUUUUUACACCAAAGAAGUACAGUCUUGGUAACCAAAUACAAUACAAGAGAGAAGGAAAAUGAACAUCCUAUGGAACCCUAGAAGCAAUCAUUUAAAGCUCUAGAGACUAGAAGAUAAGUUGCACGAAGCCUCUUGACCUCUCUCUCAUAGGCUGCCUCCAUAUUCGCCUUCUCUUUGGCAAGUCGAUCAUACUUCCUCUUCUAAAACUUGGAAGACUAAGGAAGAAGAGAAGUCAACACAUCAUCAGGCUCAUCAAUAGCCUGAUGCUUAAGAAAGUCUAUCAAUGCAUCCUUAUCUCUAAGCUGCUGAAGUAGCUCCUCUCGUUCACGGAUCCAAGCACGUGAACUGUCUUCGUCUCUCAACUCCUCUACUCCUUGAUCAGGGAGGGUUGAAGGCCCAACCACAACCAAAGGUGUAGGUCUCGGAUACUCAUAAGGCAUAAGGUACUCGUAAGCUCUCUUUCUAACCCACAAGGUAUAGGGUUCCAAAGCAAUACAGUUCUUCGGACCCGGCUCCUUCCUUCCCUUCCUAUGGAUCUUGCGCCAGGCGCAAACCAUCCUUCCCUUCAAGCCUUGGGGAUCUUUAACCUCCUGAAAGAAUACACCCUCUAGCUGAAUGUUAUUAGGUUUAUCCUUUAGGCGGAACCCAAGCUGACGACGUGCCAAAAUAGGGUUGUAGUUAAUCCCACCACGUGUACCAAGAAGAUGCACAUUGGAGAAUUCACCACAAGAGUCGAUAAUCUGCACAUCAUCAUAUACACGGUUGUACCAAAAGAUAUCAUCAUUAGUGAGAGACAUAAGUCUCGUGGACCACCGUAGACAUCCUUUGUUCUCAAUUCACCACAAGAGUCGAUAAUCUGCACAUCAUCAUAUACACGGUUGUACCAAAAGAUAUCAUCAUUAGUGAGAGACAUAAGUCUCGUGGACCACCGUAGACAUCCUUUGUUCUCCUUGAAGGCGACUGUCUGCAGCAAGUGCGAAAUAAAUCACUUGUACAGCAGAGGCAAACAACACACAAUGGUACCACCACCCUUUGCAUUCCUCAUAUGCAAAGAAAAGUAAGUGUCACCCAACAAAGUCGGAACGUGAUUAAGAGUAGAGAAAAUCCUAAUAGCAUUCACAUCCACAAACUUGUCAAUGCUGGGGAAUAACACUAUCCCAUAGAUGAGAAGUACAAAUAUGGCCUCAAAGGCGUCCUCACUCAUGGCCUUCCCAUACGUAGUAGCUUGAGCAAUGACGAACUCAGAAGGGAGACCUUGAAUUCCACCUUUGGUAGUCAUAUGGGAACCAACCAGAGAUUCAUCUAUAUGCAACAUAUCACCUAUCUCUUGAGAAGUAGGGACCCUCUCUAAGCCACUGAAUGACAACUGAUCCAGGAUAGGUAUACCCACAAGAUAGGCAUACUCCUCAAGCGUAGGCAAAAGUUGGAAAUCCGGAAAAGUGAAGCAACGGUACAAGGGAUCAUAGAACUGCACCAAUACACUCAUCAAACCUUUGUCCACUUUAGUAGCCAGAAUAGAUAGAAGCUUCCCAUGACGAGCCUUGAAAUCCAAGGGAUCUAAUACAUAGGAUCUCAAAUUCCUUAGCUCUUUCAAGUCGGGUUGUCUGAAACUGUACUUCUUCGUAUUCCUUCUUUGUCUAUCCAUGUCUGAAAAUUUGCAAAUAGACCUCUUAAGUUCCUUGAAAAUUUUCUCAUUAAUUGAACUGAUUAUGGCAUGCAAAUGGGUGCAUGAAUGCAUGGAUGCAACAAUAGCACUCAAGGAUCAAGCAAAGCACACCAACAAAGGUCAUGGGAUGGAUCAAGUCAUCCUUAAUAUCAAUCAUCCAUUUUGGUGGAUUAUGUUUUACACCUUAUCAACACCCAAGUUCCAUUGAAUUAAGGAUACCCAAGAAUGGAUCAACCAUGAAUCAAGGGUUUGUGGCAAGUCACGAGCAUGGAGUCUUGGUUAAGAACCACCCAAAGGGAGUGUACUAGGGUUUAAACCUGCUAAACAUGUUCUACAAGAGGUUCCCAUAGUCAUCAAUCCCAUCUUUCGGAUAUUAUCGGAUAAACGACUACUCGUAUUCCAAAAAUAUUCUCAAGAGAGACUCUUAUGAGUGUAGUAUCGCGUAACAAUCAUAUCAAGUCUUACACUUGAACGACCUUCACACUACAUCCUAAGAAAUAGGCAAAGAUGGGUGUCAUACCCCGAUUUUGUCCCGGUUUUAUUUUUCUCACGGAUACCACGACAUAUUUUUUUUUAACUAUCAAACCUUGAUUUCCACAUCUCUGUGUAAUGGACUUGGGCCAAGUUAUAUAUAGGAAUCUAGAAUCCCUUAAGGUUCUAUGACGAACAUGGCACAAGAUUUAGUUGCUUGUGGGACAUCCUCUUUUGUCAUGUUAUAGCCUCACCACAUAUCGUCAAGCACUCCAUUCACAAAGUACCCAGGAGAAUUCACGCAUCGUUGAGUUCAAAUGGUGCAUUGGUCCAAAAGUACAAGUUGUAAAUUAAUUUUUCGAAGUAUUUUGUUUGGUGUGUGAGCGCAUCAUUUUUGGUCCUUUACAAAUCUCAUGUCGAUCCAUUCCCAUGUUUAUUAUGGUCCCUCUACGACAAUGGUUUAUAAUGUGGCAAAGUUCAAGAUCCAAAUAACAAAACCAGUAGAACUUCAUUCAAAAAAACAAACAUCAUUACAAUCCAUCAAAGUGCAUUAUUUGAAACAAAACUACGGAGUGCGGUAUUAUUGACAAAGAGUACAACUCAUUUCUAUCCCAAGUUACCAAUUAGAAACUUUGAUCUUUGUACGAGCCAUUGGUGUGCGGACUCUUUGUUCCAACCGUGUUAACAUGACCGUUUGAACCAUCCUGCCAUAAACACUAACUAAAGACAAACAGACCAAGGUGUGAAUGAUAAUCAUGCCGCAUAAUGUGUCGUCAACAUGAGCCCUGCUAUGAACGCACCAGCAAACGUAGCCAAAGCAAGAUGAGGCUACAAAUGAUCCAAACUAUAGCACAAGGCAAGCUGUGAAUAAUGAUGUCACGGCUAAGGCGAAUUGCAGCCGGGUUCAACCUCCAGCAAAAGUAUCUUGCAUACAACACUAAUCUGAAACAAUCCUGAAUUCCAUAACCAUUUUCUGUCUACAUUUCACUUCACAAAAAUUGUUUCAUGCACCUUUAAAAAUCAUACAAUUACAAUUCACUCUUCAGAAAUCCCAUUACAAAUCAUCAUUACAAAAUCAUAAGGAAUUGACAAAUCCUCUACAAAGGUUGGCCAAAUUCCAACAAACCAGUUAUUGACCAUUUCCUAAAAUAAAAGACCUAAGCCUCAAUUGUCCAUGUUACAUCACUUGAGUCAAGAAAGAUUAAGUUCUGAAUAAGAGGCAUCUAAUUGUUGAUCUUCCGUGUCCGGUCCAUUCCCGUUAAGUUGUGGAUCCACCUAGCCUCAAUUGUCCAUGUUACAUCACUUGAGUCAAGAAAGAUUAAGUUCUGAAUAAGAGGCAUCUAAUUGUUGAUCUUCCGUGUCCGGUCCAUUCCCGUUAAGUUGUGGAUCCACCUGUAUAAGAUGUCUUAUCCUGUCCAAAACCAGUUCAAAACCUUACAAACAUACGCAAUGACCAUUUGCCUACACUCAUACUGAACAUAAUAUGAACAACAUGUGAGCAACAAUAUGAAAAACAUGUGGCCAACCAUAUGAAUAACAUGUGAGCAACAGUAGAAGAUCAAUACAAACAUUCUGCAUCCUAUGGAAGUCGUGUAAUGUGACUGAAGCAUGUUAUGAGAACGAAGCCACAAGCCUCGAGGAGCAUCUCAAAGAGGAAAUUCAUCCAUGUAUGCUCAAGGGCAACUGCACCUGCAACAGAAUAAAAUCAGAGGGGCAUUAUUGAAAGGAGUUAAAUUCUAAACAAGAGUGCAUUACCAUUCCAGUAAGCCUACUCAACUUGCAUUGCCAUUCAAGGCCAAGUACAUCAGACCUGCGGCAUGCCAUGGUCUGUUAUCCGUAAACAUCAUCCAAAACGGAGACCUGCAAAACAACACGUGGGGUGUGAAUAUGUUUGUCGUUCGGUUACUGUCUACGUCACUUUAAGCAUAAACAAAUACAUAGUAAAGCCAUUUGAUCCAAGCCGCGUUGCAAUAGCCACAACCAACCCGAUACAUAAAAUCAAAGGCUUCCAAGGGACUUGCUGGUAAUGUUGAACCUUGAUUUAUGGUCCCUAGUGUUGUUGCAAUUAAUAAGUUGCUUAUACAUCAAUCAAGGAGUUCUUCCGAAGGAAAUUGGAUUGCACAGCAUAAUGUUAGUGUCAUGGUUGAUCUUGAUUUCUUCAUUGGAGAUGACGCACUUUCUAAGGUUUGGUCUAGUAGCACUUGUAAUCUCACCUACCCGAUUAAGCAUGGUCAGGUUGAGAAUCGGGACACCAUGGAACUACACAUGUUGAACCAGUUGCAGAUGGUUACGAUUAUUAGUGACAUUGAGUCAGUUCUCAUGGUUGGAAAGGAAUGUAUUUGGCCUAUGGAAAGAAAACUAGAAGGGCAAUGAUUGAUUUACCUCACUCUUCCUAAGAGAAACCAGUUCACUAGUAAUAAGCAAACUACAAUCAGGUGGAGACAUUGCCAUUAUGCACAUGUGACCAAGACCCCUCGUAUGGUAAUCCAAUGGAUCCAUGUUGUAGUAAGCCAGUCGAAUCUGCACCUGCAAGAUAACAAAGACAUAAUCUCGUAAUUAUAGGUCGUUGCAGGUUGUAGCAUACAAGGGUUAAAAGGAUAGGUUGAUAUAUUUACCAUCAUAUGAACCAGCUGCAUAUCAAUACCUCUCGCUAAUAACAUGGCGUCAGUAUGAGAAGGAUCAUGAUAAUCCCGCGCAAUGCUUCCACAGAAACAAAAACCGGAAAAUUAAGAGGAGCCAACCUAGAAAGGUGUAGUGUGAGGUCGAAACAUAGCUAUGAAUACGAGACAUUACCUGUUGCGGAACAUUCCUGCAAAAAGACGUGAGUUAUGAGAUAUUCUGUCGUCUCGACUCGCCAAAACCAGUCUGCAUAAUCCAACAAAGAUUGGAGUCAGGACGCGAAAUUCAAACACAAGUGCAAUCCCAAUCAAAGGGAUAUUAGAAAAGGGAGUGAACCUCACCUGCAGGCCACCUCAAAGGGACACCUAGUUUCGAUGCCGUCUGUGCGCAUUUCUUCAGGUUACAAAACCCGCUAGCAGAAUCCAAAGACAGUCGAACAACACUUAAGAAGAUUUGGGUGCAAAACGAAUCAAUUCCUUAUUUUUCAAAACCACACACCAAGAAAAAAACCUGUCAUAAGGAAAUCAUACGUGGAUAAAACAGGACAAUUACUGCAGUGAAAAGUGAAAAGAGAUGGUUAUCGUAGAUGCAUUACAGACAAAACCUUAUCCUUUCAUUUGAGGGACCACAUCAAUUUGGAGGACCACCAAAUCUGGGAAAAAUCCUGCUAGCUAACGGAAUGAUUCUUCCAAAAAUUUGCCAGCUCAUGAAAGAGGAGAAAGAAACCUCGUACCUCCAAAGCUCUAUAUAAGGACCCUCCAUUGUUGGGAUAGAGGGGACCUAAUUUUUACACCGUUACUGUACUGAGAUUUCCCUCACACCCAUUCACCAAAGCUCAAUACUCCCAAAGUUCACUCAAACUUCAUCAUUAGAACUUUGAGAAAACUGAGCUGAAGCCACUGCAAAGCUGAGAUACACCCAAAGUCAGUGAUGGAAAACGAAGAAAGGCGAAAAAAGAAACCGAGCGGAGCUUACCGGGGACUUGGAGAGAUUUUUGCUCGAAGAGUCAUCGGAGUUUAAGUGGUCGAAAGCUUCAGAUCUCCUUCCGUCGGUACUUCUUCUUCCCCAUUUACUCACUUCAUGCUAAGAUCUCUAACAUAGUUAUUAUUCACUCAAUAUUGAAUCGGUGUUUCUACUUUUACCGUAAUGAAUAAAUAACUGGAUAUUUGUUGAAUGAGUGUAUUAAUCUCUAUUAUCGCUUUGAAUAUGCCAUCGAAGCUCCUUGCGAGGGUAUAACGAGGUAAGUACACGCGAGACAAAACUUACAAUCCAAAGUAUUUGGUAAACUUGGGAUCUAGGGUAUGAUCGAUUGUUUGCAUGUGUGUUAGAUUUGUGAUGCUCAUCAAGGUUGGGAUAGAUUCUUUGUGAAAUAUGAUGCAUAAAUGCGUUUGGUUUGUUUUGAUAAAUGGAAACAGGGAGGUAAGAUGAGAGGCUCGUUGUUUCUGAUAUGAGCGUUGAUUCCAGUUUCCAAAGGAAACUUCUUUUUAAACAAGGACAUAUAAUGUAAUUAAUAAAAUGGGUUUAUUUGGUUUUAAUAUAUACGAAUAGUCAUUAGUGAUUGCAUUAUUCAAGGCUAGCUAGCUGGUGAAUUUAAUUUGUUUUCUACCGUUGGGAAGGCCAAAAGGCUUUUAGCCGCCACAUGUUUCAAGUAGUUGUACAGCUGCCUUUCACUUGGUAGUAAGCAGAUGAUUUUCGAAUUCAAGGCCUAUUCACCUUCCACAUUUCAGAUUGCUAUAACUUGUUUUUUUUUAAAUGUAAAGGAGUUUCUUUUGGGCCUUAGGGCCCGUUGCGAAGCCGCACAUUUUUGAGGUCCUCUGUUGGGCCUCUUCUGGUCCACUAUUUAUCCACAUUUCAGAUUGCUAUAACUUGUUUUUUUUUAAAUGUAAAGGAGUUUCUUUUGGGCCUUAGGGCCCGUUGCGAAGCCGCACAUUUUUGAGGUCCUCUGUUGGGCCUCUUCUGGUCCACUAUUUUAAGAAUUUCACCUUUUUCUCAUUUCCCACACAUUCAUAUUUAUUUUACUUAAUAUGUGCAUUAUUUUCCAAAUAUCUCAAUUAAAAUAACUAUGACUAAAUAAGGAUAUUCAUUUGUUUGCUUUCGAUUUUUUUUAUUUUUAUUUAUUUCAUUAGGAUAUUAUAACUAAUCGAAUGGUGGAUUAAAGGUUAAUAUCAACAAAUAAUUUACUUUACCUUCUAAAAUAAAUUUGAUUUUGGUCCAAUACCAAAUGAUCUUUCUCAAAACAUAUUACUCCUAAUUCAACAUAUUUAAUUAAUAUACUCUCCCAAAAUUAUUUAAAUUAAUUUUGAAUGAAAAGGAGAAUAGUAAGUGUAGCACCUCAAAUUUGCACCCAUCAUUGUACAUACAUUUUCAUACUAGGUCAUAGCAUAUCAUGGUCCAUUGCAUAGCAUUGCAUUGCCUCCUUUGCCUCAAGUGCAAGCAAGUCAAGAAAUUAUAAGGUCAAACUGCUCAGGAGAUAGUCAGGUCAAGCAAGCAAGCACAAUUUUCAUUGAGCCAAGGCCCUAGGUUGGUCCAACAUGUUCACAUGACUUGGGGUCCAUUUGAAGUGAUUUGGUCAAAGAUUGGAUGGUCAGAAGUCAUCAGUUCAUGCACAGUCAGGCAAAAACCCUAGACAGUCAACAGUCAGUCAAAGCAGUGGAUGGUGGCCAUUCUUGUGGAAUUUGGACACCAUGCUCAUUAAUCAAGAGUUCAUAUGUCUUGGUAUCAUUUGAAGUCAAGUUCUCAAGGAAUUAGGGUUUGGAGUUCACCAGAAGAGGUUCAGUCAGCCAGAAACCCUAAAAGUCAACUAUUGGUCAACUGUCCACUUUAAUCAGUGAUUUGAUGAUUGGAUUUGGUUUGAGGAGCUCAUUCAUGUCCAAAUAGGCCUCAUAUAUCAUGUCAAACACCAUCAUGGAGAAUUUGAAGCCAGAUCAAAAAUUUCCAAAAAUGGAAACUGGACCUGUAACUGAAACUUACCAAAAAUGGAAAGUCUUGAUCCUCAAACUUACAUCAUUAUACAAGCUUCAAAUUGAAUUUUGCCAACAUGAAAGUUGAAGAUCUUGUUCCCAUUUCCAAAAGUCCAAGAACUCUCAAUUCCCAUGUGUGGUUGGCAAGUUAUGAUCGAAUCGAUUUCAGAAAUUCUUGAACUUCAAAAGGCCAUAUCUCCCAAACCAUUUGGCCAAUUUUGGUGGGGUUUUUUCCUACAAGUCACAUUUGAUCCCCUCUUUCCAAAAUAUAAAUUUCAUGAGCCAAACUUCACCAAUCAAAAUGGCAUUUUUUGACUUAUCUCAUUUAAAUGCAAGUUUGACAAGGGUUGACUUUUUGAUAUAAUCAUUUUUUUUCCACUUGGCCAAUUGAAAUAGCUCAGAAAUAUCAUUUAAAAUGUGUUUUCCAAGUCAAAUUAUGCAGUACACAUGUAUCCUGCUAGCUUGCUUGGAAUGUGGCCAAGAGUACACUUUCACCAUGUCCAUCGGACCAUACCUUGCUUUGUACUCUUAAGACAGAAAAUUAAGAGAUCAAUUGCUGUCAUUAAAACCUCAUUUGCAGCCCAUAACCAACAGAAGGAAGGCCAUGCUCUAGCUGUUUGGAAUUGGGAAGAAAGUACAUAGCUACAUCCACAUUUUCAUGGUUUUUGAGGCGGACCACAAGACAGUUUUGGUUCAUCAUAUUUUCUGUCAUUGGAGGACAGUAGUAGCCAGCAGCAGCCCACACUGCAUACAACUCACUCCCUCAAGAAUUGACCUUGCUUGGCAUUUAUCUAAAAUCUGUCACAAUUCCAAAAGGCCAAGGCUUUGCCUUACCACAAAAGCAACAUCCAACAGCAUCCACCAUGCCAUGCCUUGUACUCUCAAAUAGCAGAUUAUUUCAUCAUUUUUCUGUCAUGGCCAAGCCACAUUGCAGACAGAACUUCACUAAUUCAUUCACACAUCCUUGGCAUUUUUCUCAAAAAAAUCUUCCAAAACCUCAAGUAACCCUAGCAAGCUUUAUUGGUUCUUCUCAUCCAAGCCACAAAAACAGCAAAUUAAAACUUCAUUUUUCUGUCAAAGAAACCAGCAGUAGCAGCCAAAAAUCACAGCAGAUACUCAUUCUAAAAAAAUGACCUUGCUUUUGGCAUUUCAAAAAAACCUGUCCAAAGCUCAAAAGAACCUAAGCGCCUUGGCAUGACUAUUUUCACUACCCUUUCAUCAUUCUGAACUAAUGGCAGCCAUUUCACAGCAAAAAAACUUUGGUUCUAUCAUUUGCUCAAAACUCAUUCUUUCCAAAAACAGUCCAAACUUCAUAAUGACUGAGCCCGGCUAUUGUGUUUCACCACCAUUCCAUCAUUUUGAAACCAUCAAACACAUUUUGACAGCAUACAAACCUUGGUCCUCUCAUUGGCUCAAAAACUUCAUUUGGUGCAUUUGUCAUUUCUGUCCAGAACUUCCAAAACCCUAGCCUUGCACUGUAUUUUUUCACCCUCCAUUCAUCAAUUUGGAACCCUGCUAGCACCAUCUAACACAGCCAAAAAAACCAUUGUUCACUCAUUUGUCAAAAAAACUCAUCUUUUGCCAUUUUCCAAAACAGUCCAAAACACCCAAUGAACUGAGCCUGGCCUUUGUUUCCUCACCACCCAAGCAUCAUUGUAGACUCUUUAGAACCACAUUUUCACACCUGUAAGUACCUUUUCUAGCCCUGUUUUAAAGAGGUGGCAGCCAUGGCAGAAAUUGUUUGGCUCACUCCAAGCCAUUGCAAGUCAACAACCUUCAUCAUUCAUCAUCUGGGACCCUAAGGUGCAACUGUUUCACUUCAAAAACACCAAACAACAUCAAGAACACAACUGUCCUUCAAUUUUUGGUAUGGAUUCGACCCCCUCCUUUUUGGUUUANNNNNNNNNNNNNNNNNNNNNNNNNNNNNNNNNNNNNNNNNNNNNNNNNNNNNNNNNNNNNNNNNNNNNNNNNNNNNNNNNNNNNNNNNNNNNNNNNNNNNNNNNNNNNNNNNNNNNNNNNNNNNNNNNNNNNNNNNNNNNNNNNNNNNNNNNNNNNNNNNNNNNNNNNNNNNNNNNNNNNNNNNNNNNNNNNNNNNNNNNNNNNNNNNNNNNNNNNNNNNNNNNNNNNNNNNNNNNNNNNNNNNNNNNNNNNNNNNNNNNNNNNNNNNNNNNNNNNNNNNNNNNNNNNNNNNNNNNNNNNNNNNNNNNNNNNNNNNNNNNNNNNNNNNNNNNNNNNNNNNNNNNNNNNNNNNNNNNNNNNNNNNNNNNNNNNNNNNNNNNNNNNNNNNNNNNNNNNNNNNNNNNNNNNNNNNNNNNNNNNNNNNNNNNNNNNNNNNNNNNNNNNNNNNNNNNNNNNNNNNNNNNNNNNNNNNNNNNNNNNNNNNNNNNNNNNNNNNNNNNNNNNNNNNNNNNNNNNNNNNNNNNNNNNNNNNNNNNNNNNNNNNNNNNNNNNNNNNNNNNNNNNNNNNNNNNNNNNNNNNNNNNNNNNNNNNNNNNNNNNNNNNNNNNNNNNNNNNNNNNNNNNNNNNNNNNNNNNNNNNNNNNNNNNNNNNNNNNNNNNNNNNNNNNNNNNNNNNNNNNNNNNNNNNNNNNNNNNNNNNNNNNNNNNNNNNNNNNNNNNNNNNNNNNNNNNNNNNNNNNNNNNNNNNNNNNNNNNNNNNNNNNNNNNNNNNNNNNNNNNNNNNNNNNNNNNNNNNNNNNNNNNNNNNNNNNNNNNNNNNNNNNNNNNNNNNNNNNNNNNNNNNNNNNNNNNNNNNNNNNNNNNNNNNNNNNNNNNNNNNNNNNNNNNNNNNNNNNNNNNNNNNNNNNNNNNNNNNNNNNNNNNNNNNNNNNNNNNNNNNNNNNNNNNNNNNNNNNNNNNNNNNNNNNNNNNNNNNNNNNNNNNNNNNNNNNNNNNNNNNNNNNNNNNNNNNNNNNNNNNNNNNNNNNNNNNNNNNNNNNNNNNNNNNNNNNNNNNNNNNNNNNNNNNNNNNNNNNNNNNNNNNNNNNNNNNNNNNNNNNNNNNNNNNNNNNNNNNNNNNNNNNNNNNNNNNNNNNNNNNNNNNNNNNNNNNNNNNNNNNNNNNNNNNNNNNNNNNNNNNNNNNNNNNNNNNNNNNNNNNNNNNNNNNNNNNNNNNNNNNNNNNNNNNNNNNNNNNNNNNNNNNNNNNNNNNNNNNNNNNNNNNNNNNNNNNNNNNNNNNNNNNNNNNNNNNNNNNNNNNNNNNNNNNNNNNNNNNNNNNNNNNNNNNNNNNNNNNNNNNNNNNNNNNNNNNNNNNNNNNNNNNNNNNNNNNNNNNNNNNNNNNNNNNNNNNNNNNNNNNNNNNNNNNNNNNNNNNNNNNNNNNNNNNNNNNNNNNNNNNNNNNNNNNNNNNNNNNNNNNNNNNNNNNNNNNNNNNNNNNNNNNNNNNNNNNNNNNNNNNNNNNNNNNNNNNNNNNNNNNNNNNNNNNNNNNNNNNNNNNNNNNNNNNNNNNNNNNNNNNNNNNNNNNNNNNNNNNNNNNNNNNNNNNNNNNNNNNNNNNNNNNNNNNNNNNNNNNNNNNNNNNNNNNNNNNNNNNNNNNNNNNNNNNNNNNNNNNNNNNNNNNNNNNNNNNNNNNNNNNNNNNNNNNNNNNNNNNNNNNNNNNNNNNNNNNNNNNNNNNNNNNNNNNNNNNNNNNNNNNNNNNNNNNNNNNNNNNNNNNNNNNNNNNNNNNNNNNNNNNNNNNNNNNNNNNNNNNNNNNNNNNNNNNNNNNNNNNNNNNNNNNNNNNNNNNNNNNNNNNNNNNNNNNNNNNNNNNNNNNNNNNNNNNNNNNNNNNNNNNNNNNNNNNNNNNNNNNNNNNNNNNNNNNNNNNNNNNNNNNNNNNNNNNNNNNNNNNNNNNNNNNNNNNNNNNNNNNNNNNNNNNNNNNNNNNNNNNNNNNNNNNNNNNNNNNNNNNNNNNNNNNNNNNNNNNNNNNNNNNNNNNNNNNNNNNNNNNNNNNNNNNNNNNNNNNNNNNNNNNNNNNNNNNNNNNNNNNNNNNNNNNNNNNNNNNNNNNNNNNNNNNNNNNNNNNNNNNNNNNNNNNNNNNNNNNNNNNNNNNNNNNNNNNNNNNNNNNNNNNNNNNNNNNNNNNNNNNNNNNNNNNNNNNNNNNNNNNNNNNNNNNNNNNNNNNNNNNNNNNNNNNNNNNNNNNNNNNNNNNNNNNNNNNNNNNNNNNNNNNNNNNNNNNNNNNNNNNNNNNNNNNNNNNNNNNNNNNNNNNNNNNNNNNNNNNNNNNNNNNNNNNNNNNNNNNNNNNNNNNNNNNNNNNNNNNNNNNNNNNNNNNNNNNNNNNNNNNNNNNNNNNNNNNNNNNNNNNNNNNNNNNNNNNNNNNNNNNNNNNNNNNNNNNNNNNNNNNNNNNNNNNNNNNNNNNNNNNNNNNNNNNNNNNNNNNNNNNNNNNNNNNNNNNNNNNNNNNNNNNNNNNNNNNNNNNNNNNNNNNNNNNNNNNNNNNNNNNNNNNNNNNNNNNNNNNNNNNNNNNNNNNNNNNNNNNNNNNNNNNNNNNNNNNNNNNNNNNNNNNNNNNNNNNNNNNNNNNNNNNNNNNNNNNNNNNNNNNNNNNNNNNNNNNNNNNNNNNNNNNNNNNNNNNNNNNNNNNNNNNNNNNNNNNNNNNNNNNNNNNNNNNNNNNNNNNNNNNNNNNNNNNNNNNNNNNNNNNNNNNNNNNNNNNNNNNNNNNNNNNNNNNNNNNNNNNNNNNNNNNNNNNNNNNNNNNNNNNNNNNNNNNNNNNNNNNNNNNNNNNNNNNNNNNNNNNNNNNNNNNNNNNNNNNNNNNNNNNNNNNNNNNNNNNNNNNNNNNNNNNNNNNNNNNNNNNNNNNNNNNNNNNNNNNNNNNNNNNNNNNNNNNNNNNNNNNNNNNNNNNNNNNNNNNNNNNNNNNNNNNNNNNNNNNNNNNNNNNNNNNNNNNNNNNNNNNNNNNNNNNNNNNNNNNNNNNNNNNNNNNNNNNNNNNNNNNNNNNNNNNNNNNNNNNNNNNNNNAGUAAGCUUCCGCUUUAUUAUCUCUCGAUUAUUCGAAUAAUUGGCGUACGCCAUAUUGCUCGAAUUUUCGUCAUUUAAUUAAAACCCUAAAAAACUCUAUAAAAUUAAAAUUAUUUUCUCAAAUUAAUCACAAAUCCUAAAAGAAUUAUUUAAAUUAAUUUUGAAUGAAAAGGAGAAUAGUAAGCUUCCGCUUUAUUAUCUCUCGAUUAUUCGAAUAAUUGGCGUACGCCAUAUUGCUCGAAUUUUCGUCAUUUAAUUAAAACCCUAAAAAACUCUAUAAAAUUAAAAUUAUUUUCUCAAAUUAAUCACAAAUCCUAAAAGCAUUAUUUAAAUUAAUUUUGAAUAAAAAGGAGAAUAGUAAGCUUCCGCUUUAUUAUCUCUCGAUUAUUCGAAUAAUUGGCGUAUGCCAUAUUGCCCAAAUUUUCGUCAUUUAAUUAAAACCCUAAAAAACUCUUAAAAUCAAAUUACUCCCCCAGUCAAUUAAUUAUUCUAAAAGUCUCUAUUUUUAUAAUUAAUCUUUAAGUGAAAAGGAGAUUAAUGAGCAUCAGCUCCAUUAUCUCUCAGUUAUUCGAAUAAUUGGCGUACGCCACAUUGCUCGAAUCUUCGUCAUCAAAUUAAAACAGAAUCGAAUAAAUCCAAACUAUUUUCGCAAAUCAAAUACAAUAUAUAAAAAGAUAUCUUUUACAAUUUAAACCUCGGGUGAUAAGAGAUAGGAGGCGUUCGCCUCGCCAUCUCUCCAUUAUUUGAAUAAUUGGCUUACGCCAUAUUGCACAAAUUAUCGACUUCCGAUUAAAACACUUUAAAUAAACUUGGAUAAGAGAAUAGGUGGCGUACGCCUCAUUAUUCUUUGAAUAAGCAAGUAGGAGGCGUACGCCUCACUACCGUGCAUAUGCAACAUCCACAAACAAACCUUUAAAUAAUCGAACGAAAAAGGAGUAGAAGGCGUACACCUUAUUACUCCUCGAAAGAAUUGGUCGAUUGGUGUACACAAUAUUGCUCAAUCUUUUGUCGUUCUUUAAAACACCUUAACAAAUCAAACUAAUGUCUCGCCCCCGUGCGACCCACAACUUAAAAUUCUUUUCAAAAGAAUAUUGUUAAUCCUUUCUAAUGCGCAUAACAAACUAAUGCUUAAGCCUCCGCCGGGAGUAAACAAGCAAGCGUUUAGCCUUUAGAACGCGAUCUACACAGUCGUUCAUUAAAAGACACCAACAAAGACCGUAGUUUCCCAAACUACGAAUGCUCUGAUUUCCUUAUUAUACCAUAAGGAUACGUAGGCAGGAGAUUGCUGUAUCUUUGGGAGCACACUAAAAAAAAACCUCCCCGUUCUCCUCCUGAGGUCUUCACCCAUAUCUAUCAUCAAUUCUAAUUACCCGAAGAAAAGCAAAUAACAUGUAAUUAACAUUCAAAUAGCAAAUUGGACUAAAAGGUUCCCGUUGAGUACAACGGACGUGAGGGGUGCUAAUACCUUCCCCUUACGUAAUCGACUCCCGAACCCGAAUAUGGUUGCGACGACCAUUAUUCUUAUUUCUAAAGGUUUUAUCGAUAUUUUCCUAUUCCUUCAUUAGGAUAAAUAAUGUUCGGUGGCGACUCUGUUCGAACAUAAAAAUUUUCUGCGACCAUCGCGAGGAAUCGUAUUUUUCGAGAUGCGACAGAUGGCGACUCUGCUGGGGACAAGCUUAGCUCCAAGCUAGAAAGAGCCAAACCUAACUUAGUGAAUUUGCUAUAUAUGUUAGAAUACCGCUUUUUAUUUGCUUCUGUAUAUCUUGAUGUAUUAUUUAUGCUAUGUAAUUUAUUCUGCUAUUAUGUUGGGUGAUCUAUGGUGUUUGACACAUGUUGUGAGAUAAGCUCCGUACCCGAGCUUUGAGAAGAACUUAGAACCCGGAGUUGUGUAGUAUUGAACCGNNNNNNNNNNNNNNNNNNNNNNNNNNNNNNNNNNNNNNNNNNNNNNNNNNNNNNNNNNNNNNNNNNNNNNNNNNNNNNNNNNNNNNNNNNNNNNNNNNNNNNNNNNNNNNNNNNNNNNNNNNNNNNNNNNNNNNNNNNNNNNNNNNNNNNNNNNNNNNNNNNNNNNNNNNNNNNNNNNNNNNNNNNNNNNNNNNNNNNNNNNNNNNNNNNNNNNNNNNNNNNNNNNNNNNNNNNNNNNNNNNNNNNNNNNNNNNNNNNNNNNNNNNNNNNNNNNNNNNNNNNNNNNNNNNNNNNNNNNNNNNNNNNNNNNNNNNNNNNNNNNNNNNNNNNNNNNNNNNNNNNNNNNNNNNNNNNNNNNNNNNNNNNNNNNNNNNNNNNNNNNNNNNNNNNNNNNNNNNNNNNNNNNNNNNNNNNNNNNNNNNNNNNNNNNNNNNNNNNNNNNNNNNNNNNNNNNNNNNNNNNNNNNNNNNNNNNNNNNNNNNNNNNNNNNNNNNNNNNNNNNNNNNNNNNNNNNNNNNNNNNNNNNNNNNNNNNNNNNNNNNNNNNNNNNNNNNNNNNNNNNNNNNNNNNNNNNNNNNNNNNNNNNNNNNNNNNNNNNNNNNNNNNNNNNNNNNNNNNNNNNNNNNNNNNNNNNNNNNNNNNNNNNNNNNNNNNNNNNNNNGGAGAGACGUAAUCUUCAGAAUUAUCCAUCAUAAAUAUGGCUAGCCCAAUCGCGAUGGGAGCGGGGGGGGGGAGGGGGGGGGGGGGAAACUUAACAUGGCAUGACUCUGGGAACCUCAUCUUAAACUGAAGUCCGUCUUCAUGAUUGGCGAUCGUGUAGUAUUGAACCGAAGGGUGUACACCCUGUUCGAACAAUACGAGGAUCCCACUUAGAAUAGACCGAUUCAGGACUUCCAUUUCAAUGUGGCUAGCCCAUUAUUGCGAUGGAAGACUGAACUUGGUCCAUGACUCUAAGUUCUUAUCAUGAAAAUAGAUAACCUUAGGAGAAAUCCUUGAUGUAUGGGGUAAAAGACAUAGAACCGUUGUUAAGUUGAACCUUGUGAUAUAUGUGAAACCUGGAUCCCUUUCAUUGCAUAAACAUCAUGUUGCAUUCAUUAUGAGCAUAGCAAAAUCAUUUCCACACUUUUUUAUUUUCAGGGAAUUUCAAAAUUUUCAAUUAAUUAAGCAUUCAAGAACAAAUGGAGUCAGAAAAGAAAAAAACAUUCCAAAUCAAAGCUAAGGUACCGUGUGUGAAGAAGUUCAUUGCAUUCAGAGAUGGGUUGACUAACAUCCGUCGAUACGCAUUCACACUCAAAUAUGGGAAGAUUCUACAGUUGUUGUCAGUACCAGUACAAAAGGAUGCUAUUACCGCACUAGCCCAGUUUUAUGAUCCAUCACUCAGAAGUUUCCUCUUUAAAGAUUUCCAGUUGGCCCCGACUUUGGAAGAAUUUGGAAGAAUAUUGGACUCUCCUAAGCAGAAGAAGGGACCAUACAAGGGGUUAGGUCAAAUCCCUGAACCCGAACUUUGGAAGAAUUUGGAAGAAUAUUGGACUCUCCUAAGCAGAAGAAGGGACCAUACAAGGGGUUAGGUCAAAUCCCUGAACCCGAAGAGUUGGCAGAAGUAUUAAGCAUCCCAGUCAAAGAUCUAACCCCUAACAUCAAAAUUUGGGGAAAGGUACAGGGAAUUCCACAAGAGUACCUGGAGAAAACUGCUCAAGGCUUUGCUGAAGCCCAGAAGUGGGAAGCCCAUGAUACUAUUAUGGCUUUACUUAUUUUUGGAUUAGUGUUAUUUCCUAACAUGGAGAAGUUAGUUGAUGUAGCAGCUAUUAGCGUGUUUUGGGCCGUCAAGGUUAAGAACGAAGAUCCAGUACCCGCACUCCUAGCAUAUGUUUAUCACACCUUGCACCUACGCUUUGAGAAGAAGGGAGGACUGAUGUUAUGUUGCAUACCACUCCUUUACCAAUGGCUUGUCUCUCAUGUGUUCAAAUAGGUUGAUACAAUUGAAAGUAUGGAUGGAUAUGAGUGGUCUCAAAAGUUAGUAGGACUCACUGAAAAUACCAUUAUUUGGUAUCCUUAUGGCUUGAAUGUGGGAGAUACAAUUACUAGUUAUGGAGAGUUUCCGAAUGUACCAUUAAUAGGGUCAAAAGGGUGCAUUAACUACAAUCCUGUUUUAGCAGUAAGGCAGUUGGGUUAUCCUAUCACAUACAAACCAGGUGACCAGUUGUUAGAAGGUUUUGUGUUCCAUGAUAUGGAGGAUCCCGUUAUGCUGAGAAGGGUUAUCCGAGCCUGGGAGAAAGUUCACUUCAGAGGACAAGACAAAGGAAAGGGUGUUAUAGGGGAUAGAGAACCAUAUCAUCAAUGGGUCACCAGAAGAAGUCAAGAGAUCAAACUGCCAUUCAUCCUCGAUCCUCCAACUCAACCUCCACCACCAGAACCCAUCCCUGUCUCCAUGGAAGAAGUGGAAGCAUUGAGAGCUACUAUAGCAAGACUUGGACGAAAAAAUGAAGAGCUACAGGCCAGCUUCCAGCAAGUUUCAAAUGAAAGAAAUGAGAUAAAGUGGGAACUAGAGAGGAAGAAGGCCCAACUUGAAGCGACUGAGGAAAAGGUCGAUAAGGAAGAACAUAAGAGAAAGAAAGUGAAAAUAAGCAUGGAACAAGCUGACCACUGCCUAGAAACCAUUAAAGAGCAGUUGAGACAAGUUGAGAAAGAAUGCCAAAAGAAUAAGCGAUGGUGGCUACGAGCUACAUAAGAGAAAAAAGAAGUUAGAGAGAUAUUGGAGGCUCAAAUACAAGAUCUCACUAUCUCCCUCCAUAAUGCUGAGACCCAAGCCGAGCACGAGCGCCGACUUAAGGAAAGAGCCCUUUAAGCUUCUCGAGUCACACCUAUCACUUGGGCCGAGAAAUGUCAAGAAGCAAAAGAUGCUAGAGGUGUUGCUCAACAUUGGAAAGAUAGAUUCGAGGCAUUCCAUCAAGACAGUGUGAUAUGGCUAAGGGAAAGAGAGCAAGUCAUUGAGGAUUACGAUACCUUUAGGAGAACUAUCAAUUUCUUGCAAGCGGAAAAGAUAGAUUCGAGGCAUUCCAUCAAGACAGUGUGAUAUGGCUAAGGGAAAGAGAGCAAGUCAUUGAGGAUUACGAUACCUUUAGGAGAACUAUCAAUUUCUUGCAAGCGGACAAAGAUGGGUACCAUGCAAAGCUCAACAGUUUGGUACAAUUCUGCAACUGGACGACCCAAGAAAUGCCUUGGAGGUUGAGAGAGGCAGUGGGAGGAUUGGACCAACAUGACACACAUCCUGCUGUAAUCCAUUUUGUUAUGAUGUGUGAAGGGAUGGUGAAGAGGUUCAAGUCUGAAUUAGAAGAACUCAUAACUCGAAAGACUUCUAUGUGAUUAUUUUGUUUUUCUUAUAUUCAGUUAGUAUUUGAGUUGUAUCAAUUUGGGUGGUUAUGCCUUUGUACUCCGUACUUUCAACAUUUGAAUGGAGGAGGAUGAUCCUCAUUUUUAUUUCCUGACUUUAUGUUUUCUCUAAAUGCUUAAUAUAACUACAACCGUGAUGAAAAUUCCCUGAAAAUAAAAUAUGCAUAACAUUCGCAUCCUCAUUAUGCAUCACGCUUCAUAAAAACAAAAAAAAACUUACCCAACCUUUUGCCCUCUAUCCAGUAACGCUGACUAAUCAACACCGGUACGAGACGCGAAGCCAUUACAAGAUGACGUUAGAGCAAGUGGAGGCUAACCAAGCUACCAUGAGGUCAGACAUUAAUACGAUCCAAGAGAAGAUGGAUCAAAUGCUGGAAACAAUGCUCGCCAUCGCCCAGAGAGAGAGGGUUGCGGAUGCAAAAGCUGAGGCUAGAAGGAAUGAUAACCCAUCAAGUUUGGUCCACCAAGACGAGAGCUUCGUCCACGCCAAGAAGAGUCUGGUUCAUAUACCAGUAGGAAGCAAAGGAGAUGGGGAUCGUGCAGAUCCUUCUGAGGCGCCUGCUCAUUAUGGGUCCGAAAUGGGAGAUGACCCGUAUGAAGCUUUCUAUGUGCCGGAUCAACCAAAGCCUAAGACACUUCCAGACCCUGCUGCAGAUAGGCUUCGUGCCUUGGAAAAGAAGAUCAAAGCUAUUGAAGGGAAUAAUAUCUUCGGCGCCUCUGCCAUGAACAUGCGUCUGGUAUCAAAUUUGGUCAUCCCGGCUAAAUUUAAAACUCCUGAUUUCGAGAAAUACAAAGGCCAGACUUGCCCAAGAAGUCACCUAGUGAUGUACUUUAGGAAAAUGGCUGCUCAUACCGAAAAUGACAAACUGCUUAUACACUGUUUCCAAGAUAGUUUGAGUGGAGCGUCUCUGAGAUGGUACAUGAGUUUAGAGCAAGGGCGGAUUCAAAACUGGGAAGAUUUGGCUGACGCAUUCCUCCAUCAGUACAAAUAUAAUUUGGAUAUGGCACCUGACCGAAUGCAGUUGCAAGGGAUGACAAUGAAAGAAAAUGAGUCCUUUAAAGAAUACACCCAGCGAUGGAGAGAGUUGGCUGCUCAGGUAGAGCCACCAUUGUCUGAGAAGGAAAUGACUGGAAUAUUUGUGGACACGCUGAAAAACCCAUUCUUUGAUAGAUUGGUGAGUAGUGCAGCAUCCGAUUUUGCGCAUCUGGUCACAAUCGGAGAUCGCAUAGAAAAGGGUCUGAGGGAUGGAAAGAUUUCAGGAGCCGUGGCAACCCCUAGCGCACCGAAAAAGUAUUUUGGAGGCUUCCAAAAGAAAAAAGAGGGUGAAACGAACGCUGUAUCUAGAGGAUAUAAGGGGAAGCAACAAGCUUCAUAUGGCCAAGUCGCUGUCGUGGUACUCAUACCUUAUCAACAACCCAUACAACAACAACCAAUGUAUUAACCACAUCAUCAACAACCUCGUCAACAACAGAAUACAGCACCACCAAGACAAUUCAGGCCAAGGCCUCCAAGAAGGCAGCUUGACCCUCUACCAGUACCUUAUAGUCAAAUAUUCCCAUAUUUGCAAAAGGAGGGUCUUCUCACAUUGAGGGAGCUGAAACCGGUUGUUUUUCCAUAUCCACCAGGAUAUGAUGCUAACGCCCAUUGUGAAUUUCACAUGGGAGCGCCCGGCCAUACCCUGGAAAAUUGUUUUGCAUUCCAAAAUAGGGUACAAGACCUGAUUGAAGCAAAAGUUGUUACCUUCACUCCGAGACGCCCGAACGUGAACACUAAUCCCAUGCCAACACAUGGAGAUACUUCCGUCAGUGCCAUAGAGGAGAGUGAUCAGGGAGAACUGAUUCUUAAGGUUGAAGAGAUUCAAACCCCUAUCACCAGGAUAGGGGCACAGCUGCUAAAAAGUGUUCUAGUUCCAGAGGGGCUAGUCAAUGAUGAGAAUGAUAAAGGGUUGAGGAAUUCUAUACAACAAAUGCUGGAUCAAGGCGAGUUACAGAUAAAUCGCCGUGUUAAUAACAAAGAAGAGGAAGAGAUAACUGUCGUGGUAGACAUCCUUUAUGAUGAGGUUAACGUGGACAUCCCUUUCAAUGGGGUUAAUGUGGCCAUCCAUUAUGAUGAGGUUAAUGUGGAAAUCCCCAUAAACCCAUUGGUGAUAGAGUUUCCAGCACCGUUCGCGUAUAAGGAUGAGAAGGCGGUACCAUGGAUAUAUCAGUCCAGAGCUUUUAAGCAAGGGCAGGAAGACCGACCCAUGGUAAUCAACGAACCAAACGUUACCUCAAUUGUGGGGCCAGCCGGGAUGACGCGUAGUGGCCGAGUGUUCGCGCCAAGGGCUGUUGAUGCUUCUACAAAAGCCAAAGGGAAAGAAGUUGCUACUCCUAUCCAAAUCCCUGUCCCUAGUCGAGAAAUGCAAGAAAUGCAUUUGUCUCCUAAAGCUGCGGUCACUCGUGAGGAGGCUGAGGAAUUUCUAAGGAUAAUCAAGAAAAGUGAUUAUAAAGUGGUGGACCAGUUAAAUCAAACACCUUAAAAAAUCUCCAUGUUAUCUCUGUUGCUCAACUCAGAAGCGCACAGGAGUUCAUUACUGAAAGUGUUAAGCACAACACAUAUCACGAAAGACAUAACGAUAGAACAGUUUGACGACGUGAUAGCUUGCGUAACCACUGGAAAUUUUUUGGGGUUUAACGAUGAUGAACUGCCAGUUGAGGGAAAGAACCAUAACAAGGCCCUACAUAUCUCCUUGAAAUGCAUAGACAUUAUACUAUCAAGGGUGUUAGUAGACACAGGUUCCUCACUGAACGUCAUGCCAAAAACCACCUUGAUAAAGCUGCCGAUGGAGGGGAUGAAUAUGAAGCCCAGUACCCUAAUUGUAAAAGCAUUCGAUGGCUCAAGACGAGCAGUGAUAGGAGAGGUUAACCUACCAAUCAAAAUAGGCCCAACCUUCUUCAAUAUCACAUUCCAAGUUAUGGACAUACAUCCCGGUUAUAGUUGCCUACUUGUAAGACCAUGGAUCCACUCUGCAGGCGUCGUCACCUCCACUUUACACCAAAAGCUAAAAUUCAUUACCAAUGACAAGAUGAUUGUGAUUGGAGGGGAGGAGGAUAUCUUGGUUAGCCAUUUAACAUCUUUCCGAUAAAUCGAAGUGGAUGGCGAGAUAACCGAGACACCAUUCCAGUCCUUGGAAGUGGUAAAUAUGAUGGCUGUCCAACGAACAUUGGAGACUCCGAAGUCAGGACCGUCCAUGGCCUCGUGGCAAGGAGCUAAGGCUGUGAUGGAAAGUGAAAAUGCUCAAGACUGGGGCAAAGUGGUGGAAGUGAACCAGAAGCGAGACAAGUUUGGGUCAGGGUAUGACCCAUCGUCAAUUGAAGCCGGUAACCAACACGAUAAAGAGCAAAUUCCUCCUGUAGAAGAAACGUUCAUCAGCGCUGGCCACAUUUUUGGCAGCCAGGUGGCAAUGAUCAAUGUUGAAGAUCACGAGGAAGGGGUGUCUAGCUGGAUACGACAAGCCGCGCCUAAUGAAGAACUGACAAACUGGAAGGCUGUGGAAGUCCCUCAAUUUUUUCAAAAGUAAUUUUAUUAUUUUACACAAAACCAUGUGCUCUGCCCAAGGCACAGUGGCAUGUUGUAGGGCCUCAUUUAUCUUUUUUAAGAGUUUCUAUAUCCAUAAUAAAUAGAGAUUUGCAUUCAAUUUUUUGUUCCUUUCCUUUCGUUUUUUUACAAAAAAUGGCAUCAAUUUUUAUGCACGCACUUUCUAAAUAAACUGCAUAAAUCAUAACAUGCAGAAACACCACCGAGACCAUUGAUUGCUAGGGUCUGGCAUGACUUUGAUUGUAUGAUCUACCAAGCUGAAGAUGAAGUGGGGGAAGAGUGUGAACUCCCUGUAGAGUUGGCCAGAUUGCUUAGACAAGAAGAGAAGGUCAUUCAACCACACCAGGAGGACGUCGAAGUUAUCAACCUGGGAACAAAAGAAGACAAAAGAGAAGUAAGGGUAGGCGUCGCGCUUCAAGAUGCAGUAAAGACUAGAUUGAUAGAGCUCCUCCAUGAAUAUAACGAUGUGUUUGCAUGGUCAUACCAAGAUAUGCCCGGAUUAGACACUGAUAUCGUGACCCACAAGCUUCCCCUUAAAGAAGAAUGCUCUGCCGUCAAGCAAAAGCUAAGAAGAACUCGACCGGAUAUGGCUCUCAAGAUCAGAGAAGAGGUGAGAAAGUAGUUUGACGCUGGUUUCCUGGAAGUCGCUAAGUACCCACAAUGGGUUGCCAACAUUGUACCGGUACCAAAGAAAGAUGGGAAAGUCCGCAUGUGCGUAGAUUACCGAGACUUGAAUAGAGCUAGUCCCAAAGACGAUUUCCCAUCCUCACAUCGAUGUAUUGGUAGAUAACACACCAGUUCUUGUAUUUUCCUUUAUGGAUGGUUCUCUGGAUAAACCAAAUUAAAAUGGAUCCCGAGGACAUGGAGAAGACCACGUUCAUUACCCUUGGGCACCUUUUGUUACAUGGAUUAAAGAACGCUGGGGCAACAUAUCAACGCGCUAUGGUGACUCUCUUUCAUGAUAUGAUUCAUAAAGAGAUCGAGGUGUAUGUUGACGACAUGAUUGCCAAAUCCCAGACAGAGGAGGAACAUAUCACUAAUCUGGAGAAACUGUUUGCUCGUUUGAGGAAGUUUCGGUUGAGACUUAAUCCUAACAAAUGCACAUUUGGGGUUCGAUCCGGGAAGCUUUUAGGCUUUAUUGUAAGCUAAAAGGGAAUUGAGGUAGAUCCUGACAAAGUUCGAGCCAUUCAGAAUAUGCCUGCACCAAGGACUGAGAAGGAAGUCCAUGGUUUCUUGGGAAGAUUGAAUUACAUCGCUCGGUUUAUCUCUCAUCUUACUGCCACAUGUAAACCAAUAUUCAAGCUUCUGAGGAAGAAUCAAGGUGUGGAGUGGAAUGAUGACUGCCAAAGAGCCUUCGAUAAAAUUAAAGAAUACUUACAAGAGCCACCGAUCCUGAUGCCCCCUGCAGAAGGGAGACCACUCAUCAUGUACUUAACAGUGCUCGACGAGUCCAUGGGUUGUGUAUUGGGACAACAAGAUGAGACUGGUAGAAAAGAGCAUGCCAUAUAUUAUCUGAGCAAGAAGUUUAAUGAUUGUGAGACCAGAUAUUCCUUACUCGAGAAGACUUGUUGUGCACUCGCAUGGGCCGCUAAACGUCUCAGACAGUACAUGCUGACUCACACGACUUGGUUGGUAUCUAAAAUGGAUCCCAUCAAGUACAUAUUCGAGAAACCAGCUCUUACCGGUAGGAUUGCUCGAUGGAAGAUGUUGUUGUCAAAGUACGAUAUUCAAUAUGUUGCACAAAAGGCAAUCAAAGGAAGCAUACUGGCAGACCAUCUUGCCCACCAACCAUUGGAGGAUUACCAACCUUUGAAGUUUGACUUCCCAGAUGAGGACAUUAUGGCUGUCAAGGAUGCUGAAGACUCUGAACAUGAGGAGAAUCUUGAGCCAAAAGCAGGCUGGACUCUCAUGUUCGAUGGUGCCUCAAAUGCAAUAGGCCAUGGAAUUGGGGCAGUGUUGAUGUCUCCCAAGAAUUUCCAUCUACCAUUCACUGCAAAGCUCUGUUUUACCUGCACAAAUAACAUGGCUGAGUAUGAAGCUUGCAUACUAGGGUUGGAAGAAGCUAUUGAGUUGAAGAUUAAGGUGCUAGAAGUAUUUGGGGAUUCCGCCCUGGUGAUACAUUAGAUCAGAGGUGAUUGGGAAACAAGACAAGCCAACCUAAUUCCAUAUCGGGAUUACGUGCUGAACUUACUUCCAAAAUUCGACAAAAUCACUUUCUCUCAUAUUCCUCGAGAAGAGAAUCAGAUGGCAGAUGCUUUAGCAACCUUGGCUUCCAUGUACAAGUUGAUAUGGCCCAACCAUCAGCCUCACAAUGAAAUUAGGCGUUUUGAUGAACCCGCGCAUUGCCUGACGACAGCAGAAGAGCCAGAUGGUAAACCCUGGUUCUUUGACAUCAAACGGUAUCUAGAGAAACAGGAAUACCCGGCAGAGGCCUCUAGCCUUGACAAAAGGACCCUCCGGAGACUGGCAUCGAAGUUCCACUUGAAUGGGGAAGUAUUGUACAAGCAAAAUUAUGACAUGGUUUUGUUGAGGUGUGUGGACGAACAAGAAGCUAAUCAGCUUAUGAAGGACAUACACGAAGGGUCUUUCGGCACACAUGCAAAUGGGAGGUUUUGUUGAGGUGUGUGGACGAACAAGAAGCUAAUCAGCUUAUGAAGGACAUACACGAAGGGUCUUUCGGCACACAUGCAAAUGGGCACUCCAUGGCGAAGAAAAUCCUGAGGGCAGGUUACUACGGGUUAACGAUGGAAGCCGACUGUUAUCAUUACACCAGAACCUGUUACAAAUGCCAAAUCUAUGCUAACAAAAUACAUGUACCGCCUACCCCGCUGAAUGUUAUAGCAUCACCUUGGCCUUUCUCUAUGUGGGGCAUCGACAUGAUCGGGAUGAUAGAACCCAAAGCAUCUAAUGGGCAUAGAUUUAUCUUGGUGGCCAUAGACUACUUCACUAAAUGGGUGGAAGUCGCAUCGUAUGCGAAUGUCACAAAGCACGUAGUCGCAUGUUUCUUAAAGAACAACAUCAUAUGCCGAUAUGGGGUUCCCAACAAAAUCAUCACUGAUAAUGGGUCCAAUCUCAACAACAAGACCAUGGAGGAGUUAUGCACAACGUUCAGGAUCGAGCAUCACAACUCGUCACCAUAUCGACCUAAGAUGAAUGGGGUUGUUGAAGCUGCGAACAAAAAUAUCAAGAAGAUCAUCCAGAAGAUGGUAGUCACGUAUAAGGAUUGGCAUGAGAUGCUAAUAUCGACCUAAGAUGAAUGGGGUUGUUGAAGCUGCGAACAAAAAUAUCAAGAAGAUCAUCCAGAAGAUGGUAGUCACGUAUAAGGAUUGGCAUGAGAUGCUACCUUUUGCGUUACAUGGUUAUCGUAUGUCAGUACGAACUUCAACAGGGGAAACCCCAUACUCCUUAGUAUACGGCAUGGAAGCAGUUCUUCCCAUAGAGGUGGAGAUUCCCUCGAUGAGAGUCUUAAUGGAGGCUAAGCUAGACGAGGCAGAAUGGGUUCAAUCAAGGUACGACGAGCUUAACCUUAUUGAGGAGAAACGCUUGAAAGCGCUAGGUCAUGGUCAACUCUAUCAGAGGCGUCUUAAUAAGGCAUUCGACAAGAAAGUCCGUCCCAGGGUGUUUCAAGAGGGUGAUUUGGUGCUGAAGAAAAUCUUGCCCAUUCACAAGGACUCUAGGGGGAGGUGGACACCAAAUUAUGAAAGUCCAUUUGUGGUGGUCAGAGCCUUUUCUGGAGGCGCUCUAAUCUUGGCAACUAUGGAUGGUGAUGAAUUGCCACUUCCUACCAAUGUUGAUGCCGUUAAAAAGUACUUUUCCUAGAAAAGUGGAAUGAUAAAAGCCGCUAAAUCGAAAACCUGAAAAGGCGAUUUAGGCAAAAAUGGCUAUCCCGGUGGAUCGAAAACCUGAAAGGGCGAUCCAGGCAAAAAUUAGGGAUAAAAAUAAAAAAGAUUUGACCCGCUGAGUUGAAAACCCGAAAGGGCGGCUCAGGAAAAAAUGGGUAUCCUGGUGGAUCGAAAACCCGAAAGGGAGAUCCAGGCAAAAGUUAGGGAUUAAUUCAAAGGCAAAGAACUGUACUUUCAGGCGUCUAGCAUGUCCCUCGAAGACAAAGAAUCAACCUACCUGACCUUACCAAAGGCGAGGUGCUCGGAUUAUCAAAGUCAUAAGGAUCAUAGCAGUGUGGAGACUCAAUAGGAACUCAGUUUUAUUGCCGCUUUGUUUCUACACACAUCAAUUACCUCAUUAAGGAAUUGCAUCUUUAUGUACAAUCGCCCAUUCAAGGGUCAAAUCAAUAAAAGAGAAAUUUUCUCGACAAAAGUUGUGCCCAAAUUAUUUUGCAUUUUAUCUGUUUGUUUGCAAUAAGGAAUUGCAUCUUUAUGUACAAUCGCCCAUUCAAGGGUCAAAUCAAUAAAAGAGAAAUUUUCUCGACAAAAGUUGUGCCCAAAUUAUUUUGCAUUUUAUCUGUUUGUUUGCAAAGCACCUUUAUCUUUGAUAAACAUCACUCUUAAAGAUUUUGGAGAAAAUAAAAACACAUAAUUAAAUGUAGUAAUAAAAUUGCUUUUGAAAUGUUGCAAGGAUAAACCUCUUGGUCUCCCAGUUUGCUCUUUUUUUUCAUAGAGGUGUAGGAUUGUGUGCAGGCACCUAUGUCUAUUCCAAUUGCUAAUCAACACCUCUCAAAAAUAUACUCAUGGUAUAGCCAAACCGGGGCAAGUCUCUAAUGCAUUUCCAACAGAAACAUUAAAUCGUAGUUGGAGUAUUGCGUGUUGAGAAGUCUGAACCCUUCAGUGAUUUGGGGCACCCCGGAUAUAUUCCCAAAAUCACCCAGUGGGGCAUCAAAUUUUGAUCUCCAUCAUAACAAAAGUCCUCACCACUGGCACCAUCACCCAAAGAAAAAACGCCCUAACCAGGGCAAAUCCGAAUUAUCCAUUCGCAUACCCGCAUGAAUCACAUGCGCCAUGUGCAUCAAUUACAUACAUAAUUUUCCUACCAAAUAGGAAGAUUCACCAAGAAGUAAUCAUAUUAAUCAUUGGCAUCCAUAUGCAUAGCCUUAUACGAUUCGCAUUCCUAUAUGCACAGUUAAAUAUCCCCAGCAAAUACAUAAUGCAUACACCUCAGGCAUCCUCCCAUGCAUGGCAUUUCCACCCAAAGUGGAACAUCUUACGAAAAUCAAACAUAAUAUGAUAAGGAUCUAAGGUCAUUCACGUCUAUUCUAGAUUUUCCUCAUUUCCCAAAUAAUGUUAUUACCCUACAUAUGCUCAUGGAAUCAUUUCCUGGCCAGUCAUUUCUCUCAACUUCGUGGGUGAUAGUGAUAUUCCCAGCAUUUUCUUUGCUACCACUGCUCCCCAAGAAGAGGUUACCCUAAAGGUCUCUUGUGAGCUUCUUCCCUGCAGAGCUUCUUCAACAGGUUUCCUCCAAAAGUAAUCUUUUCUAAAAAUAUCCCCCCAACAGACAUUCAUUCUUUGAGAUAUUACUUCAUUUAUAUGGAGAAUCUCAUUUUCAUUAUUGUUUGAGAUGCUGUCUCAUUAAUAUGAAGAGUCUCAUUCCAGUUUUUCUUUUGAGAUACUGCUCUAGUAUCCUCGAAGAGUCUUAGAUUCAAUUAAGGUAUCAUUCCCUUGUUCGAAAUAUCUUAAUUCUAUCAUAUGAGAUGCUGCUUCGACUCGAUACAGAGAAUUUCAUCUUUUGCUGUUUGAGAUGCUGUCUCAUCCAUAUGAGGAGUCUCAUUCCAGUUUUUCUUUUGAGAUACUGCUCUAGUAACCUCGAAGAGUCUUAGAUUCAAUUAAGGUAUCAUUCCCUUGUUCGGAAUAUCUUAAUUCUAUCAUAUGAAAUGCUGCUUCGACUCGAUACAGAGAAUCUCAUCUUUAGCUGUUUGAGAUGCUGUCUCAUCAAUAUGAGGAGUCUCAUUCCACUUUUUCUUUUGAGAUACUGCUCUAGUAUCCUCGAAGAGUCUUAGAUUCAAUUAAGGUAUCAUUCCCUUGUUCGGAAUAUCUUAAUUCUAUCAUAUGAGAUGCUGCUUCGACUCGAUACAGAGAAUCUCAUCUUUUUUGCUGUUUGAGAUGCUGUCUCAUCAAUAUGAGGAGUCUCAUUCCAGUUUUUCUUUUGAGAUACUGCUCUAGUAUCCUCGAAGAGUCUUAGAUUCAAUUAAGGUAUCUUUCCCUUGUUCGGAGUAUCUUAAUUCUAUCACAUGAGAUGCUGCUUCGACUCGAUACAGAGAAUCUCAUCUUUUGCUGUUUGAGAUGAUGUCUCAUCAAAUAUGAGGAGUCUCAUUCCAGUUUUUCUUUUGAGAUACUUCUCUAGUAUCCUCGAAGAGUCUUAGAUCCAAUUAAGGUAUCAUUCUUUUGUUCGGAAUAUCUUUAUUCUAUCAAAUAAGAUGCUGCUUCGACUUGAUAUAGAAAAUCUCAUUUUCUUUACUGUUUGAGAUGCUGCUUCAUCAACAUGAAGAGUCUCAUUCAUUUUUAGAAACAUUGUUCUGCUCAUUAUCAGACAGUCUUGGAUACAAUUGGGGUAUCAUUCCUUUAAUGGGAUACUUCGAUUGUAAUUAUCCACGAUACUGUGCUGACGAUUCCUCCUCAUACUGUAUUUCUCACUACAUUUUCUCUUUAAGAAAUUAUUCCUUCCAUUUCAAAGGACAAAACUCAGGUCUUCUUGUAUUUAAUUACCUUUCACUAUGAACGCAUGAAGACUACUGUCAUUUCUGCUUUCUAGUUUAUUGUAAUUAUAUAGGGGCAGCUAUCAUACCCCGAUUUUGUCCCGGUUUUAUUUUUCUCACGGAUACCACGACAUAUUUUUUUUUUAACUAUCAAACCUUGAUUUCCACAUCUCUGUGUAAUGGACUUGGGCCAAGUUAUAUAUAGGAAUCUAGAAUCCCUUAAGGUUCUAUGACGAACAUGGAACAAGAUUUAGUUGCUUGUGGGACAUCCUCUUUUGUCAUGUUAUAGCCUCCCCAUAUAUCGUCCAGCACUCCAUUCACAAAGUACCCAGGAGAAUUUACGCAUCGUUGAGUUCAAAUGGUGCAUUGGUCCAUAAGUACAAGUUGUAAAUUAAUUUGUCGAAGCAUUUUGUUUGGUGUGUGAGCGCAUCAUUUUUGGUCCUUUACAAAUCUCAUGUCGAUCCAUUCCCAUGUUUAUUACGGUCCCUCUACGACAAUGGUUUAUAAUGUGGCAAAGUUCAAGAUCCAAAUAACAAAAGCAGUAGAACUUCAUUCAAAAAAACAAACAUCAUUACAAUCCAUCAAAGUGCAUUAUUUGAAACAAAACUACGGAGUGCGGUAUUAUUGACAAAGAGUACAACUCAUCUCUAUCCCAAGUUACCAAUUAGAAACUUUGAUAUUUGUACGAGCCAUUGGUGUGCGGACUCUUUGUUCCAACCGUGUUAACAUGACCGUUUGAACCAUCCUGCCAUAAACACUAACAAAAGACAAACAGACCAAGGUGUGAAUGAUAAUCAUGCCGCAUAAUGUGUCGUCAACAUGAGCCCUGCUAUGAACGAACCAGCAAACGUAGCCAAAGCAAGAUGAGGCUACAAAUGAUCCAAACUACAGCAUAAGGCAAGCUGUGAAUAAUGAUGUCACGGCUAAGGCGAAUUGCAGCCGGGUUCAACCUCCAGCAAAAGUAUCUUGCAUACAACACUAAUCUGAAACAAUCCUGAAUUCCAUAACCAUUUUCUGUCUACAUUUCACUUCACAAAAACUGUUUCAUGCACCUUUAAAAAUCAUACAAUUACAAUUCACUUUUCCUAAAAAAAAAUCAUAAGGAAUUACAAAAUCAUCAUUACAAAAUCAUAAGGAAUUGACAAAUCCUCUACAAAGGUUGGCCAAAUUCCAACAAACCAGUUAUUGACCAUUUCCUAAAAAAAAAGACCUAAGCCUCAAUUGUCCAUGUUACAUCACUUGGUCAGAAAGAUUAAGUUCCUGAAUAAGAGGCAUCUAAAUUGGUUGAUCUUCGUGUCCCGGUCCUUCCUGUUAAGUGUGGAUCCACCUGUAUAGAGACUAACUGUCCAAAACCGUUCACAACCUUACAGACAUACGCAAUGACACUUUGCCUCACUCAUACUGAACAUAUUGAACAACUGUGAGCAACCAGAUUGAAAAAUGUGGCCACCAUUGAUAACAUUGUGAGCCAAGUAGAGUCAAUACAAACUUCCUGCAUCCUAUGAGAAGUCGAUGUAACUGUGACAGAGCAUGUUAUCGAGAACGAGCACAAGCCAAUGAGGGCUUCAAAGAGGAAAUUCAUCCAUGUAGCUUCAGGGCACUGACCUGAACAGAAGAUCAGAGGGGCAUUAGUGAAACGGAGUAUUAACAAUUCUAACAAGAGUGCAUUUCCUUCCAGAUAAGCCUACUACUUGCAUUGCCAUUCACAGGUCAGUAACAUCAGACCUGCGGCAUGCUAUGGUCUUGUUAAUCCGUGAAACAUCAUCCAAACGGGGGACUGCAAAACAAGCAGCACCCCACACUUAUACAAACAGCAAGCCAAUGACAGAUGCAGUGAAAAAGCAUAAACAAAUACAUAGUAAAGCCAUUUGAUCCAAGCCGCGUUGCAAUAGCCACAACCAACCCGAUACAUAAAACCAAAGGCUACCAAGGGACUUGCUGGUAAUGUUGAACCUUGAUUUAUGGUCCCUAGUGUUGUUGCAAUUAAUAAGUCGCUUCUGAAUCAAUCAAGGAGUUCUUCCGAAGGAAAUUGGAUUGCACAGCAUAAUGUUAGUGUCAUGGUUGAUCUUGAUUUCUUCAUUGGAGAUGACGCACUUUCUAAGGUUUGGUCUAGUAGCACGUGUAAUCUCACCUACCCGAUUAAGCAUGGUCAGGUUGAGAAUCGGGACGCCAUGGAACUACAUAUGUUGAACCAGUUGCAGAUGGUUACGAUUAUUAGUGACAUUGAGUCAGUUCUCAUGGUUGGAAAGGAAUGUCUUUGGCCUAUGGAAAGAAAACUAGAAGGGCAAUGAUUGAUUUACCUCACUCUUCCUAAGAGAAAACAGUUCACUAGUAACAAGCAAACUACAAUCAGGUGGAGACAUUUCCAUUAUGCACAUGUGACCAAGACCCCUCGUAUGGUAAUCCAAUGGAUCCAUGUUGUAGCAAGCCAGUCGAAUCUGCACAUGCAAGAUAACGAAGACAUAAUCUCAUAAUUCUAGGUCGUUGCAGGUUGUAGCAUAAAAGGGUUAAAAGGAUAGGUUGAUACGUUUACCAUCAUAUGAACCAGCUGCAUAUCAAUACCUCUCGCUAAUAACAUGGCGUCAGUAUGAGAAGGAUCAUGAUAAUCCCGCGCAAUGCUUCCACAGAAACAAAAACCGGCAAAUUAAGAGGAGCCAACCUAGAAAGGUGUAGUGUGAGGUCGAAACAUAGCUAUGAAUACGAGACAUUACCUGUUGCGGAACAUUCCUGCAAAGAGACGUGAGUCAUGAGAUAUUCUGUCGUCUCGACUCGCCAAAACCAGUCUGCAUAAUCCAACAAAGAUGCGAGUCAGGACGCGAAAUUCAAACACAAGUUGAAUCCCAAUCAACAUUUACACAUACAUGUGUAGAAGGUCAUUAAUAAAAGUCAUAUUAGAAAAGGGAGUGAACCUCACCUGCAGGCCACCUCAAAGGGACACCUAGUUUCGAUGUCGUCUGUGCGCAUUUCUUCAGGUUACAAAACCCGCUAGCAGAAUCCAAAGACAGUCGAACAACACUUGAGAAGAUUUGGGUGCAAAACGAAUCAAUUCCUUAUUUUUCAAAACCACACACCAGUAAAAUGUGCGCAUUUCUUCAGGUUACAAAACCCGCUAGCAGAAUCCAAAGACAGUCGAACAACACUUGAGAAGAUUUGGGUGCAAAACGAAUCAAUUCCUUAUUUUUCAAAACCACACACCAGUAAAAAAAACCUGUCAUAAGGAAAUCAUACAUGGAUAAAACAGGACAAUUACUGCAGUGAAAAGUGAAAAGAGAUGGUUACCGUAGAUGCAUUACAGACAAAACCUUAUCCUUUCAUUUGAGGGACCACAUCAAUUUGGAGGACUUUGAGAUUUCCCUCACACCCAUUCACCAAAGCUCAAUACUCCCAAAGUUCACUCAAAGUUCAUCAUUAGAACUUUGAGAAAACUGAGCUGAAGCCACUGCAAAGCCGAGAGACACCCAAAGUCAGUGAAGGAAAACGAAGAAAGGCGAAAAGAGAAACCGAACGGAGCUUACCGGGGACUUGGAGAGAUUUUUGCUCGAAGAGUCAUCGGAGUUUAAGUGGUCGAAAGCUUCAGAUCUCCUUCCGUCGGUACUUCUUCUUCCCCAUUUACUCACUUCAUGCUAAGAUCUCUAACAUAGUUGUUAUUCACUCAAUAUUGAAUCGAUGUUUCUACUUUUACCGUAAUGCAUAAAUAACUGGAUAUUUGUUGAAUGAGUGUAUUAAUCUCUAUUAUCGCUUUGAAUAUGCCAUCGAAGCUCCUUGCGUCCCAUAUUGCUCCAUUCAUGUGCGCUCUGUUUUGAAUGUUAGGUUUCAAUUUGGUAAACUUGGGAUCUAGGGUAUGAUCGAUUGUUUGCAUGUGUGUUAGAUUUGUGAUGCUCAUCAAGGUUGGGUUAGAUUCUUUGUGAAAUCUGAUGCAGAAAUGCGGUUGAUUCCAGUUUCCAAAGGAAACUUCUUUUAAACAAAUAAUGUAAUUAAUAAAAUGGGUUUAUUUGGUUUUAAUAUAUAUGAAUAGUCAUUAGUGAUUGCAUUAUUCAAGGCCAGCUAGCUGGUGAAUUUAAUUUGUUUUCUACAGUUGGGAAGGCCAAAAGGCUUUUAGCCGCCACAUGUUUCAAGUAGUUGUACAACUGCCUUUCACUUGGUAGUAAGCGGAUUAUUUUCGAAUUCAAGGCCUAUUCACCUUCCACAUUUCAGAUUGCUGUAACUUGUUUUUUUUUAAAUGUAAAGGAGUUUCUUUUGGGCCUUAGGGCCCGUUGCGAAGCCGCACAUUUUUGAGGUCCUCUGUUGGGCCUCUUCUGGUCCACUAUUUCAAGAAUUUCACCUUUUUCAUAACUUGUUUUUUUUUAAAUGUAAAGGAGUUUCUUUUGGGCCUUAGGGCCCGUUGCGAAGCCGCACAUUUUUGAGGUCCUCUGUUGGGCCUCUUCUGGUCCACUAUUUCAAGAAUUUCACCUUUUUCUCAUUUCCCACACAUUCAUAUUUAUUUUACUUAAUAUGUGCAUUAUUUGCCAAAUAUCUCAAUUAAAAUAACUAUGACUAAAUAAGGAUAUUCAUUCGUUCGCUUUCGAUUUUUUUUAUUUUUUUUUAUUUCAUUAGGAUAUUAUAACUAAUCGAAUGGUGGAUUAAAGGUUAAUAUCAACAAAUAAUUUACUUUACUUUCUAAAAUAAAUUUGAUUUUGGUCUAAUACCAAAUGAUCUUUCUCAAAACAUAUUACUCCUAAUUCAACAUAUUUAAUUAAUAUACUCUCCCAAAAUUAUUUAAAUUAAUUUUGAAUGAAAAGGAGAAUAGUAAGCUUCCGCUUUAUUAUCUCUCGAUUAUUCGAAUAAUUGGCGUACGCCAUAUUGCUCGAAUUUUCGUCAUUUAAUUAAAACCCUAAAACUCUAUAAAAUAAAAUUAUUUCUCAAUUAAUCACAAAUCUAAAAGAAUUAUUUAAAUUAUUUUGAAUGAAAAGGAGAAUAGUAAGCUUCCGCUUUUAUCUCUCGCAUUAUUCCGAAUCAUUGAGGCCCUCCAUUGCUCCAAUUUUCGUCAUUUAAUUUAAACCCUAAAAACUCUAUAAAAUUAAAAUUAUUUUCUCAAAUUAAUCACAAAUCCUAAAAGCAUUAUUUAAAUUAAUUUUGAAUGAAAAGGAGAAUAGUAAGCUUCCGCUUUAUUAUCUCUCGAUUAUUCGAAUAAUCGGCGUACGCCAAAUUGCUCGAAUUUUCGUCAUUUAAUUAAAACCCUAAAAAACUCUAUAAAAUUAAAAUUAUUUUCUCAAUUUAAUCACAAAUCCUAAAAGCAUUAUUUAAAUUAAUUUUGAAUGAAAAGGAGAAUAGUAAGCUUCCGCUUUAUUAUCUCUCGAUUAUUCGAAUAAUUGGCGUACGCCAUAUUGCUCAAAUUUUCGUCAUUUAAUUAAAACCCUAAAAAACUCUUAAAAUCAAAUUACUCCCCCAAUCAAUUAAUUAUUCUAAAAGUCUCUAUUUUUAUAAUUAAUCUUUAAGUGAAAAGGAGAUUAAUGAGCAUCCGCUCCAUUAUCUCUCGAUUAUUCGAAUAAAUGGCGUACGCCACAUUGCUCGAAUCUUCGUCGUCAAAUUAAAACACAAUCGAAUAAAUCCAAACUAUUUUCGCAAAUCAAAUACAAUAUCUAAAAACAUAUCUUUUACAAAUUAAACCUCGGGUGAUAAGAGAUAGGAGGCGUUCGCCUCGCCAUCUCUCGAUUAUUUGAAUAAUUGGCGUACGCCAUAUUGCACAAAUUAUCGACUUCCGAUUAAAACACUUUAAAUAAACUUGGAUAAGGGAAUAGGUGGCGUACGCCUCAUUAUUCUUUGAAUAAGAAAGUAGGAGGAGUACGCCUCACUACCGUGCAUAUUCAACAUCCACAAACAAACUUUUAAUUAAUCGAACAAAAAAGGAGUAGAAGGCGUACGCCUUAUUACUCCUCGAAAGAAUUGGUCGAUUGGUGUACACCACAUUGCUCAAUCUUUUGUCGUUCUUUAAAACACCUUAACAAAUCAAACUAAUGUCUCGCCCCCGUGCGACCCACAACUUAAAAUUCUUUUCAAAAGAACACUAUUAAUCCUUUCUAAUGCGCAUAACAAACUAAUGCUUAAGCCUCCGCCGGGAGUAGACAAGCCAGCGUUUAGCCUUUAGAACGCGAUCUACACAGUCGUUCAUUAAAAGACACCAACAAAGACCGUAGUUUCCCGAACUACGAAUGCUCUGAUUUCCUUAUUAUACCAUAAGGAUACAUAGGCAGGAGAUUGCUGGAUCUUCGCGAGCACACUAAAAAGAAACCUCCCCGUUCUCCUCCUGAGGUCUUCACCCAUAUCUAUCAUCAAUUCUAAUUACCCGAAGAAAAGCAAAUAACAUGUAAUUAACAUUCAAAUAGCAAAUUGGACUAAAAGGUUCCCGUUGAGUAAGUACAACGGACGUGAGGGGUGCUAAUACCUUCCCCUUACGUAAUCGACUCCCGAACCCGAAUAUGGUUGCGACGACCAUUAUUCUUAUUUCUAAAGGUUUUAUCGAUAUUUUCCUAUUCCUUCAUUGGGAUAAAUAAAGUUCGGUGGCGACUCUGUUCGAACAUAAAAAUUUUCCGCGACCAUCGCGAGGAAUCGUAUUUUUCGAGAUGCGACAAUGGGCUUGGUAAACUAAGGUCCUUGGCUUCUAAGGUCUGUAUUGGAAAGGGUAAUGUCUAACCACGACUACUCGUGUGACAUUAUUGAUCCCAACAUGACCUCCACCAAGUGAAUGGGCUUGCAAGUCAACUUGCUAAGGAAUAACUCCACACAAGUUGAUAAGACUAUGCCAUUCUCCUAUCCUAAGUGCACUCGAGUUCGGGUAUAGACCUCAUCUCACAAAGAUCACCAAGCAUACAAGCAAUUAGUAUAUCAAGCAAUUCAAUCAUUACAUACAAUACAGUAAUCCCAAAUUGCACAAAAAUAUGUCACAAAAUAAUAUACAAUACAAUACAACAAAUAUGAAAAGUAGGCAAAACCCACUAGGCAAACUUCCCCAACAGAGUCGCCACUUUUCUGUAGCGGGGUAUUCCUUACCUUUAGAUUUAUUGACUAAAUCAAAAGUAAAUCAUACAAGUCGAGUCGCCACCGCACUUCUAUUUAUCUAAAGGAAUGGUUAGAAAGCGAAGAAAGACCUAAUAUUUUUAUCGAAUCAAAAACUAGUAAAAAUGUCAGAGAUCGGGGUAAGGGGGUUGGUUAUGCAAUGGGAAGGUUUUUAGCACCCAAAACAUCCUAGGUACUCCUAGGGAUCCCUUUUCACACUUGUUGUAAGGUUGGUAUUUUGUGAAAAAUUAUUUUGUGCAAACAUUAUUGGAGAGAUGAGAGAAGAAUAUACAAAUUAUUUACAAUUUUGUUUGAAUGGAUAAACCCACUGCCUACGUACCAUCUUAAAAAAUAUUAGGAUCAAAACCUCGUAGUUCCGGGUAAAAAUGUCAAAACAAGUUGGUGAAUUGAUUGGUCCAAAAGCCUUAAGGUCUUUUGUUAUCCAAGGGAGAAAACUCAACCUAAAACCACAAAUCCACCAUGUGAAGAUAGCUUCAACAUGCUAGUGAGGGGUUAACCCUUUAAUAUGGAUGGAAGACACAUUGUCCAUCACUAAGGAUAUAGGUGAGUAUUAUAUCAUCCACUAAGAUAACUCAAACCUAAUAGCUAAAGGUUAUGAAAGGUUUUUGAUAAGAAAGUUGCCAUUGAAACCACAAAAGCAUUUGAGUGGGUUAUAUUUACCAAUGAAAAGUAUUUACAAAAUAUGGUCAAAGUUGACUUAAAGAUUCAAUUCAAAAUAAGUGUUAUGAAAAGAAAGUUUGAAAAUCAAAAGUAUAAUGCUUAGGUUUCUAAUGUUUAUACCAAUGAAAAGUAUUUACAAAAUAUGGUCAAAGUUGACUUAAAGAUUCAAUUCAAAAUAAGUGUUAUGAAAAGAAAGUUUGAAAAUCAAAAGUAUAAUGCUUAGGUUUCUAAUGUUUGAAAACAAGUGUUAAUGUUUGCACAAAAGUUUUGGCUUGGGUUAGAGUGGAGGGAGAAGAAGAAUGGCUAAAGUCCUAAUCAUACAAUAGAUGAAGGAUAAGAAACAAGACUACAAAUGGAGUUCCUCUCUUGAGAUCAUAUUGGUGAUCCAAGUAGCUCCCAUCCUUUGGAAUAAACAAGCAAAUAAGUGUAUACUAGAGCAAUCAAUCAAUCAAGCAAAGCUCUUAGGAAUCUUCCAAUGGCUCUUGUAUCUCUUCCUUUAGAAGCUCAUGACAAUGGUUCUUCAAUUUGGCUCAAAUAGGAAACCCCUAGCACAAAAGCACACACAUCAAAAAGUUCCAUGAAGUAAAUCAAGAAUGGACAAGAGUGAGUUUAGAGAUUUGCUCCUUCUAAUCCAUCUUCAACAUUAAGGCCUUUUUUACUCCAUUUUACAUAGGAAAUGUCCUAGCAUCUAAGUCCUUUUUUCCAUUUUUGCAUUUGGUCCACAACAAUCAAACAAAAGCACAAGCACAAUAAUAUAUACACAAUUAUGUGCUCAAGUGAGCAAAAGGCAAAUUGCAUUAACAUAAACAUGUGCUUAAAUGAGCAAAGGGCAAAAGCAAAUGAAUAAUAUGUACAAGAAAUAAUAUAUACACAAUUAUGUGCUCAAGUGAGCAAAAGGCAAAUUGCAUUAACAUAAACAUGUGCUUAAAUGAGCAAAGGGCAAAAGCAAAUGAAUAAUAUGUACAAGAAUAGUAAAUUACAUAAAGGUAAAGUGCAAGAAGAAAAUGUUAAUGGUUAAUGGUUAGUUUUAGUAUUAGUGUUCCAUAAGGAAAUUAGCGCUAUGUUAAGCAAUCAUAAUUGGACUUAUGUAGAAGUCACAACUAUAUGAGGCCGGUCAAUAAUAAUGUAGGCAACAACACAAGUUAGAGAUUUUGAUUAGUGAAUCAAACUCCUACAACUUGCCAUGCCAAAAAGAAGAUGAGAAAUGAUCUUAUAUUGAUUUAGGUUCUUUGCUUGAUUAGGAAGCAACCUAUCCAUAAUGCAAAGUCAUUCACUUGAUAUAUGAUCAAGUUGAAUUAGAUUUGAAUCAAGGAAGGUUAAACCUCCCAUGUAUCAAGGCUAACCACCAAUCUUUAACUCAUUGAUCAAAAAAAGAAAAAGAAAAAGAAGAAGAAAAAGAAAAUUAAAGUGCAUUAAUGGAAAUGAAAUGAAAUAAUCAACAAGCAUUGACCAAAGAUAGAGGAGAUCAAGGUCAAACAAUAGUAAACAGAAGCAAUGUGAAGAUUAGAAGUCAAAAAACAAAUAAAAUAUUUUUGGUAUUUUUCAAAAGUAAAAUAAUACUUGAAUUAAAAUAAUAAAGAGAGGUCAAACUUCAAACUCACUUCAAAUCAACUUUGAAAAGUCCAAGUGAAUUAUCCUAAGUUCAACAAGGUCAAGCAAAAUUUGACAAAAAAUUUCAGAAUUUUUAGAAGUCGGAAACUAUUUUUAAUCAAUUAAAAAUGCAUAAAAAUAACCUAAUUGAAUUAAAAUCUCAAAUAAAUCUCAAAUCAAUUGAUAAAUUGAUGAGAAUAUUUUUCAUAGAUC
RNAcentral lists this long non-coding RNA (94650 nucleotides) under Lathyrus oleraceus (garden pea). RNAcentral describes it as "Pisum sativum (pea) long non-coding RNA (PSAT_LNC042163)". The record is from RNAcentral. Lineage: Eukaryota; Viridiplantae; Streptophyta; Magnoliopsida; Fabales; Fabaceae.